UUUUGUACCAAGUCGAUAAUUAAAUUAAGAAUUAUAGCUUAUUGAAGCCCACUUACGAUAAUUAAGGCUUGCAAAGAUAAAUCAAAAUUGCCUAAUCAUGAAAGUAAUAAGACAACUCGAGUUUGUGUAUAGUUGAGGUUAUUAAGAAGAGUAUUUUUUAGCACUUUAUAUUGGCUUUUAGUACUUUUUAAUUAAAAUUUUAAUUGCAUUUUUUUUAUAUGGAUGAAAUUUAUUAGGAUUUCUCGAAUCCUUGUAAAAUUCAACUUUGCCUUUCAUAGUGUUGUGAUUGGUGCAUUCCCAAAUAAGACAACACAUAAUAUAAUAGUGAUUAAAAAGUAUAAUAAAAGAUAAUAUUAAAUCUAUCUAUAUUUAUUUUCUAUUUAUUAUUUCUUAUCUAAAUAAGCAUGUAUAUCUGUGACAUUAUUUCCUCUUUAAAGAAUGAAUUCCACAAGGAACACCAAUCAUAUGUUGAAAGAAUCCAAGAUGCAGCAAAUUAUGUUUGCUACAUAUUUUAAUCUUUGUUCCCUACAAAGGUGGUUGAUAGGUCAUCUUAGCCAUUGAUAGUGCUCUCUAUCAAAGCAAAAAAAAUCACCUUAUUAUUUGAUCAUUAUUGAAGCUUUUAUAAAUUUUUUCAAAUAAAUUCUAAUAGGUGUAAUUAAUAAAUAAUUAGGUUAAUAUAUUGCAUAUAAGAAAUAAUCCAAGUUUAUAAUAAUCCAACUUGUUAUAAGAGCAAAUAGUCUUGAUAUUAUGACAAAGUAAUCAUAUCUUGUUGUUAAUGUCGAAUUGAAGUUGUUCUUGGCAAUAGGCAUAUGCAUUGAUCUUUUGUUGUUCUUGAGUUUUUUUAAGUUGUGUCUUCAUUGUUGCAUGUAGCUCAAGAAUUUAUUACUUUUUACUUUUCAAAAGUUGAUAAUAUUGUGGUUAUCUAAUCAUCUUAUUGAUUUUGAUGGUACAUAUCAAAUACUACUUCAAAACUUGAUUCACUUGAUCUGUUUAUCCAUUAGUUUGAGGGUAAAAAGUCAAAGAUAGUUUUACAUCUAUCUUCAAAAUCUUAAAAAGAAUUUUCUAAAAUCUUAAUAUAAAUUACAUCUUCUUAUCUAAUAUAAUAUCUUUUAGCAAUCUAUGAUAGCAAUAAAUGCUAUAAAAAAAAAGCUUAGUUAUUUCUUCAUAUGUAAUAGAUUUUAUACAUGAUACAAAAAGUGCCAUCUUAGUGAAUUGAUCUACUAUCACAAAUAUAGAGUCAAAAAAAUUUGAAACUUAAAGAUCCAUAAUGAAGUUUAUAAAAAAAAUGACCAUAGUUGUUUUUAAAAUAGGUAAUGGCUAAAGAAGUCCAUAAGAUCUAUGGUGAAUUUUUUUUGAUUUUGAACAAAUGUCAUAUAAUUAAAGAAAGUAUUUAACUGCCUUCCACAUUUGAAGCCCUAAAAAAUUUCUAAAUAUUAGCUCUAGAAUUUUAUUAUAUCCAAAAUUUUUGGCUUUUAAAAAGUUGUAAUGAGCUUGAAGAAUACAUAAUUAUGCUUCAUCUUUUGAAAUGUAUAAUUUUCCUUCAAAAUAGAAUAGAUUAUUUUUAAAUUCAAAUUUAAAAGUAUUAUAUAACUUAAAAGAAUUUUUCUUAUUAUCAUAAAUAAGAAGAUUAGAAGAUAUACUUGAUUAAACUUGCUUGAAAAAGAUUGAAUCAAUAAUCAAUAUUGAUUUCAUUGCUCAAAGAUCAAAAUACUUUGACUUCAAGAAAAUUAUUCUUUAUUGAUAAAAAGAUACAUAUCUUUCUUUCAAUAUUAAAUAAGAAUGUUUAACAAACCUUGUUGGUUUUUUGGAUCAAUAAGUGAUCUUAAAAUCAAAUCUUGAUAAAGACAUGCCCCAACAAACUUAGCGACAAUUCGAAACUUAUGUUGAUAUAAAAUAUUUAAGAUUCUUAUUAUUUGUAUAUAUGGUGACUUGAUUAGAAGCAUCUUCUAGAUAAUGACACCAUUCUUAAAAUGAAUCCACCAUUGUAAGAAGUUCUUUGUUGUAAAUCUUAUAAUUAAUUUUAAUUGCUAUUUUUUUUUUAAAAUAAAAAGCUACAAAGUAGCGCUUAUUAUUUGCUUUUAUUUAUAAUAAAACUACAUCCAUAGCAAAGUUUGAUGUAUAUGUUUUUUAUAAAAAAUACCAUAUAAAAUUUGAUACAAUAUAAAAUUGCUAUAGAUAUAAAUAAUGUCUUCAAAGCUUCAAAAGAUGCUUUAACUUCUUUACUCUACUCAAAUUUGUCUUUACAUGUCAAAUAUAUAAAAAGAGCUGCAACUUGAAAAAAAUUCUUAAUGAAGAUUUGAUAAUAAUUAGAAAAUUUUAAAAAAUAUUGCACAUUUUUUAUUGUUUUUGAGAUCUUCCAAUCUAUAAUAGUCUAAAUCUUCUUAGGAUCCAUCAUAAGGCCAUUAUUUAAAAUGAUGUAUUUUAAAAAAUCAAUUUGAGUGGUAUGAAGUAUACACUUUUCUAUCUUAGUAUAUAAUCUUAUAUCUCUUAAUUUUUUUUAAUAUACAAUGAAUAUGAAGUUCAUACUCUUUAAUGUUCUUAGAAUAGAUUAAGAUGUCAUUUACAUAAAAAAAAAUAAAGUCAUUAAGAAACUUACAAAAGAGAUUAUUUAUUAGAUAUUAAAAAUCAAUUAAUACAUUUAAGAAUCCAAAAGGCAUGAAAUUACAUUUAAAAUAUUCAUAUUUGGUUCUAAAUGUAAUCUCUUAUUUAUCUCCUUUUUUAAUGAAUAUCAAGUUGUAUGUUUUUUAUAGAUCUAUUUUUAUAUAAAUUUUUUCUUGAUUAAAUUGAUCAAAAAUCUCUAAAAUCAAAGAUAAAGGAUACCUAUUCUUGAUGGUGAUCUUAUUGAGUUUUUGAUAGUCCACAUACAUCUGUAGAGAUCUAUCUUUUUUAAAAUAAGAGCACCUACUAGAGAUUUAGAAUAGCAUAUGAAGUUCUUAUCCAAGUUCUUAUCAAUGUAUUUUUUGAAUGUAGCCAACUUGUUCUAUAAUAAGCUAUAGAUAGAUUUAAAUAGUAAUUGAACUCUUUUUUGAAGAUCAAUUGAAUAGUUAUAAGAAUAUUAAUCUAGAAAAAUAUCUCUCUCUCUCUCUCUCUCUCUCUCUCUCUCUCUCUCUCUCUAUAUAUAUAUAUAUAUAUAUAUUCAAAAAUAUCUUAAUAAUCUUAAUAUUGCCUUAAAAUAUGACUUGAAAUUUUUUGUUAAUAAAAAAUAACUGUGGCAUGUAUAGCAAACAUUAUCUCUUCUUUUAUAGCAUGCAUAAAAGUUCUUACACCUAUCAAUAAGGAUUUGGAUAUAUUAAACUUAUGGAUAUUUUUUUUGUCUAGCAACAUCUUGGGCUAAAUUACAUGAAAAAUUAUUGUUAUAAGAAAUCUAGUCUAUUUGAUGGUUAUAUUUUUUUAGCCACAAUAAUCCUAAAAUUAUUAAAUUAAAAAGAGAUUUAAUUAUAUGAAAUAUUAUUAAGCUAUUAUGACCACUAGUUGUCCCAUCUAAAGGAAUAAUUUUAUAAAUAACAUCUUCAAAAGACAACAAAUGACUAUCUAUUAUUUCUACAUGCAUAAAUUUUAUUUAUUUAACUAAAGAUAUGUCUUAUUUUUGUCAAUGUCUUUUUUAAUAAAAUGAAUUGAGGCUCCUAAAUAUAACAAUGCUAAGGCUUUAUGAUUUUUUGCUCUUAAAAAAAUCCUAUUGUAAAAUAAAGUGAAGGAUGUGAAGAAAAGAUAGGACUUUAAUUAGAUAUUCUAUAAGAUUUUAGUUCCAUGGUUCUUAUUGUAGCUAAAAAAAUUGGUUUUUCGACACAUUGUCAUUUUUAGCAACUAUGCUCUUCAUUGUGACUAUGUUGCUUCUUUAGAUAAUGUUGAGUAGUAUGCUUAGAUUUUCCACAAUAUAAACACAAUCCUUCUUGACAAUAUCAAGUCUUUUUUACUCAAUAAGAGGCUUGAAACAUAUUAUGCUAAUUUAUAUAGAUUUUGAUUUUAAUGAAUUAGUUUCUUUGAAUUUAGAAGUUAUUGCCAUGACUUAACUUAUACCUCUAUAACUAAAUCUUUGUUCUUGGCAUCUUUCAAAACAUUGAUUGCCACAUGCAAUGACUUAAGAAAAAAUUUAAAUAAUAAGUCUAUUCUUGACAUUGUCAAUAUUAAAUCUUUGCUGUUAUCUUUUAAUCCAUACCAAAAUUACUUAAUAAGGGCAUGAUCAUUCCAAUCCACAUCACAAGCAAGGUUUUGAAAUUCAAGAACAUGUAUGAUGGAUAAAUGUGUUUCUUGUCAUAAAGAUACAAGUUUGAUCUUUGCUAUUCAUUUUCAAUUACUUUCUUCAAAUGCGGCCAUAAAGACUUCUAAGAAUGAAUUUAAAUUAUAGAGUAGUCUUGAAUCCUUUUCUAUUAAAUAUAAAAACCAAGAGAGAGCACAUCUAGAAAGAAUUGCACUUAUGAAUUUAACUUAAAUAAAUCCAUCAAGAUAUUGAAAAAAAUGCAAUCUUAGAUAGAACUUUAUUUGUUGUAAAAAUCUUUGAAAUUUCUAUAUUAUAUAUCAAACUUCUCUUAUAUACUUAUCCUUAUUUCUUUCAUACUUGUAGUAGCAAGACUUCUUAGAUUUAGUUGUAAACUUGAUCUACUUGCUUCUCUUAACUGUACAACUUCUUUGAACUUCACUAUUAACUUCUUCUAUAGGCAUUGGAAUACUACCUAUAUGAUUGAAAUUAAAAAUAUAUGAGAUUUCUAUCUUGAAAGUGUUGAGAAGCUCAUAAAGAUUUGUAAUAGUUGCAAAUCUAUUCUUAUUUCUGCCAAGAAUUGCAUCUAUAAUUUUUUCUUUUAUAGAAAAUUCAAAAAAAAUUAUAUUCAAAUUUGAGAAGGAUAAUUUUUAAUCCUUAAUAUCAAAUAAAAAUUUCAAAAAAUAAAGAUGGUCUAUUUUUUUUAAGAAAAAAAUCAUUGUUAGAAAAUUAAAAUAUUAAAUUGAGGGUUGAAAAUUUGUAAUCUUCAAAAUAAAAUAAUAGAAGUAAGAUAGUCCACCCACUUCUAAAUACAAGACAAGAAAAAUGAAUUAAUAAUCUUAUCAAAUUGUCAAAGACAUGAAUUUUAAAGAAUCAAAAAUUCAAUAGACUCUUAUGUUAUUCAAAUAGAAUAGAUAUUCAUUCAAACAUAACAUAGUAUUGAAAUUGGAAUGGCUAUUGUUAAAGACAAAAAACUAUAAAGUCUUGAAAUAAGUCUAAAGACUAAAAAGGCAUUGAUAAGAGUGAAGAAGGAUUUAUUCUUACUUCCAUAUAUCUAAAUAAGUCUAAAGACUUAUUUAUGUGACUUUAUAUUUAGUCUAAAGACUUAUUUAUGUGACUUUAUAAGAUAUAUAUAUAUAUAUAUAUAUAUAUGUAUAUAUAUAUAUAUAUAUAUAUCUCAACUUGCAAGAUAAGUUUUUUAUAUGUAUGCCACAUAGUUAGCUUUUUUUACAAACUACUAAUAUGUAAUUAACUUGUUCAACAAGUUUUUAAUCUAUUAAUCAAUUACAAAUACAUGUAAAGUCAAAUUAGCAUUUAUGAAGCUUCUAAAAAGCUUCUCUAAAAAAUAUACUAAAAUAAAACUAAUUUUAUCUACUUCUAUUUAAUUAUAUGAGUAAAUAUUAAGAUAAGUAUUUAUGUCUGUGAUACCUACCAAUCAACUUCAAAUACAUCUAAAAUCAAAUAUGUAUCUAUGAAGCUUUUAAGAAGUUUUGUCAUCAGAUAAUAUCAAAUAUACCUAAAUUUAUCUUCUAUCUAAUAUUUCUUAUCUAAAUAAAUAUAUAUGUCUAUAUUACAAGCAGAUUUAGCCAUUUCUUAAGCCAACUUAAGAAAGUUGUGCAUAAAAUGGUUUUCUCCUCAGCAAAAUUACAUCUAAGAGUUUUGUAGUAUUUGCUUCUUAGAUUAUAUAGAUAUCAAUGGAUGCCUCCUAUAUGAUGUCUUGGAGCAAAAAGCAAUAAGUAUUGUAUGCAAAUUAUUAAAGCAUCUUCUCUAGUAGUAGUUAUAUUACAAAAUUGUGUGUGAAUUUUUACUUAAAAAAGUUUAGCAUUAAAAUCAGCAAAAAAUGACAUAGCAUUGAACUCAAAAAUAUUUUAGUACAUGUUAUCUAUUCUAGAAGAAAGCAUAUUAAUAGUAAAUUCUAUUAAUUUAAUAAUAAAGAUUGAAUUGUCAAGCUUUUAAAAUUCAAAUUGAAUUUUUUGAAUUCAAUAAAUAAAUUUAUAAACUAAAGUUUUUUUUGUUAAAUAAAUAGAAUGAAGCUUAUGUUAAAGUAUCAGUAUUUUAGCAUUGCUAUGCUAUUGAUAAAAUUAAGCAAGCAAUAUCUAAGCUAUAAUGGAAUUAAUGUAUUCAAAAAUACUUGAGAAUAUAUUUUUUUUCUUUUAUUUUUUUACUAACAUAAUGACCAAAUGGAAACCAUUGACUUAUUCAAGAACUAUAUUAGAGGCUUUUCUAAGUUGGAGAGGAUUUUUUCCUUGAAGAUGCAUAUAUUUCUAAGUUUUUUCUUUUAUUAAUAAUAUUUUCAUUUUGACUUUUUGGGUUUGAUAGUUCGUUCCAUUGAGCUUAAAUAUCUCUAGAAGAAAGUUAGAUGCUAUGGAAAAUCACACAAAAUAUCUCUCAAAAUAUAAAUAAAAUCAACUUGUCACACAUACCAUUUAUCUUUUUAACUUUCCAAUUUAUGCCACAUAGACACUUAGUGACAAAGAUGAUAAAACAAACACUCAACUUUAACCAUGCUCUAAGGAAAAAAUAAAUAUAAGACCUUUUAGUGACAUUAUCCAAGAAACACCUUCUUAAAGUUUAAUACCAUGUAAAAAUUGAUAUAAAUCAAUGAUUUAUAUUCUACUAUACAUAUGAAGGUUUUAGUUUGUGUUAUAGAAUAUAUAGAGAGGUUAUUGUCACAAAUAUACAUAUUUAUUCCAAAAAUUAUCUAUAUGAUUAAGAAAAAGUAGGUGAAAGUAUAUUAAUUUCAUAACAUCUUUUAAAGAAGCUUCUUAAAAGCUUUAUAGAUUCGAUUUUGACUUUACAUAUAUUUGCAAUUGAUUGGUAGAUUAGAAACUUGGUCAACAACUUAAUCAUGUGUUACAUAUAUUGGUGGCUUGUGGAACAAGUUAAUUAUGUGGCAUACAUAUAGAAAACUUAACUUACAAGGUAAGAUAUAUAUCUUUUAAAGCCAAUACAUGUUAGAGAUUCUAUAGAAUAUUGUCACAUAGCUUCUAGUUAGAUAGAAUAUAUAUAUAGAAGCAAGAAUGAAGCCUUUUUCACUCUUACAAAUGCAAUUUUAGUCCUUAAUCUUAUUUCAAAACUUUUUAAACUUCUUCUCUUUGGCAAUAGAAAUUCUAGUUCAAUUUUUACCAAAUUUGAAUAACUUUCUAAUCUUUUUGAAUGAUAUAAGAGUGUAUUGAGUUUUUUUUCUUUAAAAUUUAUAUCCUUAGCAGUUACAAGAUUAAUUACUAGUUACUACAUUAAUACAAUAAUAACAAGAUUGGAUCCUAUUUCUGCUUCCAAUAAGAUAUGUUUUAUACUAAUUUUGAUAAGUUUUAGUUUUAAUAAAAAAUUAAAAAAUAAAUCAAAUACAUUUACACAAGAGAUUAAAAUAGAAGAAAAAAUAAAGAAGAUAUUUGAUUUUUAUCCUAAUGUAGCAAAAACAGUAUAUUUUAAAAAAACUAUUACAAUUGUAGUAAUAAUAUAAGUUGUACACAAUGUUUUUAAUGUUUAUAUGUCUUUGUAUAUGGACAUAUAUUUAUAAUAUUCUUUGUAUUUUUUAUACUAUAUCUAUAUAUAUAUAUAUAUAUAUAUAUAUAUAUACACCAUAACUUUCAUUAAUAUCUUUACCUACAAAUGGAAUAUGAUUUUUGUUUAUAUUUCAUGCUUUGACAAGUAAAAACAUUUAUAUAUAACACUUUGUAACAGAUACAAUCAUUGGUUAUCUUAUGUAUAUGGUGUUCAUAAUUAAAAUAAGUAAUAUAUAUUAUUAGAUUUUUUUCAUAAGAAGAUUUUAUUGAUAUUUUUGAAAUAUCUUAAUUAUUUAAUAUUUUAGAUAGAAUAUAUUUUUAUAUUAUUUUAUUUUAUAAGAAUUUCCUAAAAAUUAUGAAUAAUUAUUUUUUGAAGAAUAUAUAUAUAUAUAUAUAUAUAUAUAUAUUUUUAAUUAUUUAUUUAUUUGAUUUUUUAUGAUAUUAAUAUGAAUAUAUUAAUAUUUUUUAAUUAUUUUUAUUGUAUUGUUAAUUAUUAUUAUAUUAUACCAUAUUUUACAUUAAUAUUUUGCUUCAAUAUAUUACUUUCAAAGUAUGGCCUUCAAUGCUUGUAUGUACUUAUUAUAGAAAAUCAUAUAUAUAUAUAUAUAUAUAUAUAAUCAUCAUUAUAUUUGGUUUUUAUUACUAUUUUUUUAGAUAUCAAUUAAAAAAAAUAAAUACUUAAAGCAAUAUUCUUGAUGCAAUACAAGAUAUUUUUAUAUACAUAUUUUUUUAAUCAUAAUUAGAUUGAUAUAUUAAAUUUUAUAUUUUAAAAAAUUAUAUUCUUAUGUAGUUCUUUUGCAAUAUAUAAAAAAUAUUUAAUUACAAUAAAUUAGUUUACUUGCCAUAUUUACAUGUAUAGCCACUUUUUACAUAGAAUUAAUUCAAAACAAAAUAAACAAAUGAACAUAACUAAAAUCAUUGAAGUCAUCAUUGCCUAUAUAAAUGCAUGUUACAUAUUAUACAUAUAAAAUGAACAACACAAUGAAAUAUAAAAAAAUAGGCACUAUGGAGGAUUUUAUAACUAUGAGUUAAGUUUAAAAGACUAUAGCUAAAGACUUCUAAAUAUCUUAAGCGUAUUGAAGAAAAAUUAUUUGUUAAAAAACCUCUCUAUUUAGAGAUAGAACUAAGUAAAUGACAAAAUCAAAUGAUUUUAUUUAUUAUUGUUUUAAGUAUAAUAGUUCAUAUCUUGAUUUUGGCAAUUGUGACAAACAAUUUUUAAAACCCAAUUUUUAAAGGCCUAAGAUAAAUUCUAGGAACAAAACUAUUCAUGCAAUAUGAUAAGUUCUACCUCAUCGUUUCCUCUUAUAACUUCUCAUCUAAUUUCUCUAAAAAUACUAAGCCAUCUAAAGAAGAAUUUCCAAUGAUAACCAAUCACAUUCAUCAAACAAAGUCCUAUUAUCAAUCAACUAAAAUCCUAGAGUUUUAUUUCCAAGUGUUCAAACCCUAAAUGCCAUUGAUGCAUGCAUCACAACAAAAACAAACAUGCAAAAAGUCAAUGGUCCAUGAAUGCCAUAAAUGUGCCAAACAGGUAAAACACGAGCAUGCAGGCAAGGCUGUGUGUUACCACGUUGUGGAUCCUAACCUCGUUUGUCUCGUCAGGGUUUCAUAUUUUAAAUCGGGGACACGUGAGCAACCCCGAAGAGCGUCGACGCUGCUGCUGCGGCUAGAGCGGGGCCUCGGCGGGGGGCGCCGAGAGCGUGUCGGCCGCAGCGAGGGCACGAGGACAAGAGGGCGGGAUUCUUCGACGUGGGCGAAUCCCUCCAUCCCACGGGUCCGGACAAAUCCCGUUUUGGCUCAUUUACUCGCGAAGGCGACUUUUGCAACAGGAAUCGACGUGCAAGUUCGUCGCUUCGGGGCUGCAGCCAGUCUGGCAGCCCCGACUUUCCCGACUUGCCUUUCCCACUAUCCGUACUCGCGCUUGCCACACGCUGUUGACCUUGCUCGCGUGCGUGGAUCAGUCCCGCGGGGUCGGUGUUGUUGAUCCACGGAUGGGUUGCUGCCUGUUGUAGCCACAGUAGUCCUCGAAUUUUUCUGUAUCUCGCUUAACAGUCCUUGGCGAAGGAGUUUUGGGUCUUCGUCGAUGUGCUCUGUUGACUUUAGAUUUGUUUACCUAGUUGGGUAGUCAUGUUUGGUGUGCGUGUUGUCUAAUACUGUGCCGGAGUAUAAUAGCGUGUAGGUAGAUAUUACAUGUUGCAUGCGAUUAGUUGAUAUCGUUGUACGAUUUCGUCGUUCCUUUUCGCAUGUUUUCGUUUGGCAUUUUGAAGUGGGUUGGAGUGUAAUGAGCAUUGAAGCCUGGGGUUUCGUUUUCUGUCUCUGCGAUUCGCUGCGGUUGUCGCGUGGGGGCAUUUAGUACCUUAAUUUGCUCGUUUUUUUCUUGUAGCGUAUUGUCUGUGUUUUAGAACAAUUUUUGGGUUUGUGACUGAGGAAUUCUUUCAAGUCAAGGUGCGCAGUUCAAAGCAGGAUGUGUCCUCUACGAGUCAUUCUGCUCUUCCUUUCUGCCAUACUGGCGGGUUACUUAGCCGUGAAGACUGUGAAAGCGCAACAGGAAUCCAGCAUCCUAGACCCAAGUGAAGAGUCGCCGAAGCAAGCAAUCGAGCACAAGGGUCUUUUUGCCGUAGUAAGCAUACACUCAACGCGUGACGUGCAAUUUCAUGCACUCAUUCUAAUCUUCCUAAAACAACAGGAUGUCUUACGCCUGAAGCAUAAAGCUUGGUACUUUUAAUUUGUAGAUUGUUCGAUCUCUCCACUUUCGUGUCCUCACAAACACGUCCCAUUGCGUUUAUUCCCGCGGACCCUCGGAUUACACGUCUUAGAUUUUCUGACAAACCCUAACGUGUUCCGAGGGCAUACUCUCUUCCAUUAGCCUUUGUUCUAUGAACUCAUCUACUUGCUAUUGUGCAGGUCUCCGCACGAGCUUCCUCCGCGUUAUCAGUAACGAUCGACAUGCUCAGUGGUCGCUAUCUGUACCAAACUCUCCGCAAGCAAGCGAACGGUGAAGCGGUGGCCGAUCAAUAACACAGUAUAGAGAUCGACCUGCACGGCGAUCGACUGUAAUUCUCACCAAUUCUCUGCUCGCCGUUGGCGUGUCCAUUGAUGGCAGCCCUUUGUAGGCCCUCAUCUUGUAUCUGCAAACCUAUCGACGCAACUGUGAUUCUUCGUAACUCACUAGAAACUACACUGAAUUAUGAGACCCUAAACUCAAACAUUACUCACAAUGAACACUAGUUGACAGAAAAAAACUCCAAUUCAGAAUAACUUAUCCAGAGAAAGCCUUUUGCGUUCAUUAUGAACUUUGUUUAGAAAAAAAACUCAACCCUAACGGUUUCUCUGUGAAAGCUUAGUGGUUUGGAAGCUGUGAAUAAAACAAACUCAAAUCUAGCCAAAGCAACCCUCCAAAUAUACUGGAUCAUGGGAAGCUUGAAAGAAACGUACUUGUAAUUCUAGAAUCACAUGGAAAUAAAACUCGGGCAUGUGUAUGUCUUUGUGUUGUUUGAACAAGAGUUUGUCUUGAGGAUUCAUUAUUUUGCAUCACAAAAUCUGUGCAUGCUCUUUAGCUGGAUGGUUGAUUGAUUAACUAAGUUGGGCUUAGAUGUGCUAAUUUGUUGCUCACAUAUGAGCCAAGAAGGAUGAAAAUAAUGGGGUGUUUUUUUAACGAAUGUGAAAAAAUGCAUGUAGUUAAAAAUCGCAUUCUUGGAUGUGUAUGGGAAAAGGUAGUAGAAUCUGCACCAGGAUUGGGUCAAGACUAUCGUUCUUCUAAUCUUGUCAACUUGCUUCUGUUUAGGAUUUGUUUUUAUGAGUCAGCGUAGCCACAUGCUGGACAUAGUCAAUACAUAAAUAAUUGUUUGAUUAUGAUUGACAGAACUGGUACACAAAUGCACGUGCGUGGUGUUUUUUAUUUUAUUUUAAUUUUAAUUUUUUCCAGCGGUAAGAUUUUAGUAGUUAUCUAGAAAUCAUGGAAGCACUAGUUUUUCCUCUAGCCAUCCAAAUAUAAAACAUAUUUCUUCAGUGUUUUAUUUCCAUUAAUUUUUGUGAUGGAUACAACAAACAGGUAGGUAUAACAAACCUUCUAUUAUUUUCGAAUCUCAUAGUUUUUUUAGAAAACUAUAUGAUACUGUAUAAUACAAACAUUAGAAGAUAGAAGAAAAAUUAUGCAAUAUUAUGCUGUAAGAUGAUAAUUUUAUGAAAAGAUCAUCUUUCGACUGAGAUGUGGAUUGUACACAACUAUAAUUAUAAUGUAAUACUUUUAGAGUACUUAAUUUUGACUUCUUAGUCGUCAAAGAACCAACGUGACUAAUUAAAAUUUUACAACUUUGAUGUCUACUCAUUUACUAAUCUACUAAUUUUUACAAACUUCAAAAAUUGCAGAUGUAGAAAAUAUUGAAAAAAAUCAUACUAUGAAUACAAUACCAUUUACUAAUGUAUUGAUGUGCAACACCAUUUACUUGUAUUUUAUGAUUAAUGUCAACAAUAUUUUAAAAUUAAAAUAUAGAAUACAACAUUUUAUUUUUUAAGGACUUAAAAUAAUCAUUUAGAAAUACUAUAAAUAUACAUACAUACAUACAUACAUACAUACAUACAUACAUACAUCAAGAGGAAACCCAUUUAGCAAGCUAAAUGAAACUAUUAUGCAUUUCAUUGUUUUAUGGUUCUAUUAUUUGCAUUUUUAUUUAGGUUUUAAUCUAUUUUUAUGUAUAUUUUCUUCAUAUUUUGCAUAAAAAUAAAAAUAAAAUAAAAAUGUAUAAACUUUAAUAAUUAAAAAAUAUUAUUUUUUCUAUUUUUGUAACAUAAUUCACGAUGUUACAUUUUACUACUCAAAUAUGAACACGGAGUGAGUCGAGAACAGGGCUGUGGUGUGAAAGUGGUCCUAGUGUGAACAGGGAAACUCCAUGAAAGGAGUUAAUUUGUCUAGCAUAAGGCUGCAGUGUGAACGAGGCUAAAGUGUGAUAUGUAUAUACAUAUAUAUAUAUAUAUAUAUAUACAUAAGAGAAAGGAGACCCAUUUUGCAUGCUUAAAGAUUGUUGAAGCCUAGAAGAAUUUUUUUUAGAGAAUCUGCAUUACAAAUAGUUUUUCAUAUCACACUAUCAUCACAAAAAUAUUGUGAAAUUUUGAUGUGAGAUUGGUUGAAUUUUUUGAGAUAUUUUUAUUUAUGAUUUUUCCUAAAGACCUUAUAGAAAUUUUUUAAAAAAUCACCAAAAAGUUGGAAAAUGUUUACAUUAAAUACAAAUUAGAAUAUUUUUAAAAAUUCAGCAAAUCAGAUAUCAGUUGCAAUUCAGUCAAUCGGGGAGUUGAAUGAAAUUAAUAGUUGGAAUCCAAUCAAUUAGGUAAUAUUUGGACAGACACCAAUUUUAUAUAGCUAAAGAGUAUAUCUAUAUAUAUAUAUAUAUAUAUAUAUUCAUGUAUUGGCUCUGUAAAUUCCAAAGCAUAGUUUUUGAUUAUAUACUUUAUAUCAUAGUUUUUUUUUUUGAAUAAAGUAAUAUGUUGCUUAACAUCAACAUUUGUAAGUAUGUAUAUAUACACACAUAUAUUAUUUGAUGUUAAAAUUACAUCAUGUUGGUUCAAAGUAAAUUAGGUAAUAUAUUAAAUAUAUAUUAAAUAAAUUUUAGAAAUAAAUAGAAGUCUCAAAAAAAUAAUAACUAGAUUUUAUAAAUAUAAACUUGAAUGUAUUAAAUGAGAUUCAACUCUUAACUUCCUAUGUAAAAGUUUUAAUCACAUUCAAAAAACUUUUAACAAUGAACAUGAUAUUCAGUCUUUGUAAAGCCUACAUUCUGGUGUAAAAUAAAACAAAUUAAAAAUAAACAUCUAGAAUGCUUUUCCAAUUUGUUUUUACAUUCAUUAAUAUCGCUAUCCAUGUAAACAUUUGAAUGAACAUGUUCGUUAAUGGUAGCAGCAGUGGUAUAAUUGUCUAGGGUUAAGGCCCACUCAGGCACAGUUGGGAUUAGUUGAUACCAACUGGAAGGUUUCUAAUGGUGAUGUCAGGCUUCUAUUAAUUUAUAAGAACAGAAUAAUUUAUUUGUUUUUUUUUCCUCUGAAUGCCAUUUGGUGUGAUCUGUUAUUGUCUUUGUUCGCAUGUGUGUGUAUUUAAGAAGAACCCACAAUUUUCGAGAUGAAUAUGGUGUGAGGUCCUGGAUAGAUUGCUCAUUGUGAAACUUGAGCGUUCCAAGUUUGAAAGAAGCAAUUAGUGCAACGGAACGGAAGAGUGAAGGACUUAUAAGAAUGCCUAACUGCCUACUAUUUCAAAAGAAGAAAUGUGUGUAAUUAUUUGCAGUGUUCAAAUCUUCUAAACUGAAUUCUUGGCUUGAAGUGAUUUUAUUUUGUGAUGGUAUUUGAUUGUGCAAUACACUUCUGGACUUGGAGUUUUAAGAUGCUGUCUUUGGAUGACGGGUGCAGAAGCCCUUGUUGCAUUUCUAAUCAAUGUAUUGCAUGCAGCCUUGUAACAAAUGUGGCCUAUGCAAAUUUAGUGCAGAGAAUUUUAGUGAUGUGAAUUUGAAGAAGAUUUUCAUGUUUUUUGUAGCAUUCAUGGAAACAUUAUGGAAGACAUUAUUUAGUAAAUCUAAUUGAUAAAACUAUUCAAUUUUCAUUCAUAAUUUUACUUAAGUUUAUGGGUUUCAUGACUCUCCUUCUUUUUCUUUUUCUAUGGCUUUGUUUAAGAUUUUAAUAAAUUUUCUUCAUUAUCAAUCCUAUACUAGGUCUAUAUAGCCAUGGGACACAUAUCCAAUGAUGCAAUUAGUUUCUUUAUUUUCAAUGCUGAAAGAUAUUCUUAUUUAAACAUUUAACAAUGAUUGUAGCCAUAAGAUAAGAUUAGUAGAAAUUAUAACCAUUAAAAGAUUUCAAACAUGGUGCUCUUCUAAAAAAAAUAAUCAAAAUUUAGCAUUUGAUAUUUCUAUGAUUAUGCAAACUAUCAAAUCUAAAAGAUUAUGAAGGAUAUGAAUCUCAAAGAAGUAAAAGUUCAAUACACUCUAAUGUGACUUGACAUAACUAAAGAAUCAUUCAAAGAUAAUAUAAUAUUAAACUAGAAUGGCUACUGCCAAAGACGAAAAAACUAGAAAGACUUGAAAGAAGACUAAGGACUACAAAGGCAUUGACAAGAGUAAAGAGAAUUUUAUUCUUGCCUCCAUAUAUACUAUCCAACUAAAAGCUAUAUGGUGACAUUCUAUAGGACAUCCAACAUGUGUCCAAUUUGCAAGAGACAUGACUUAAUUUGCAAGACAAAUUCUAUAUAUGCAUGCCAUAUUGUUAGCUUGUACUACAAACUAUCCACAUAUAUAACACAUGGCUAAUUUAUUAGUCAAGUUUUUAACCUACUAAUCAACUAUAAAUACAUAUAAAGUCAAAUACAUACUUAUGAAGGACUAAGAAGUUUUACCACAAGAUAAUAUUAGAUUUAUUUAUAUUUAUCUUCUAUCUAACACUUCUUAUCUAGAUAAAUAUAUAUGUCUUUAAUAUUAUCCCUUCUUCUAGGAACAAGUUCUAUGAGGAAAAGGUCAUAAUAUAUUGAGAAAGUCCAAGAUGUGGCCAAUUGUAUUUGUCACAUAUUUUGAUCUUUAUUUUCUUUGAAGGUGAUUGAUAGAUCUUCUUAGACAUUGAUAAUAUUUCAUUCCACAGCAAGAAGACCAUCCUAUUAUUUAGUCAUUGUUGAAGUCUUUGUAACUUCCUUCAAGCAAAAUAUUUGUAACACCAUCAAGACUCAUUCUUACUUCUAAUACAAUCAUCAAUCAUCAAGAAAUUUUCCAAUGUCAUGAUACCAAGCAUGUUGUAUCUCGCCAUCUAUUCAAGAAAGAACUUGUCAUUCUUGAGAAUCUUCAUCUUCAUUAUAUCUUCUUUAAGGCUAUGAAAAUUAUAAUAUUUUAUUUAAUAAAUCAUCAAAUAAUAGCUCUUGAGUUGAAUCUCGUAGUUUUUGGUUUUUUAUUUCUUUAUUGCUACAAAUACACAUAAAUUACAAAUAAAGGUAGAAAAUAAAAUGAAAUAUUUUUUAAACUAUUUUUUUUUUAUAGCAAAGAUGUAUUAUUCUUCAUCUUGAUUUGAUUGGAUAUUAUCAAUAAAAAGUAUCAACCUUCUUUCUUGUAUUUGUAAGAUUCUUAGCUGGUUCCUAUAUGCAUUCACUUAUAUCAUAUUUAUAUCAAUAAACAAGAUAUUUCAAUCUAUUUUGACGCCACCUAAAGUAUAAGACUCUUUCCAUAUCUAAUUCUUAAUUAUUAUUUACUUCUACAAGAUGAAGUAGCAUUUAUCUUCUUUCCAAGAUAUUCACUCCCUCAUAUAACUCAAGUAGAGAUAUAUAGAAUAUAAAAUGGAUCUUCUUAGACUUUAAUAGAUGUAAUUGAUAUACAAUUAGAUUGAUUUGUUCACAAAUAGGAAAUAGUCUAAAUCUAUAAUAAUCCAACUUAUUACAAAGGUGACUAGCCUUGAUAUUAUAACAAAGUAAUCAUAUCUUAUUGCUAACAUAGAAUUGAAGUUUCUUCUUACAAUAAGCAUUUACAUUGGUUUAUUUUUAUUUUUGAGCUUCUUUUAGUUGUGCCUUCAUUAUUGUAUAUAUCUCAGAUAAAGAAUUUGUUAAAUCUUCUACCACAGGAUUAACAACUUUUGAAAAGUCAAAAGCAUCAAGUUAUAAAUAAUAACCAUAGUAAGUAAAAAAUGAUGUUUAUUACAUAAAAAAAUAUAAUAUUAUUAUAAUCAAAUUUUAUCAAUAAUCAAAGAAUUAUUCAAUCAUCUUAUUGGUAGAUGAUACACCAUAAAUAUCGCUUUAAAAUUAGGUUUACAUACUUUAUUUACUUAUUGGUUUGAGGAUAAAAAGCCAAAGAUAGCUUUAUAUCCACCUUUAAAAUCUUAAAAAGGAUUUUUCAAAAUCUUGAUAUAAAUUGAGCCUCCCUAUCUGAUAUAAUAUCCUAAAGUAAUCCAUGAUAGCAAUAGAUAUUGUCAAGAAAUAGCUUAGCUAUUUCUUCACCAAUAAUAAUCUUCAUAAAAUAAUCUACUAUCACAAAUGUAGAAUUAUACAAAUUUGAGAUUAAAAGAUUUGUGAUAAAAUCCAUAGAAAUUAAAGACCACAAUUGUUCUAAAAUAGGUAAUGCUUGGAGAAGUCCAUAGGAUUGAUGAUGAAAAGUUUUUGAACUUAAACAAACGUUAUAUGAUUAUAAAAAGUCUUUGAUUUCUUUUUAUAUUUUAAGCUACCAAAAAUCUUUUGAUAUUAGCUCAAAAGAUUUGUUGUAUUCAAAAUAUUUGGCCACUAGAAAGUCAUGAUAAGCUUAAAGAAUAUAUAAUUGUGCUUUGUCUUUUAGAAUAGAUAAUCAUUCUUUAAAAUAAAAUAUAUUGUUCUUGAAUUCAAUCUUAAAAAUUUCAUAAGACUAAAAAUAAUUAUUUUUAAUACCAUAAAAAAAUGAUCAAAAGACAUACUUAAUUGAACUUAUUUUUGAAAGAUCAAAUCAAUAGUUAAUGUUGAUUUCAUUUAUCAAAGAUAAAAAUAUUCUAAUUUCAAGAGAAUUAUUCUUUGUUGAUCAAAAGUUAUAUUUCCUUAUUUGGAUGCAAGAUAAGAAUAUUUAAAAAGAUCAUCAAACAAAUCUUAUUAUUUUUUGAAUCAAUAAUUGAUCUUAAAAUCAAAUCUUCAUAAAAACAUGUUCCAAUAGCUUCAAAUCAUGUAUCCAUAUGAAGUAUUUAAAUUUCUUAUAAUUUAUAAACUUAGUGGCUGGACUAAAAGUAGCUUUUAAACAAUGAUAUCAUUCUUGAAAUGAAUCUAUGAUUGCAAGAAGUUCUUUGUCAUAGAUCUUAUAAUUAAACCUCGAUGUUGAAAAUUUCUUCAAAUAAAAAGUUACUAGGUGGAUCUUAUGAUUUCUUCCUAUUUGUGAUAAUACUGCACCUAUAUCAAUAUCUAAUGCAUUUAUUUUCAUAAAAAAUAUCUUAAAAAAUUAACAUGAUACAAAAUUGGUGCUUAAAUAAAUGUUGUCUUCUAAGCUUCAAAAGAUGCUUCAAUUUCUUUUUUUAAGUUUUUUUUUACAUGUCAAAUAUAUAAGAAGAGUCACAACUUGAAAAAAGUUCUUAAUAAAGAUUUGAUAAUAAUUGAUAAAUCUCAAAAAAUAUUACAUGUCUCAGAUUUUUUUUGAAAUCUUCCAAUCUAUGAUAGUCUAAACUUCUUAGGAUCUUUUAUAAGACCAUUAUUUGAAAUAAUUUAUCUUAAGAAAUCAACUUGAAUAGUGAGAAAUAGAUACUUUUUUUUUAUCUUGGUAUAUAAUCAUGUAUUUAUAAGUUUUUGUAGCAUGUGAUAAAUAUAAAGUUCAUGCUUCUAUGUUCUUAGAAUAGAUAAAAUAUCAUCUUAAUAAUCUACCAUAUAAUCAUUAAAAAACUCAUAAAAGACAUCAUUUAUCAAAAAUUGAAAUGUAGCUAGUAUAUUUUUGAGCCAAAAAGACAUCAUAUUAUAUUUGAAAUAUCCAUAUUUAGUUUAAAUUAUAAUCUUUUAUUCAUCUCUUUUUUUGAUGCAUAUUAGAUUGCAUAUUCUUUAUAAAUCUAUUUUUAUAUAAAUUUUUACUUCAUUGAAUUGAAAAAAAAAUUCUAAAAUAAAAGAUAGAAUAUAUCUAUUCUUUAUGGUGAUCUUGUUGAAUCUUUGAUAGUCAAUACAUAUUUACAAAAAAUUGUCUUCUUUUUUUAUAAAUAAAGAUAGAAGCUCCUAUUAGAGAUUUAGAAUGAUAUAUGAAGUUUUUAGCAAAGUUCUUAUAAAUAUAUGCUUUGAAUGGAGUCAACUUAUUUUAUGAUAAACUAUAAAUUGGUCCAAAUAGUUGUUGAAUUUUAUCUUGAAGAUCAAUAGAAUAGUCUUAAGAACAAUGUUCUAUAAAAAUAUCUAUAUUAUUUUUCUCAAAAAUAUCUUAUUAAUCUUAGUACUAGCUUGAAAUAUGACUUAAAGUCUUUUCUCUAUUAAAUAGGUGUGGCAUAUAUAACAAAAGUUGAUUGUUCUUUUGCCAUAUGCAUAAAAGAUCUUUUACCUAUCAAUUAGAAUUUGGUUGUUUUGGAUUUAUGGAUUUCUACAUAACUAGCAGAAUCCUAGUCCAAACUACAAAAAAUGUCAAUAAUACAAGAAGUCCUAUCUAUUUUAGAAUGAUAUUUUUUUAUCCAAAAUAAUUCUAAAAUAAUUGAAUUGGAUGGAAAUCUAAUAACAUUAAAUAUUACUAAGCUAUUAUAAUCUUUAUUUUUUAUAUUUAAAGGAAGAAUUUUAUAUGUAAUGUCUUUAGAGGACGAUGAACAACUAUUUAUGACUACAUGCAUGGACUUAUUUUUCUUGACUAAAGAUAUUUCUUGUUAUUUAAUAAAAGAUUUAUCUACAAAACAAGGUAAGUGAAACAAGACUAAUCUAUUUUGAGAGUGUAAGACUCUUGAAAUCUACAAUCACAUAAAACCUCAUCACAAAGUAGGACAAAAUGGACCAAAAUAAAAUUGAACAGAAGUAAAUAAAAUAAGACAUGAAAGAUAAAACUGUAUAAACAAAAAUAAAACAAAAUAGAAUUGAAAAUGAAGAUGAAAAACCAAAAUUUAGUAAGAGAAAAGAUCCAAAGUCAUACUUGACUAGAUGCCAAGAAGGCCAUGGUCAGUCCUAUUUAUAUUUUCUUCUAUUAUCUUAGACUUUCUAGAAUGUUUCUAAAUGAUGCACCUUAUUUAGAUAAUCUUCCUAAGCUUUUUUUAAAACAUUCUAUGGUAGGCUCUACUUAAAUAACCGCCCUCAACUCUUUUUAGAAUGUUCUUUAGUGGAUUUUGUGAAUCAUCAAAUCGACUCACUAGUUGUUUUAGUUGGUUUAAUAUUUUUUUAUUUAUUAUUGAGUAUCGAGGAAUAUUUAUUAAGGUCAAUAUUUAUAUUAGCCUUCAAUCUAUACAUAUUAUUUAUAAAAAAAUAUAAAUAUUAGUUAAUAAUUAAAAGAAGCAUGAGAAAGAACUUCAUGUCUUUUUAGGUGUUUGUAUAAAAAAUAAGAUUUAUAGUAGAUUUAAAUUAAAUUUAUUAUUAUAAAAAAAAUCAUCAAGAUAAUAAAGUACAGCUUCAAAUUUAUUUUAAUAUUAUAGAAAUAUUAUAAGAAUUUUUAGAAUUUAUUUAAAAUUUAUUUAGAAUUUAUUUAGGAAUUUUGAGAAUAAUUUUCAAGACUUUGAUAAAAAUGAGUUUUACUACUUCGGAAGCCAUUAUGAAGAAAUAAAAUAAGAUUUGAAGGCCACAUCAAGCUUCUAGGCUAAUUGGAUGUUUUAAAUACCAUGGUGAAGUCAAAAAUGUAAAAUUAUUGGUUUUACUAGUAGAAAGUAGGAGGACCAGCAGCUAAUAUAGUCCUUGUAAGAAGGGAGGUGCACCAGUCCCAUAUGGGUUGUAGCACCUUGAAGGUAGUUAGGAAGAUAAGACUAAGGCCUCACAGACUCUCUUAGCUCUACUUGUGAGCCUUGGUGAGGCUCGAACUCAUGAUCUCUUAAGCAAGUUAUGUUAAAGGUUGUGAGUGUAAAUUUUUAUUCCUCAACUCAAGUUACAAGAUGGCCUCAAUUAAGAGUUGCUUGUAAUUGGUGGUGUAGAUUGAAGUAAAAAAAUGACAAGAACAAAAAUAGAACAACCACAAAGAAAUUGAAAUAAAUGAUAUGAAAUAAUAACAACACUCAAAACUAAGUCAUAGAUUGUUUAUUGUAUUUUCAUCCAAUAAAAAAUAGAAGUAAAAAGUAAAAAAUAUAUUUUUAGAUAGAUAAUUUUAUUGUCUUUUUAAUGAUAUAAGAAAUAUAUAAAUUAAAAUUAUUAUAAAUAAGUUAUGAAGUUUUAAAGAUAAGAAGUAAAUAAUUAAAAUUACUAUAAAUAAGUUAUGAAGUUUUAAAGAUAUGAAAUAAAUAAUUAAAAACUAAAGUAAAAAUAUUUUACUUCAAAGAUAAUUUAUUUAUAGAUCAAGGCUUCGAGCCUCACAAAGGUUCACAUGUAAUAUAUAUGGGUGUCUAAGAGAGGCCAUGAGGUCUUAGUCUUAUCUUCCUAACUACCUUCAAGGUCCUACAAUCCACAUGGGACUUAUGUACUUCCCUUUCUACAAGGACUACAUUAGUUACUUGUCUUCCUAUUUUCUACUAGAAGGACCAAUAUUUUUGCAAUUUUGACCUCAUGAUGGUAUUCAAAAACACUCAAUUACCUUACGAACCUUAUGUGGCAUUCAAAUAUUGGUCCAUUUCUUCAUAAAGGCUUCCAAAGUAAUAAAACUCAUUUUUACUAAGAUCUUAAAAAUUACUCUAAAAAUUCCUAAAACAUUCUAAAUAAAUUCUAAAAACUUCUAAAAAAUUCUAAAAUAUUUCUAUAUUGCUAAUAUCCAUCUAAGGCUAUAUUUUCCUACCUUGGUGAUUUUUGAUAAUAAUAAAAAUUAAUUUGAAUCCACAAUAAAUCAUAUUUUUUAUAUCAAUAAUAAAAAUGACAUGAGGUUCUUUCUCAUGCUUCUUCUAACUACUAAUAUUUAUAGUUUUUAUAAGUAGUACAUAUAGAUAGAAGUCCAAUAUAAAUUUUGGUCUUAAUAAUAAUCCUUAAUAUUCAAUGAUAAAUAAAAAUACUAAAUCAACAUAGAUAAUUGCCUCCAAAACUUACUAAGACUCCAUUUCCGCCACUAACAUUUUAAUUUUCUAUUUCUCUAAGGACUUCUACACUAUUCACCAUAUAUUAUGAUUUAAAGUAUUCUAAAUUCAUAUUUUUAUCCUAAAACAAUAAUUAAGUCAAUUUGAUGAUUCAUAAAGGUAAAAAUUAUUUAUUUAAAUUUUUAUUUAUUUACUUGUUAUUUUUCAAACCUUCAUAACUUAUUCAUAGUAACUCGGAUUUAUAUAUUUCUUAUACCAUUGAAAAGAUAAAAAUCAAAUUUUUAAAAAUAUAUUUUUUAAUUUUAUUUUUUAUUUUUUAUUAGAUGAAAACUCAAUGAACAGACUAUAACUGGUUUUGUAAUGUAUAAUUGCUUGAUUGUACUUAUUCUACUUGUUUUUUUGUUUUGCUUCAUUUGUUCUUGUUCUUGCUACUUUCACUUCAUACCACCCAUGACAAGUAACUCUUAAUUGAGGCCAUCUUGUUAUUAAGUUGAAGAGUGAAUUUUAUACUUACAAGUUUCAUAUGAUCCACUAACCUAGCCCUAAUUCUAGAAACUUCCAUAACUUCUCAAGCAUAGUUUCAACUAUCUAUCUCUAUGUGUCAAUAAUAUAAAUAUCUUAUUUAUACCGUGUUAGUGUUAAUCUCCCUCCACUAAUAUAAAAUGUCCUCAUUUUGCUUCCAAUGGUAUCUCGAAAUUGUCUUUUGGCAAUGGAUGAAGUUAUGUGUAGGUUCCUACAUUGUAUCAUAGAUGGAAUAAACUUUUGAAAGAACUUUGUACUGAAGUUUUGGACGUCCAUUGCCAUAGCAAAGGUAUUGAUGCUCUAAAAUCUUAUAUACUUCAUAUUUUUAUUGGUCAUCAACUACAACUGGUGGUAGUAUUGAUUGAUAUUAAUUCAAAAAGCACUUUGGCUCAAUAUGAAAUUUCUUCAAUUGCAAAACAUAGAAGAUUGGAUGGAUCCGAAUAUGUGGUGAAAGCUUGAGGCGAUAUGUAAUAUAAAAAAUCUCUAUAGAAAUAAGAAAAUGUCGAAGCUACUAAAGUGUCAAUUUAUGGAUUUUGGUUGAUGUAGCAAGUUGCAAGUUGAUAUUAGAGAAUAACACUUGGUCACUUUCUCAAAAGAUCUUGUAUUGUCGAUGGCUAUCCACAUAUUAUUUUUGUCAAUUUUGUGUGAUAAAGAGGGGAUGUUGUGCUUCUUGUAAGGCCAUUGUAAGCCUUUAUAUAAACUCCUAUGUUGUUGGUUUGUUGAUAUCAAUGGAACAAUAAAAAGUUUUUAGCGUAAUUAGAUGCUAAUUGAUAUUAAAAAAAAUAUUGAAUGACUAAUACUUGCUUGAAUAUUACUAUUGUAAGCAAACUUUGAGGGUGUCUGUCACGGACACAAAAUACAGACUUGAAAUCUAACAAGAAGUUCAAGAAGAAGUGGCAGAACUAGAUUAAACAGAUGAGUACAAGAACAACACCAGAAGGGUGAGCUAGAACUCCAAGAGAUGUGUUGUCGAGACUGAAGAACCCUUCAGCCUCGACUCCUAUAUAUACUACUGAAUAGGAAGCUUCUCGAGCUACUUCCGCUAACUAGGACGCUUCUCCAACAACUUCUACUAAUUAGGAAACUUCUCGAGCAACUUUCUAGAAUCUAUCAGAAUAUUCUAGAACCUUCUAAGAGAAUCUUUAGGGAAUAUUCUAAGAAUAUUCUAGAACCUUCUAAAGGAAUAUUUAGAGAAUCUUUAGAGAAUAUUCUAGAAGAAUAUUCGAAGAAUCUUCCAAUGUAUGUCCAUGACAUCACCUCCUCUUCUAACUUCGAGGUCUCCGAGAAGCAAUGUUGUUAUCAGUCAAUACCAACGCAAGAAAAUGAAAAUCUGUCGCAUCACAUCCGCUAUGAAUUCCAAUUGUUGUUCGCGAGGCAAAUGAUUCAUCGGCCCUUCGAGCCAACGGUAGUGACCAACACCUUCAACCUCUGACUAAGCGUGGACUUCUGUGUCUUCAUUGUGAAACUGUCCUCCAAACACACCUUCUGGCUGACCGUCGUAGGCAGGCUCGACCUCAAAUACAAUUACUAGCGAUCUGUUGCUCGGUAUCCUCCGACGUCGUCGUGGUGCAGGCGGUUCUUCAUCUCGCGGUCGUCUUCGUGAGCUAGUCGCUUGAGAUGACAUAACAAGUGUAGUAUCUUGACUAUCCAUGUCCAAAGGCUAAAAUGAUGAGAGCAAACUAUAGUUGCUAACAAAGUUCUACACUAUCGAACUAUGGGUUUUGGAGGUGCCCUCCCCCCUUUUUAUGCUACUUGAUGAACAAGCUUCAGCAAGAAGCUAUCGUUGAAUCGGCUUAGGUUUAUGAGGAUAUCGUUGAUGAAAUUCUUGUACCUUUUUUGGUGCAUUGGCAAGAUUUUUGGCACGCUCCCACGUUCGUUCAUUGAUAUCGUAUCCACUCCAAUGCACUAAAUACUCCAAUUUUCUCCUAUUACGCCGUGAAUCUAGUACCUUUUCCACCUCGUAUUCCUCAUGGUUUUCAAUUUCGAUACUUGGUGGCGGACUUUGUACUCUUUGGAGAAAAGCUGACUCUCGAUAAGGUUCCAACAAAGACACAUGAAAGACUGGAUGUACCUUCAUAGUAGCUGGUAACUCCAGACGAUAUGCCACCGGAUUGAUCUGCUUCUCGAUAACAAAUGGCCCUAAUCUUCGAUAGUCCAAUUUGUCACAUGGCCGCUUGGUCUUGAUAUUCCGUCGAAGAAGCCAUACUUUACUUCCAACUUUAAAAGUAGGCGCCUCAUUUCGAUAUUUAUCUGCAGAUGCCUUGUAACUCUCUUGGGCAGAUUGCAAUUGAAGCUUCAACGUCGCUUGAAGCUCCGAUAGUUGCUUCACAAAUCCUUCAGCUGCUGGGUUGUUAUUUGCUGAAGAACUCAAUAAAUCGAGCUUGGGGUGGUAUCCGUAGUUGGAGAAGAAUGGUGUUUGUUGAGUUGACGCAUGAAGAGUGUUGUUGUAUGCGAACUCAGCAAGCGGUAGAUAUGCAGUCCAAUCAUCUUGUUGAUAGUUGAUGCUGCAUCGUAAAUAUUGCUCCAAAACUUGAUUCACCCGCUCCGUUUGACCGUCAGUUUGAGGAUGAAAAGCCGAAGAGAGCUUAAUAUCCACCUUCAAUAUCUCAAAGAGGGACCUCCAAAACUUGGAUACAAACUGAGUACCUCGAUCCGACACGAUAUCAUCUGGUAGGCCAUGAUAACGAUAUAUGUUAUCAAGAAAGAGUCUUGCGGUGUCUUCACUUGACGAUGUUUUCUUGCAAGGCACGAAAUGCGCCAUCUUUGUAAAUCGAUCCACCACAACAAAGAUGCUGUCAAAUGAAUUCGAUGGCAGUAGGUCCGUAAUGAAGUCCAUAGAAACUGAAGACCAUGGUCGGUGCGGAAUAGGCAAUGGCUGGAGAAGUCCAUACGGACGAUGUCGAGGGAUCUUGGAUCUUGAACAAACAUCACAAGAAAGGACAAAUUCCUUCACAUCCUUCCACAUUUGGGGCCACCAAAAAUCUCAUGAAAUGAACUCCAAAGUCUUGUUGAAUCCAAAAUGUCCCGCAACUGGAAAGUCGUGGCGAGAUUGAAGUACUCGGAGUCGAGUUGGUCCUUUCGGGAUAUACAACCGCUCCUCAAAAUAUAGAAGAUCUCCCUCCACCUUAAACUUGUCAUUAUCGACACGUUGUUUGAUGUCAAGAGCUAUAGAAUCCUCAAUGGUCGCAGUACGUACCUCGCUCAGGAAGCCGUCAUCGAUAGUUGCAACAGUAGCAAAAAUCCUGAAUUUUUCUGGUUUCAACAAUGUUGUACAUUGUUGAUCAAACGCUGCUUCUCCAGCCUUUGGCGCAAGAUACGAUCUCCUCGAUAAUGCGUCAGAUAAUCCUUGCUGUUUUCCAGGGCGGUAGGUGAUAAUAAAGUCAAAUCGUGAUAGAGACAUAUUCCAUCGAGCUUGACGACGAUUCAAAAUUCGAGCUGUCAUGAAGUACUCCAAAUUCUUGUGGUCCGUAUAAACAGUCACUGGAUGUGCAGCUCCUUCGAGGAAGUGACGCCACUCUUCGAAGGCAUCCACUAUAGCAAGCAGCUCUUUGUCGUGGAUCUCGUAGUUGAUCUCAGCAGCAGAGAACUUCCAUGAAUAGAACGCAACUGGGUGAAGCUUCUUGUCUAUGCCCAUCUGUGAAAGCACAGCUCCCAAAGCAAAAUCUGAAGCAUCGGUCUCUAAAUAGAAAGCCUUUGCAAAGUCAGGGUGUACCAAGAUUGGAGCCGUAGUGAAUGCCGUCUUGAGAUCUUGAAAUGCUUUUGCUGCUUGUGAUCCCCAUUCGAGCUUGUCUUUGCUUGUUAGACGCGUGAGUGGUGCAGCAACUUGAGAAUAAUUCUUGAUGAAGAUCCGAUAGAAGUUAGCAAAUCCAAGAAAACACUGAACAUCUCUAACCGUCUUCGGAACUUUCCAAGAUAUAAUUGCUUCUACCUUUUUUGGAUCCAUCUUCAAGCCCUCUGUAGUCGCAAUGAAGCCCAAAAAUUCCAUCUCAUUCUGGUGAAAUUGACACUUCUCCAACUUGACGUAGAGUCCUCGUUCGCGUAGUUUUUCAAGAACCAAACAAACGUGCUUCUCAUGUUCUUCUUCAUUCUUGGAAAAUAUCAAAAUAUCAUCCAGAUAGAUGACAACAAAGUCAUCGAGGUACUCCCGAAAGAUGUCGUUCAUCAUAUGCUAAAAGACCGGUGGAGCAUUGGUAAGACCAAAAGGCAUGACAUUGUACUCAAAAUGGCCAUACCUUGUACGAAAGGCUGUCUUCCAUUCAUCUCCUUCUUUGAUUCGCACAAGGUUGUAGGCUCCUCUUAAAUCAAUCUUUGUAAAAAUCCUUGCACGUCUAAGUUGAUCUAAGAGGCCGGAGAUCAAAGGUAAGGGAUAGCGAUUUUUCUUGGUCACCUUGUUGAGUCCUUAGUAGUCCACGCACAUCCGCAGUGAGCCAUCCUUUUUCUUCACGAAUAGGAUUGGUGCUCCAGCUGGCAACUUUGAAUGUCGAAUAAAAUUCUUGGCUAGAUUCUCAUCAAUGUACUUCCGCAAUUCUGCCAACUCCGUCUGCGAUAGGUUGUAUAUUGGACCAAAAGGUGGUUGCGCUCCUUCCUCUAAGUCUAUGGCGCAAUCAUAUAGUCGAUGUUCCGGCAGUAUAUCGGCGUUCUUCUUCUGAAACACGUCUUCAAAAUCCCUAUAUUGCUCUAGUAUAUUCGAUGUUGAGAUAUUCUCGCCGCUAGUUGGAGCUGCAUAAAUGACAAAUGGUGCGCCUUCCUUGGACGAUCUUAGGAACGCUCUCGCUCCAAUAAACAUGGAUUUCUUCAUGUAGGUUCUACCAACAGGUUUAUUAUUAUUUUUUUCAGGAAAUGUUAUCCUUCGUAGCCUCCAAUCAAUGGACGGAUUAUGAUCUUCUAACCAAGAAAGACCAAGGAUAACAGGGCUUGAUGGGGUUCUAAUAAUAUUAAAAAUAACGUGACUACUAUGGUCCUUAAACACCACUUCUAUAGGUUCUGAUUCGUGGGUAACGUUGCCUGACAAUAAGGGUCGUCCAUCUAUCACCUCUACGUGAACAGGUUUGGACUUCUAUACUAAACGGAUCUUGUGGCGUUUAGCAAACUCUUCAUCUAAAAAACAAGUAGAUGCCCCCGAAUCCAAUAAAGCUAAAGUUUUUUGUUUUUGAGGGCCUAAAAACAAAGGAAUUGUAAAACAACGGGCAGGUUGGACAGAGAAGGAGGAACUUGAUUGUUGUCGUGAUAUUAGAUUGUCCAGCCGCACGGUUCCUACUGUGGCUGGGCAUCGUCGUUUUCCGGAAUCAUCGCACUUCUAGUCUUGACAAGGUGCCAAUUUUGCUUCUUUGGGCAAUUUCCAACCUUGUGACGUUCUUCUCCACAGUACAAACAUAACCCUUCCUCCAUACGCCGUUUCUUCUCUGUUGGAGUAAGAGAUCGGACACGCGCCGUGUCGAUUUACAUGUCUGUUGCCUCCGAAUGUGAGUUUAAGCUAUUUGCAGACAUAGUCACGUCGUAACGAGUCAUUUGGUGUCUUGGACGUUGGUCUUGGCGACGCUGGAAUAGGCGGUUGUCACACUUUACAGCUUGGCUAAUAGCUUCGUUGAGCGUUUGAGGAUCAGGAAGAGAUAACAACAAGUCCUUCACAUCAUCCUUCAAGCCCCAAUAAAACUGACUCACCAACGCCUCUUCACCCCAAUUAAUGUCACUUGCCAAUUGUCUGAAAUCCGAGGCAUAGACUGAUGCAGAGCGUGUUCCUUGUCGUAGCGAUUGGAUCUUUGUUGUAGCCCAUCGAACUUUAUCAUGCUCGCCAAAUGCUUCUGCAAAUGCCUCCAAGAACGUUUCAAAGUUGCUCAGGAUUGGCAAUCGCUUCUCGAACAAGGGAGUAAACCAAGACAGAGCUUGUGCUGUAAGCAAGGUUCCAACAAGCCCAACACGCGCUUCCUCCGUCGGAUAACAUUCGGGCUGUAAAAUUGUUAUCAACCUGAUUUGGUUGACAAAACCUCGAAACUUGGAACGAGUUCCAUCAAACUUAUCCGGAAGACUAACUCGAGGCUCCUUUCGUUGUAGGACUACUCGAUCUUAUUGAAAUGGAGGUAGAACUGCUUCUUCUGGCGCAGAAGUUUAAGGUUGAUAUGCUUUAGAUGGCGCUAUCCCAGAUGCUCCAUUGUUAUGGAGUCCUACCAUGACUCCUUCGAUCUCUGUUGUCCUAUGUGACAACGAGGCAAGAGCAUUUAUGAUGGCGUCUAGUUUGGAUUCCAAACUUUCAGCCAUUUUAACGUCUUAACCUUCGGCUAACCUUCAGAAAGAAGAAAAAAGAGUUUUGACAAGAGGACAAUAUUGGUUCAGAGGAGAGUACUCCGCAACCUCUAAAACGCCUUAAGACUCCAAGAUGAAGGGUAAUCCACUCUCUCCAAGAAGAAUAAGGCUUCAAUAUUGAGAAAGAAGAGAUAUCAGUUUAGAGGAGGGUAAUCCGCAACCUCUAAAACACUAGCACACCUUCAAGAAGAGGGGUAAUCCACUCUCUAACAAGAAGGAACUAGCUCUGAUACUAGUGAAAAUGCAGUCUCGACAAACUGUCACGGACACAAAAUACAGACUUGAAAUCUAAUAAGAAGUUCAAGAAGAAGUGGCAGAACUAGAUUAAACAGAUGAGUACAAGAACAACACCAGAAAGGUGAGCUAGAACUCCAAGAGAUGUGUUGUCGAGACUGAAGAACCUUUCAGCCUCGACUCCUAUAUAUACUACUGAAUAGGAAGCUUCUCGAGCUACUUCCGCUAACUAGGACGCUUCUCCAACAACUUCUACUAAUUAGGAAACUUCUCGAGCAACUUCCUAGAAUCUAUCAGAAUAUUCUAGAACCUUCUAAGAGAAUCUUUAGGGAAUAUUCUAAGAAUCUUCUAGAACCUUCUAAAGGAAUCUUUAGAGAAUAUUCUAGAAGAAUAUUCGAAGAAUCUUCCAAUGUAUGUCCAUGACAGUGUCAAGUAUUCAUCUUAGUCAUUAUAAUGAAGUACCACAAAUACCUUUAGCAUAUCUUCUAAGGUCUGAUUUCUAUGCUUUGUUUGUCUACCUAUUUAGAGAUCAAAGACAUUACACAUGAUAAGUCGUGAGCUUGAACAAAGCUUGCCAAAAGCUUCUCAUAAAAUAUGGAACUUGAUUUGAAACAAUGACAUGAGAUAAGCUAUGGUGACAAAAAAUAAUAUCAAAGAAGGUUCACGCAAGUACUAGGGCAUCAAUAUUUGAGCAUACUGUAGUUAAGUAAAGUUGCUUCAAAAGUCAAUCUACAAAGACGGCAACCAUAAUGUGAUUAUGAGGCGUUUGUGACAAACAUGUAAUGACAUUCAUAGUCACUUGCUUCCAACAUGCUGUAAAUAGUGGAAUUGACUACUAUAGUUCAAAAUACGUUGUAUUGUGUGCUUUAUUACAUUGACAUGACUUGUAGAAAUGCACAAAAGUUCAAACAUUACAAUCUAAACAUGCCCAAAAUAAAAUCUUUGAGAUCUAUUCUAGAGUCUUUUCUUACCCUAGAUAUCUAGAUAUUGGGAUAUCAUGUCCAUCUUGAAGUAUGUGCAUCUAAAAUAUAGUAUUGUUAGGUAUAUAAAUUUACUUCUUGAAAUAGAGUAAGCCAUCACUAAGAUUGUAAUCUGCAUACCGUAUAUCAUCAACCUUCAAUCGAUCACUAACCAUUUUAAAAUAAGCAUCCUAAUGUACAAUUUUUUUCUAUUUUACUUCUUUGGUUAAAUUUGAAAUAACUCUACUAAUGGUAGCAACUUUUGUCUUGUCUCUUAAUUCGGUCUUUAAGUUUGGUCUCCGCAAUAAGCUAUCUCACACAAUAUGUUAUUGCCUUGUUUAUACUCAAACUAGAUAUAAAAAAAACUGCAAUUUUUCUUCUUAACAACAAUGCCAUAAUUUUAUAUUUUCUAAAUGCAAAUUAUAUAGUAAGGAUUGAUGGUUAGUUCAAACAACCAUUGGCUUCUCCAAUAGAUAGUAUCGCCAUUUCUUUAAGUCAUGUACAAUUGCUAAUUGCUCUCAAUCACGUAUAGAGAAAUUAUGCUCUAUCUUUUUGAGCUUGGAUGAUUUAUAUGCCUUAAGUUGAAGGCCCCUAUUAAAGUCUUUUUGAAAGAUCAAUGUAAUAGUAAGGUCAAAAGCAUCAAUGUCAAGUGUACAAGGAAGAUUAAAAUCAUAUAAUUACAAUAUAAGAGUAGUAAUGAGUACAUCCUUCAAUCUAUCAAAGGUACUUUGCUGCUCCAGUUUCUAUUCAAAUAGGGCAUCUUUCUCUAAUAGGUUUGUCAAUGAGGUAGCUAUGUGUAUAAAUCAUUGAACAAAAUGGCAAUAAUAUCUAAUAAGACCUAAAAAUGAGUAGACUUUAGAAGCAUCUUUAAGAGUUGAUUAAUCCUCUAUUGCUUUCAUCUUAUCUUGUUCCAUGCACAUGCCUUUGGAAGACAUUACAUGCCUCAAAAAGGUAGCUUUCAACUUGCAAAGUUCACAUUUUAUUUGCUUACAAUAAAAGUGACUAUCUUUGAAGGAGAUUAUCCUUACUACCUAAUCAACUUGUUUAUUUUCCACCUCCAGCUGUGGCAUAUUAAAAAUAACAUUAUAUUUUAGCUUUGUUACCUUAAACUUCUUUCUUAGGAUAUAAGUGUUUUUCAAUCUCAAGGUUUUUUCUUCAGAUGUCUCACUUAAUAUGUUCUAUUAAUUAUCUAUAAGGUAUAUACUUCCUUUCUUGAUUAUCUUAGUUUUAAUCUUAAAUUGGUUGGUAAUUUCAAUCAAGAUGCAAUUUUUUGUAGAGCCACAAUCUACAAGUACUUGACAUGGUUGUCUUUUUAAUAGUCCUAUUAGAUGUAUCAAUCGACUCUUUUUAUAGUUGAUUAAGGCCAUGCCAUUUGUGACUGAGAGAUAGUAGCUAUCUGUAGUAUUGGCCUUCGGUGCCUUUACUAGAGAGCCUUGUUUUUCUCCUCUAUCUCAUUAUCCACUUGGUGAGUCUUGACAUUGUGAAUCUAUCUCAUUUUGUUGAUGAUUGAAUUUUGACAUUUUGGACAAUCUAUAAUGUGAUGGCCUGGUUCUUUACAAUAGAAAUACAAUCCCUUUUGCACCAAUAUUUGUUAUCUUUGUGGUGUCAAUGAUCCUUAUAUGGCAUCAAUCUUCAUUGGCAUUGAUUGUUGUACCAAAGUAUUAGAUAGUAGCAUAAAACUUUGUGCUAUAGGUCGUGCUAUACGAUUUUUGAAAUCAAUAAUAUUGAUCUUCUCUGCAAUUCUAAUUGCUUCUUCAAACAUUUGUUGAUCCUUUAGCUCCACCUCUCAUUGGAUCCUAGGUUUUAUAUUUCAUAGAAAUUGAUCUAUCAUCUCUGCCUAUGAAAUAUUACCAAUUUGGAGAUAUAAAGACUUAAAUUGAGAGACAUAAUCUUGCACCAAUCUAGAUUUUGUAAGAUUUGUCAACUAAUCAUGUGCUAUCUUCUCCACAUUGAUAGGCCAAUAUUGAUUCUUGAACUAGGUCUCAAACUCCUUUCAAUUACAAAAUCUACCUUAAGCUUUAUAGCUUUGAACUUGAUAUCACCACCAAAUGGAUGCUGCAUCUUUUAAAUAAUUGGAUACAUACAUAAUUCUUUCAAUGGUAUUUUCUUUAGAUAUUUGGAAGUAUUGUUGUAUGUUGAUAAGCCAUUGACUUAUAUCUUCUUAUCUUGAAGUCUUAAAGUAUGUACUAGGCUUAGUCAAUUUCAGCCUAGAACAUGUCAAUUUUCUUAUUCAAGAGGCUUCUAUUUAUCAUUGUUAAGUAGCUAUUUGACCUAAGAGGUAUUGUAUUUGAGCCUUCAUCUAGAAUUGUUCCACCAUAUCUUCCAUGAUGUAAUUUUCUUAUUAGAUUCUACUAUUCUAAUGCCUUCUUAUCUUUUCGUUCAUUUUUUAGAAAUAAUUCAUGAUAGCUUUAAUACAAUAUCUAAUGUGACGAUAAUAAUUGACCUCAAAUCAGAUGAUGGCUAUAGACAUACUACCAAAGAAUAGUCUAACACUCCCUUUGAUACCAAUAAAAUAAGACUAGUCUAUUUUGAGAGUCUAAAUGUCUUCUAAUCUACAUCCACAUAAAAUCUCAUCACAAGGUAGGAUAUAAUGGACCAGAAUAACAAUGAAAAAAUGAACAAAAGUAAACAAAAUAGGACAAAAAAGAAAAAAUUAUGUAAAAAAAAUAGAACAAAAUAGAAUUGAAUAUAAAAAUGCCAAAGCAAAUUUUACUAAGAAAGAAGGUCCAAAGCUAUACCUAACCAAAUAGCCAAAAGUCCUUAGCUAAUUCUAUUUAUACUUGGUUCUACCACCCUACGCUUUCUAAAAUGUUCCUAGAUGAUAGACUCCUCUUAGAUAACCACCCUAAACUCCUUUUAGAAGAUUCUAUAGUAGAUCCUACUUAAAUAACUACUUUAAGCCUUUUCUAGAAGGUUCUAUGGUCGACUCUACCUAAAUAACUACCUUAAGUUCUUUCUAAAAUGUUCUACAAUUUGUCCCACAUGGUCCACUAAUCUAGCCCUAAUUAUAAAAACUUCCAUAAUUUUUCAAGUAUGGUUCCAACUAUCUAUGCCUAUGUAUCAAUAAUACAAAUAUCUUAUCUAUACCCUGUUACACUAAGGCUUUUGAAUCUAACAAGGCAAAGACUUUUUGAUUUUUUGAUCUUAAAUAAACUUCUAUUAUAAAACAAGGUGAAGGAUCUAAAAAAAAAUAUUAUCUUUAUUAGGUGUUAUAUAAGAUUUCAACCCCAUAGACUCUAUUAUAUUUGAAGAAACUUAUUUUUUGAUAUAUUAUUCUUUUUUAAUCUAUAUCAAAAUUGAUUAAUAAGGGCUUUUUCAUUUCAAUCUAUAUUAUAAGCAAGAUUUUGGAAUUCUAUAGCAUAUAUAGUGGCUAAAUAUGAUCUUUAUCUUAAAGAUAUAAGUUUGGUCUCUAUUAUCUUUUUUUGAUAUUUUUUUCUAAAAGUGGCUAUAAAUACUUCUAAGAAUGAAUUUAGAUCAUAGAAAAAACAUGAAUUUUUUUCAUCAAAGGUGUAAACCAAGAGAGAGUAUUCUUAGGGAGAAAUACACUUAUGAAUCUAACUUAGGUAAAUCCAUCAAAGUAUUGAGAAAGAUGCAAUUUUAGAUUUUUAUUUAUUACAAAAAUCUUUGAAAUCUUGAUCUUAUUCCAUCAAACUUUGUAGGCAUACUUAUCUUUGCCUCUUUCAUACUUAGAAUAAUAAGACUUCUUAGUUUUAGUUGUGAGCCUGAUCUACUUAUUUUUUUCAAUUGCACAACUUUUUGAUGUAGAAUUUGAACUUUAUUAUUGAUUUUUCCUAUAGAUAUCAAAAUACUACUUCUAUCAUUGUUGUUAGAGAUAUAAGAGAUUUCCACCCUAAGACUGUUAAUAAAUUCAUAAAAAUUUGUAAUGAUUUCAAAUCUAUUCUAAUUUUUGCAAUAAGUAGUAUCCAAAAAAAUUUCUUCUAUAAACAAUUCAAACAAAUCUAAAAAUUAAAUUAGAAGCAGAUAAUUAACAACUUCUAAUAUUAAAUGAAAGUUUUUAGAAAGAAGGCUAGUCCACUCUUUUGAAGAAAAAAAUGAAUAUUGAAAAACUAAAAGCGAAUUUAAGAAUGAAUAGUCUACAACCUUCAAAUCAUAAUAAUGAAAGUGGAAUAAUCUACUCUCUUAUAAUAAAAAAAACAAAAAAGGUGAGUUAGAAUUCUUAUCAAACUAUUAAGAAUAUAAAUCUUAAAAAACUAAAAGAUCAAUAUAUUCCAGUGUCACUUGAAAUAUUUGAAAAAUUACUCAAAGAUGGUAUGAUAUUAAAAUUAGAAUGGCUAUUGCCAAAGACAAGAAGAUAAAAAAAAUUUAAAAUAUGACUAAAGACUAGAAAAACAUUCAUAAGAAUAAAGAAGUUUUAGCUCUUGCCUCCAUAUAUAUUACCUAACUAGAAGCUAUGUGGUGAUGUCCUAUAAGAUCUCUAAUAUAUGUCUAAUUUGUAAGACAUGUUGUCUUGUUAUAUGAAAUCUUGCUUGAAAAUAUGCUAUAUACUUGGCUAUAGAAGAUAAAAAGAAAUUACAAUAAUAAGCCUUAAUUUUUUUAUUAGAAUCAUAUAUAAAUUAUAAUUAAAGCUUAAUAAACAUAAUUAAAUAUUAAUCAAGUUUAAUUGAUUUUUUAUAGAAAUUAUGAAAGAAAUAUAAAAAAAAUUCUAAAGAAAUUUUAAAGAAAUCAUAAAGAAAUAAUAUAGAAAUCCUAAAGAAAUCCUAAAAAUCUAAAAGAAAUUUUUAAAAAAUUCUAAAGAACUUCUAAUUAAAUUAUAAAAUAUUCAAAAGAAAUUUAAAAGAAUUCUUAAAGAAAUCUUAAAGAAAUUCUAAAUAAAUAAAUAAAUAAAUAAAUAAAUAAGUAACCAUAAAGAUCUGUAGUCAAAUUCUAAUGAAAUUUAAUAAAAACUUAAUCAAAUCCUAUUGAAAUUCUAAAGAAAUCCUAAUCAAAUCUGAGUAAUUCAAAUCAAUUCUAGAGUAGUUUUAGAACCUCAAUAUCUAUUGAUUAAACCAUUGAUCUUAUUUAAAAUUCCAUACACAUUUCAAUAUUUUUAUUAAAAAAAAGAAAAAAAAAAAUUGAAGAGAAUUGAACUUACAAAAUAGGAGAGAAAUAUCAUAAUAUACUUAGGUAUCAACCUACUUCCAUCUUUGAUCUUAAUAUUGAUCUUCUCUUAGGAAUAAUUCUUAAUUGAAUUGUUAUUUUUUUUUCAAAUUUUACUUAAGUAUUAGAAGUCAAGUCAAAUAUUAGUUCCAGUUAAAAUUAUUUCAAUCCAAAUGGAAAAUUGUUGCAAUUCUUAAAUAACCUUAUUAGACCUAAAAAUCCAAUUUUUGAGACCCUAGCCAACUUAAACUUCAAUAGCCUUUAAUCCAAUUGUCCAAUCAAGUUCAAAUUAACAAUAUAUGUUUAGUAUAUCUACAUACACAAACUUAUAAAAUUUUAUUUAUAGAUUUGCUAAGAAACUUAUGAAAUUUUUUAAAUUAUAAAUCCUAUUUUAUUUCACAUAAUCCAGAGUCAUCUAAAACAACCUUAAAUUUGCUAAACUCUUAUAAAGUGUUUACAAACUCAAAUUUUCCAAAUCAAAUGCUUAAAAAAAUUCUAUGAAGUCUUCUUUCAAAUCUUACUCUUUGAUUUAUAAAAGAAUCCUAUAGUCAUUGUUAGGUGUGUAAUUUUCUUUCUCAAGGUCUAAUUUUGAGCUUAGUUGAUAGCUGGUCCUCUUUUGAUAUCAAUUUUUGGUUUCUUGAGGUAGUUUUUGCUGAAAUCAACAUUUAAUUCCUUAGUAUAUAUGCCUACAUUAUUUAUUUUUCUAAUCUAUCUUGUUUUUUUUUAUUUAUGGUCCUACAAAGUAAGUAGAAGCUUACUUUGUAAAAAGGCAACAUUGAUACUUUUAGUGUAUUAUCUUUUAACUAUUAUUUAUAUUUUUGAGAUAAUUUUCUUUAAUAUUUUAAAAUAUGAUCUUCUAUAAUAUAAUAUUUUUAAAUUUUUUUUACCUUUUAGCCAUAUUACAUCAUAACAACAUGUCUUAAUUUGCAAAGCAAAUUUCUUAUAUGCAUGCCACAUUAUUAGCUUGUAACAUAUGGCUAACUUGUUAAUUAAGUUUUUAAUCUAUUAAUUAACUAUAAAUAUAUAUAAAGUCAAAUAUGUAUUUAUGAAGCUCUAAGAAGAUUUUCCAUAAGAUAAUAUUAAAUCUAUCUUUGUUACCUUCUACUUAACACUUCUUAUUUAGAAGAAUAUAUAUGUCCAUGAUAAAUAUCACCAUUCAAAUUUUAAUAUCUCUCUAUAUUUUAAGAAGUAACACUUGAUAUUUUGGUAAUAUAUCGUCAUAUUAAAUUCACCUAGCAUGUUAACUUAGCAUUCUACUUCUAUUCUUUUCAAUCUAAUAUGUUAUUUCUUAUGGCUCUAAAGCAGAUCUUGAAUCUUAUAAAUAGUAACAAAGAAAUUUAUUUUAGAAUAAAUAAAAAUAUAUUAAAGAUAAGAACUUGAUGAAAGUAAAUAAACAAGUGAGACUUUCUCAAAGAAUUAUGAAAAAAUAAAAAUAAGAAAGUAUUUAUAUUAAUAAAGAAAUUAGAAUGGCUAUUGCCAAAAGACAAGAAAAUUAGAGACGCUUGAAACUAGAUUAGAAGCAAGAAAAGAGUUGACAAGAAUGAAGAAGGCUUCACUCUUGCCUCUAUAUAUAUUAUCUACUUAAGAGCUGUGUCGCAAUAUUCUAUAGGACCUCCAAAAUAUGUUGAUUAUACACAAGAUAUUUCUUAACUUACAAGCCAAAUAUUCUAUAUGGACACCAUAUAGUUACCUUGUUUUGUAAGCUACCAACAUGUUAUUGUAUUCCAUGGCAUUUGGCUUGAGAAUGCAUUAGGCACCUAGCUGUGGAAGAUAAAAGAAAAAUUGCAACAACAAGUUUUAAUAACUCUAAUAGAUUCUUAAAUAAAUUAUAAUUAAAGAUUAGAAAAUAUAAUCAAACAUCAAUAAAAUUUAAUUAAAAUUUCAAAGGAAUUAUACAAGAAAUAAAAAGAAUUUUUAGAGAUCCUUUAAAUAAAUCAUAAAAAAAUAAUAUAGAAAUUCAAAAAAAAAUACUAAAAUAGAAAUCUUAAUAAAAAAUUAAAAGAAAAAUCUUAAUUAAAUCUUAGUCAAAAUUUAGUCAAAUCUUAAUCAAAUCUUAGUCAAACCUUGGUCAAAUCUUAAUCAAACCUUAAUCAACCUUUAAAUAAGCUCUAAUCAAAUCUUAAUCAAAUUCUAAACAAACCCUAACCAAAUCCUAAAUAAAUCCUAGUCAAAUCUUAGUCAAAUUCCAAAUAAGUCCUAAUCAUUUUGUAAUCAAAUCUUAAUUAAAUUCUAAUAAAAUCCUAAUCAAAUCCUAGACAAAUCCUAAAUAAGUCCUAAUCAAAUCCUAAAUAAAUUUUAGUCAAACUCUAGUCAAAUCCUAAUCAAAUCCUCAUCAAACCUUAAACAAAUCCUAAACAAAUCCUAAACAAAUCCUAACCAAAUAUUAAAUAAAUCUUAAUCAAAUCUUAAAUAUAACCUAAUCAAAUCUUAGAUAAAUUCUAACCAAAUUCUAACCUAAACCAAAUCCUAAUCCUAAUCAAAUCUUAAAUCAAAUCUAAAAUUCUAAUCCUAAUCUUAACCAAAUCCUAAUCCUAAUCAAAUCUUAAAUCAAUCCAAAAUCCUAAUCCUAAUCUUAAACUGAAUCCUAAUCAAUUCCAAGUAAUUCCUAUAGUAGUUUUAAAUCUCAAUAACUAAUGAAUGAAUUGUUUAUUUUAACUCAAAAUUUGCACAUCUUUUCACAAUUAAGUUGAUAAGGAGUAAAAAUAAAAUUAAAAAUGAUCGAAAUUACCAAAUAGAUGAUAACCUCAAAAAUGUGCUUGAGUGUCGGCUAGUCUUCUUCUCUCACCUUGAUGCUAAUCUCCCAAAGUCAAUUACUCUUGAUUGAACCAUUACUUUGAUUCCAAACUUUACACACUUAUUAGAAAUCAAGUUGACAACCUCUAUGAAAAAAAAAUUCUUAAAUCUAAUUGGUAAAUUGACAGAUAUCUAAGUAAAUCUUAUUGGUCUUGAAAACCCUAAAUUCUGAGACCAUAAUUUAGAAAAACCUUCAUGCCUUUCAAUCAAAUUGUUCGAUCAAAUCCAAAUUCACAGCACAUGUCAAGCACAACUACAUCCGCAAAUCCAAAUUUUUUCACUUGUAGAUCUAUUGCCAAAUUUACAAAAUUCUCCAAAAAGUAUCAUCCAUUUUAUUUUACAAAUCCAGAGUCACACAAAACAAAUUCCAAUUUUGCAAAGCUCUUAUAAAGUCAAUACACAUUCAAAUUACUUCAAAUUAAAACUCAAAGAAACUUCAUCAAAUCAACUUUUAGAUAAUUUUCUUUGAUCACUAAAAGAACUCUAGAGUUGUUGUCAAGGUUUGGUUUUGUGCCUCAAGAUCUGAUUUCAAUCUUAGUUAGUAACCGAUCUUCUUUGGAUAUCAACUCUUGAAUUUUUAAGGUAAUUUUUACCAAAAACUACUCUUAAUUUCUUUUUAAAGGUACAUAUAUUAUUUAUUUUUCUAAUCUACCUUAUUUUGCUCUAUUUGUGGUCCUACAAAAAAAAUAGAAGUCUAUUUUGCAAAAAGGCAGCAUUAGCUUGUUUAAUUUUUCUAUCCCUUGACUAUUAUCUAUUUUUUUAAGAUAAUUUUUUAUAAUAUUUUUGAAAUAAGAUCUUCAAAAAUAUGAUAUUUUCUUCACGCAUUCACCUAUUAGCCAUUUUACAUCAUAACAUAUAAUUAGUUUAUUUUGCAAGCUAUCAAUACGUGUGACAUGUGAUUAAUUUGUUGACUAAGUUUCUAAUCAAGUAUAAAUACAUAUAAAUUCAAAGCAGUGUGUAUGAAGCUUGUAAGAAGCUUUCUUAGAAGCUAUUAUAAAAUUAUUCUAUUUUUAUUUACUUCUAUCUAUUUAUAUUAUCUAAAUAAUAAUUAUAGUAAAUAUAUGUCUAUGAUAUUAUUUCUCCUUUUAGAGAUAAAUGCCAUAAGGAAUGGCAAUCACAUGUUGAAGAAGUCUAAGAUGUGGCAAAUUUUAUUUCCUAUAUACUUUAAACUUUAUUUUCUUUGAAGGUAAUUGAUAGGUCCUUUUAGUCAUUGAUAAUAUUCCAUUCCAAGGUGAAAAGACUACUAUAUUAUUUAAACAUUGUUGAAAUCUUCGUAACUUUAUUCAAACUAAAUAUUUGUAAUACCAUCACGAGUUGUUCUUAUUUCCAAUAAAAUCACCAAAUAUCAAGACUCCCUCUUAGGUUGUUGAAACCUUUGUAAUUUUCUAACUUCAUCUCUUUAAUCCCACAAUUAUACAAAAACUACAAAUAAGGAUAGAAGGUAGAAUGCAAUCAUUCCUAAAUUGUAUUUUUUUUCUAACAAAGGUUUGAUAUUUUUUAUCUUAGUUUUGAUGGAUGUUAUUGAUGAAAAGCUUUGACCUUCUCUAUUGCAUUUGUAAGGUUUUUUGCUUGCUCCCAUGUACAUUUAUUAAUAUCAUACAUGUGCCAAUAAAUAAGAUAUUUCAACCUAUGUUUGUACUAUCUCAAGUCUAAGACUUCUUCUACAUUAAAUUCUUCAUUAUUAUCCAUUGCAAUAGGAGGUCGUGAUAUUUGACUUCUUUCUAGAAAUUUUAUUGUCUUAUACGACUUUCAAAGAAUCAUGUAAAAUAUAAGAUAGAUUUUCAUGGACUUUAGUAGAUAUAAUUGAUAAGAAAUUAGAUUGAUUUAUUCAUAAAUAGAAAAUAGUUCAAGUCUACAAUGAUCUAACUUAUCACAAGAUCAAAUAAUUUUAAUAUUAUAAUAAAGUAAUCAUAUCUUAUUAUUAAUAUAAAAAUGAGGUUGUUUCUUGCAAUAGGCAUCCGUAUUGUUCUUUUGUUGUUCUUGAGCCUCUUUUAGUUGUAUCUUCAUUGCUAUAUGUAGCUCAAAUAAAUGAUUUGUUAAUUUUUUUGUUGCAUGAUUAUCAACUUUUAAAAAUUCAAAAGCAUCAAAUUAUAGAUGAUAAUUAUAAUUAAUAAAAAAAUAUAUUUUUUACAUAAAAGAAUGUACCAUAUUAUUAUAAGAAAAAUCUAUUAAUGGCAAAAGAGUUAUCUAAUCAUCUUCUUGGUAGUUGAUAGUAUACUUCAAAUAUUACUCAAAAACUUGAUUCACAUGCUUUGUUUGUCUAUCAAUUUGAAGAUGAAAAGUUGAAGAUAGUUUUAUAUCUAUCUUUAGAAUUUUAAAAAGCAUUAUCUAAAAUCUUGAUAUAAACUAAGUUUUCCUAUUUGAUAUAAUAUUUUUAGGUAGUCUAUGAUAGCAAUAGAUAUUGUUAAUGAAAAACUUGUUUCUUUACUUAUGAUAGAUUUUGUAUAUGGUAUAAAAUAUACCAUCUUAGUGAAAUGAUCUACUAUCACAAAUAUAAAGUCAUAAGAACUUGAGAGUAAAAGAUCCAUAAUAAAAUCUUUAGAAAUAGAAAGCUAUGAUUGUUUUGGAAUGAAUAAUGGCUAAAAAAGUCUAUAUGGUCAAUGACAAGGAGUUUUUGAUAUUAAGCACACAUCAUAAGAUCGUAAAAAAAUUUCGACCGCCUUCCAUAUUUGAGGCUACCAAAAAAUUUGGAUAUAAGUUUCAAAGUCUUAUUAUAUCCAAAAUAUCUUGUUAUUAGAAAGUCAUAAUAAGCUUGAGAAUACGUAAUCAAGCUUCAUCUUCUAAAACAUAUAAGCAACUUUUAAAUUAUUUUAGAUUGUUUUUGAAUUCAAACUUAGAAAUAUCAUGAGACUCAUUGAAUAUGCUUAUAUUAUAUUGAGAAAAAAGAAUAAUCCACUCUUAAUCAAGAAAAGAUAAAGCUCUAAUAUUAUAAGUAUACUCUUGUUAAUUUUUCAAGGAUAAAAACUCAAUGAAAAUAAAUAAAUAAGUAAGAUUUUUUUAAAGAAGUAUGACAAAAUAAAAAUAAAAAGGUAUUUAUAUUAAAAAAGAAAUUAGAAUAGCUAUUGCUAAAAGAUAAAGAAACUAGAGACUCUUGUAACUAGACUAGAAGUAAGAAAGGAAUUGAUAACAGUGAAGAAGGCUUCAUUCUUAUCUUUAUAUAUGUUGUCUAUCUAGGAGCUAUGUGGCGACGUUCUAUAAGACCUCUAAAACAUGUUAAUUUUGUACAAGUUAUAUUUUAGCUUGUAAGAUAAUUUUUUUAUAUACAUGCCACAUAGUUACCUUGUUUUGUAAGCUAUCAAUAUGUGUGGCAUAUAGUUAACUUGUUGACUAAAUUUUUAACCUAUUAAUCAAUUACAAAUACAUGUAGAAUUAAAGCAACAUCUAUAAAGCUUCUAAGAAGCUUUCCUAAAAGAUAUUAUGAAAUUAAUCUAUUUUUAUUUAUUUUUAUUUAUUUUUAUUAUUUAGAUAAUAAUUAUAAUAAAUAUAUAUUUAUGAUAGAAUGCUACAAUUACAUCUUAGUUUGAAAAUCUAGCAAACUUCAAAAAAUUGCAUAGUUCAAGGAAGAUUAAGAUAUGUAAGAAGUAGACAUCAAAAUUUAGAGCUUUGGUAUAAUUCACUGUCUAAAUAAACAAAGCAUCAAAGAGCAAGUUCAAUCUUUCUAUAGCCAACAUAUUAGGUUAAUUGCAUACUUUCAAAGCAAAGUUUAUGGCUACAUAUGAUUAGUCAAUUAAUACCAAAAUUAACAUUGAUGAAAAAGAUUAGAAGUGGAGUAUAUACACCAUAGAUACAAAGUUGAAGGACACUUGUUGACUCUUCAAAAGAAUACAUGCUUUGUAUGAUAUAAAGCCAAACAUGAUUCCUUUCUUUGACUCCACAAUAGUAAUAAAUAUAAUCUCACCAAUAUUGUUGUAAGACUCUGAGGCAAUAUUGAUGACUAAUUUAUUGUUGUUAUUGCUUGAUUGAAUUUAUUGCCUAAAUAAUUACUACUCAAAAAUACUUAUAAGAUUGUAUUGUAAGAAAAUUCUAAUGAAUGAAAUGAGGUAUACAAGAAGGAGCAUAAUCUUUUGUUUUCUUUCAUUUUUUUCUAAUUCUAAUAUUUAUCACCAUCAUAUUUUGUAAGACAUCUAUUUAUUAGUAAUAAUGCCACUAUUGUUGUAUUACAUGUCAUCCUGUUUGAAAAUACAUUGAGCAUCUAGUAGUGAAUUUUCAAGGUUCUAAAGGCCUCUAAUUUUGGAAGUGAUAUCUUUGUGAGCUAUUAUACAAGUAAAUAGAACUUGACAAAUUUUGUGAUAUAUACUUGUAGUGCAAGUUGUCACCUCUAAAAUCAAAGGCUUGACACAACAAUGCAUUUUACAACAAUACAAAAAAGAAAAAAAUUGUGGCAAGAUCUAAAAAAAAAAAAAAAUUUUAUUUUUACUUGCACAACACACAAAGAAUAAUAAGUACUUAUAAAUUAAACUUUGUGUGCCAUUGUUUUAUUUCAAACCAUUUUUCUAAAGAAAAUUAUCUCUUCUAAUUUGGCAAUAGAAUUCUUUCAGUCUAUAUGACUCUUGGCUAGUCUCAGUAAAUUCAAUAGUCUACUUAUCACUCAAAUUAACAUGCAUAUUAUGUAAAAUGCAACAAACAAAGAUCUAAUUCAUAAUUCUUUUCAUACCAUUUGUUUGAUUGAGUUAGAUACAGAUUUCUUUGAGUAAAGUUCACUUAUUUUUUAGGAUUCCAAUGUACUAUUUAUUUACAAUCUCUAAUUUAAUUAAAUAAUAAUUAAACUCCCUAUUAAUCAACCAUUCUAUAGUUAGAGACUUGUAGUUAGGAAUAACCAUGUGGCUCAUACCAUAAGUUGAGUUUGCCAGCAAGUAUUGCCUAUAAUCAAAGUACUUUUUGGAAUUUUUAUAUAUCUCUAUUUUUUUAAAUAUUUUUGUAUCUUUAUAAGAUCUAGGCCAAUUAGUGAUUAGACUAAUAAUAUAAAGAUCAAGGUUACAAACAAUCUAUGUAUUCAUAGAGUAUUUCUUUUUCUUAUUAAAAAAUACAUCUCCAUUAUUCUUAGGAUACUGGCUUAAAAGAAAUUGCAUUAUAUUAACAAAUCCAAUGUAAUGUUUAAAGCCAAGUGGGCUCAAAGAUUGGCUAAUAUGAAGCUUUUGGGGAGUAUUUGAUUAUCACAAAUAUAAUUUUUCAAAUCACAAAAUGAUUUCAAUCACUUGGUUAGUAUAGAGGCACAUGAUGCAUUUGCCAAUAUUACAAGUCCAUUUCAAUCUUUUGAUACUAGUUCCAUUUCUAUUUGAGCUAAGACGCUUCAAUGCUAAUGUCAAUUGCCAAGUGAUAUUAGUUUGUAGAUAAUGAUCAUUCUUUUUAAAAACAAGAUAGUUUUUGAUGGCUGAAAGUACUCCUUAAAAGCUUACUCCCAACAUUCUUGUUGUGUGACAAAACUUGGCAUGAGGCUCAUUUAUAAAAUAAUUCAAAACCUAAUUGCGUGAUUUGGGUAUAAGAUUUUGAGCAAACACGAAGCAAGGACUAUUAUUUGUGUGGUGAAUCAAUUCAAGUUCUUCUAUAUAAUUAAAUUCAAAAAAAAAAUCCUGAAAUUUGCUAUUAACUUAUUGGUACUAUUCUUUAAAGAAUUCAUUGAAUUUCUCAUCAAUUGUGAAAGUCAUCAAUAUUUCUAAGUCUUGGAGGAUUUGCUAUUUUUUGGAGCACCAAGGAAGGCAUGGUGGGGCUAUGGUGUAGUAUGGAAUCAAAGAGAAAAGAAAGUUGAGGCAAACAAUGUGGUUUUUGAUAUUCACCAGCACUUCUAUUGAUAUUUUGAUUUCAAAAUCACCAACCUUACAAUGUAGGUGAUUUGGUGAAAUAUCAAGUAAUAUUUCAAAAUACCAUGGGAUACUUUGAAGAAAUAUCACCAUGGAAAUAUCACCCGAAAAGGCCAUAUUUGAAACCCCCUAUUGGAGAUGGCCACAUGGCUAACUUCAAAUGAAAAUGACCCAGUUUACCAAGUACAUCCGCAGGAUGCCGUAGGAGAAGUGCAUAAACCAGCACUGCCUUAACACAAAGCCAACACCCCCUUGGAUAGGAAACCGUAUUUGAUCCUGCACAGUCAGAACCAUUCCCGUUCGCCAGGUUUUUGAAGCUCCCGAUAGAAACAUUCAACCCUAACUAGGUUACCCACGCCGACAGCUUUGCGUUUGCUCAACAUACCUGAGGAUUUGGUCCAUCUCGAACAAGUAUGUUCUGCUCGACUUUAACAUGUUAUAUUAGCAGAAAUAUGGCCUUGCUCUCAUUUGCUGGAAUUCGAGGUUGAACCAUUGCCCAAGAGCACCACUGCUAUGUGCAUGGAAGGAAUGUAGUUACAGGAAUUCAGAAUUUUAUACGCAAAUGUUUGCAGAUGUAAAGGAAAGGUGAUUGUAACUCCAAUUCUCUGGAAGUUAUUUUCAUGCCUGUUUUGUGUGCUAGCCAAAAGCAUGUGUGUUGACAAGGAGAAUAUCAAAUCGUGGAACGAAUGCAAAGUGCGCAUCUUCUCAGCAUCUCACACCGAAGUUUAGAAAUUUGUAACCUUACGUGAGAGCAACUGGCAGACCAAUAAAUUUCUAGAUUUCGUACUUAACCUUAAUUUACUUCAACUAUUUCUUCCCUGGGUUGCGCAGCAAUCAUUUUUAAAGAUACUGUAGUGGUAUUUUGGGUUAAGCAGUUUUUCAGCAGUUUUCAUCAAUUUUGCAAAAUUGAUGGUUCCUGUCCACGACUCACUCCUCAAAGUAGAUAGAUCAAUUCCUCAUUUCUACACUCUCUUGAAAGAUCUGCUCCCAAGUGUGAUAAAUUUGCAGUUUGAAGGAGCCAGUUUGCAGUGCAUGCCCGCCGAGAAAUGGAUCCAGUCCAUAGACGUUCAAUUGCCAGGAGAUAAUGUACAAGUAUCGUCAAACUGUGCAGGAAGUGCGACGCGCAGAUUGGCGAGGGCACUGGAUGUGGUAGAUGGAAUUGAAAUGUUCGAAUCGCCAAUGUACAUGUCAUAUAAGUGGUUUACAUAGCCGAACAGAAUAAUAGAGGAUAUGUAGCAGCAGCGUUCAUCAGUGCCUGUCACCUACAUUGCAUAAGCGUGCACGGUACAAAGUGAUACUCGGAGUGUGUAAUAAGGAAUAACAGGUUCAAGGCUGCUGAAAAGAUAUGAUACCCCACCGACGCAACGCUAAACCCUAACUGGGGUUUCUCCAUUGUUGCACAAAAGCAGCUGCGUAUGCACGUUAAACAGCAUUCAAAACCAUUCUUAAUAUUAUUACCUCAAUUCAAGGUGACCAUUUCAAUCGGUUAGGCAACACAAUUGUAUGACCGAAGGUACAACAGUGUCUGUCGCUGGAGUGCAGGCUUUAUAUUAAGCAUGGUACAAAAUCAUACCCAGGAGUUGAUUAUCCUAAGCGAGAGCAAUAAAAAGUAGUGAUAAGAACGAUUCCAUGCAUUUACAAAAUUGCAUACGAACCAGAAGGAAGCGCGAGCAGGACUCCUCAAGAUGACAGAAUUGACAGCUCCACGUUCAACGCUGUCGCCUAAGUUGACUAAGUGCACAAUCCAGAAGACUGUCUGGUGCUGUUAUCAAUACCACUGAAAUCUAUUCUAUGAGACCACUAAGAAAAACUAUCUUGCCUAACGAGAAUAGUCAUACCGGAAGACAAGAUUACACGCUGUACAACUGGUUAAUCUCAUUCUUCAUCUCCUCCUCCUUUUCACGGCCGUAGACAUCAAUGCUCAUGUCCUGCUUAAUGUUAUCCGAGUCAUUCACAACCACCUCAGCGUUAAGCACACGCUUGUCCUCAAUACUGAAAUUGUAGUCCGACUUCACGCCAUCCCUCGGCACAAUGUGCAACAAAUUGUUCUGAGGGUGGUCGCGCUUCCACGUCCGCGAGGCACACUUAGCACGGAAAUCAAACUCAUCGCCAAACACGCCGCCCUGCAUCUCCGCAGGCAACAACUCCACCUUCUCCUGCAGGGCCACGCCGAGAUUCGUGGCCGUAACACACUUGUAGCACGUCACGCCACCGUUCUCCAUACACUCCAGCGUCCCGGCGGUGACGGGCUCCACUACGAAGACAUCCUUCAGCUUGCCGUUCUCGUCUUUCCGGAAGCAAUGCGCCAGCCCCAGCACGAUGUAAUCGUCGUCGCUCCAGUCGGGGUCUUGACCGUGGGGGCUUUCGGAGGCCCUGGUCACGAGGAUCACACUCCUCCGCUGCGGCUCUCUCCUUUCCCAGCUCCUGUUCGCCGCGACCUUCACUCCUUGCCCAACAAACGCCGAAACAUUCUUCACGAAAACCUGCACUCCGCUCGACGUCGCUCCCUUGUCCACUCUGGAGUGUGCUACCACGUCCAACGCCGCUCCGGCACUUGAAAUCCUCGCGGUUGCAGCCAUGGCAGCCAUCGUUGGAAAGGCAAUUCCACGAGGAAUUAGACAACGCAAGCGAGGGAUUCUCCAACAGAUCGGCAGAAGAAGAAGAGGGGGAUUUACUUACAGCAAUCGAACGAGGGCGUGUUUUGUGAUCGGAGAUGGAAAUCCGGAAAGAGGAUAGGAAGAGGAUAAGAGGGUUGCAACCGCGUGGUGAACCGCGCGGGAAAUGGUGCGUGCAUUACCUGGACUGCGCUUCGGACCGUGCUUGAAACUGCGCGUGGAGCUUUCGAAGAUAUUAUCUCUUUGCUUUUUCUACUUUACUUAGAUUUUUUAUAUAUUGCUCUUCUUUUGUUUCGUUUUUCGUGUGUUUGUUUGUGGGUGGUCUUUUGACAUGAAAUUUUUUUUUACGUCAACCAAUCAUGUGAUUGGAAUAUUCACACAAACCAUUUGUUUACAUAGAUGUGCGCAUAUACAUAUAUAUAUAUAUAUAUAUACAUACCAAAUAUUUAAAGAUUGAACAUUAUAUUAUUUCAUUUGAUGAACAAUUACUAUUUGAAUGAUUUAUAACUUCGGCAUUUCAACUGAUUAAAUUUGAGAAAGUACCAUAACAUAUAAUUCCUUGUUCUGUAGUUUUUUCCGUUCUUAAAUACGGAGAUUCAUGUUGCAUUUGAUAAUGAAUUCAAAUUUAAAAACUAAUCUCAUGCAAAAUGGUAUGGGAAUAAUUUCAUAUCACAAAUGAAACAGUUUUAAAUUGUUCAUAUUGAUAUGGAAAAAUUGCUAAAAGCAUCUCUUAGUAUAUCACCAGUCUUUACCAAUAGCAAUGUUAGUAGAAAAACAAUGCACUCUACAUUUUGUGAAAUAAACAACCAAAAUUUCAAACUUUCUAAAGCUAUCAUACCAAGUUUUAUUAAACCGUCUCAACCUUGAUAUAUCAUUAAAACAUAAGUAUGAUAUUUAACAUUGUCAGAUUUAUCUUCGAGACACAUUUUGAUUGUACUUACAUGGUCUUGUAGAACCCCCCAAUUAACCUACUCAAACCACUUUGUUAACCCAGAAUAUCACACAGAUGUUACACGUAUAUAUAAAAGUAUACAUCCAUAUAAUCAUAAUCAAACAAAAAUAUGACAAAUGCCUGUAAAGGCAAGGGAUCGAACUGCAGGACCAUUCACCUUGUACGAGGCCAUUAAAAUACAUCAGAAAUUUAGAAAAAAUUUAGAAACUUUUUGAAGUUUACUAAGAGUAAUAAUGAUGAAAGAAUAUGUUCAACGUUGCAACCACAUGGUAUAAUUCAUAGAAAAUACAGAUUCUAAAACACGAUAGAAAAAUACAUGACAAGGGAGCUGACAAUGGUCACCACAGUUCGAUAUAAAUAAAAUGCAAACGCUGGAUUCUACAAAGAGGACGCUGCUAUGCGUGGUUCCAUCACAGACUUGAGUUUCCAUGAAUGCACAGAUUGUUGCCCUUCCACACACAUCUGGUAAUUUGAUUUCCAAAAAACGAGAAAAAAUUGUUGCUAUUGAGUCGACACUCUGGCUGAUUGACCAGCCCAUUGCUUCCAUGGGAAAACAAAAUAAUUUACAAAAUCUUGCUACACGUGCUUCAAGGAUGGUUGGACGAAAGAGAAAAAAUUCUUCGUUCGCAAACCUAAUAUGACAGGGUUACCGAACCUGAUUGCACUAAUCCUACGAAAGACUUACGAUGGUCUCAUUGCACUUUGAGCCUGAAGCAGUGGGAGAACAGGCGUCAAGCGAACACCAGGAGCCUCUGGCUCCAACACCGUGCUGCCGAGCCGGGUGGGUGGCCAGUAACGUACCACGGACCGUCCUAAAAUGCUCUUCACAGGAAGUGGCCCCCUGCCAACAAAGCAGUUUCUCAUGAUUAGUAGACCUCCAGUCAUCACAAUAUCAGACCUAAUCUCGACAUGCAUUAUUAUCCCAUGCAGCAAAGAAAAUGUAGAAGAGUAUGUCACCUACUCACCAUAAAACUCUAUAAAUCGAAUCAGAAGCACAUGAAAUAAGAUGAGAAAGUAUCUCAAUCUAAAAGGCCUGUGUUUGUAGAAAGCCCAACUUAAAAUAGGUCGGGUUCUUCAGAAACAAUGUCGAAGUGUGAGGGGAAGACAACCUACCAGAUAUGCGAGUCGUAGCUAUUGUUACGAUUGUCCCCCAUGACAAACACAAAACCUUCGGGAACAUACUGCACAAGGAAGAAGGGGGGAUAUGAUUAUGAAGAAAUUGUGCACGGAACCACGACAGAAUGAAUGAAUUCAAAUGCCUACAAGAGCUUCAAAAAGUAAUAAGUUGUAAGCAGGUAAGAGGGAUAUGUACAGUGGCUUUCAUGUCGUAUAUGGGCGGCUCAGCAAUGAACGGCUCAUUCUUUGGCUGCUUGUUGACGAAGACUUGGCCAUUAUGAACCUGAUCAUUGAAAAAUGAUAUCAGAAACCCUCCAGCCAUCGAAGUCUAUGACGACACUCACAUGAUGAAUAUAUGACGUCACUCACUUAACAGUGCUUAAUGCUCGAACCCAAAAAAGGUACCCCCUUUGACAGACUUCCUGCAGGGUUUGAAUCGAUGGUGACACACUUGCUGCGAGCAGACAGAUUGUGACAAAGCGAUUCGAAUAGGGUGGAAACGGUUACAGCUUCGUCAUUCACAUACCUCAACGACAUCUCCAGCUUUAGCGAUUAUACGCUUGAUGAAGACCUCUCCUGCACUGUAACCCUUGGCCUGCACAAAAAGAAUGGUGAAUGAACAGCUGCAAAACACCAGCCCCUGAAACAGAAGUCACAAUUCUGACAUAGACAAUCCUGGUCUACCCGCAAUCGUGAUGCUCUUCGGUCGUAGGUGCUGAUAUAAGCAAAUUCAGGGGGUGAAAGCUCACUUGUAAACUUUCCGGCGCCUUAAAAAUGACGAUGUCAUUCACGCUGGGCUGUUUAAAGUAAUACGACACCUGCACAACUAGCCAUUCUCUUCACAAGUUAGAGUCAAAGAGUCUGCAACUGUACCUAUGGUAAAAACCCUAAAUAAACAUUGCUGCUCCCUCACCAUAGACACGAUCUGGAUGUUACUCAAACCCCUUAACCUCGUAGCUGCACUUAAUUACCAUAUAGUGCAAAUGAAGAACACUCUGAGCCAAACAUGCUAAUGAGACAACUGAAAACGCUAUCUCCGAAGCAGAGGGGGUUUCAAAUUUUCACAGAAUUGGCACUGGGUUUAGGUGAAUCAAUUCAUAACAAUUCCAGUCGGCUCCACAAAUCACUCUGUAACACACAACUAUCUGCGUGGAAGCUGGUGGUAUAUGUUUACAUAACAGAAGCCUCAUCGACCUAAUUGGAAUCCGCCAUAUCUGCUGUUAAGUCACCUUAGAAGAGUACCAGGUGCUGGACUCCUCAGGAAGUUUAUAUUAAGCUCAAUUAGUGAUUGCGCUCGUAAUCACAUUACAAAUUUGAUAGGGUGUAAGCAAUCUCUGGGAUUCUGGGAAGACGACAGACCCGGUUGGAGUAAUUCUUUUGUUGCUACAAAAGAUGAAGAAUUAACAACAGGCAGGGAAACAGCAAGAACCUUUUCAGCAACAAUCCGGUCACCGACUUCGAAUGUUGGGUACAUGGAAAGAGAGGGAAUGAAUCUAGGCUCCGCAAUGAACCACCUAAACAGCAACGAGAACGCAAAUGCGGCCAAGAUGGUCUUCCCGUCAUCGGACGAAAUGGCAGCCCAAUCAGGCAACCAGCUCGGCUUCUUCAGCUCCGCCUCUUCGGCAUCCACAGCAUCCUCCUCACUCGGACUCUCCUUAAUGGCAGGCGCAGCCAGGGGCUCUCCCUCCCUGCCAUUUCUAUCCCUCUCAGACCUUGCCACCAAUGCCUCAUAACGCCUCUGCUGCUCACUUCUCGACCAACACCUCACCGCAAUCUUCAGAGUCUGCCCCACAAACGGAUUUCUCAGCGCAGGGCCUCGGCAACAUAGCUGCCCACUCCCAACUGACGCCGCGGCCUUGAACUGGGCGUCUACAUCUAUCGCGAAUCCCACUACCGAGAUCCUGCCAGCUCCAACUAUCAUGGCCAUUGUGUUACUACGACGAAGAUUGUGCAGUGCGGCGACGAUGCUGGCGCGAAUUCGCGAUGCGCGAGGUCAGCCACGAGCAGCAACACCAACACCAACAAACACCGUCAUCGUCUUCUAAGGCAAACCUUCACAAAUGGCUUCAAGGGGUGAGGAACGGGCUGGGCUGGGCUAGGCCGGGCCGGGCCUUAUCGCAAUCGAAGGCCACGACAACGCCUAUGCCCGUGUCCAUGUCAGUGUGAACGGAGGCAUUAUUUUGAUUCCGACACCCACCACUUUCACUCCAGAUAACCAACAUAUUACUCCCAAUUAUUUAUAUUCAUGUGUGGUUUGGUUUGGUUUUUUAUUUUAAAAUUAAUGUAUUAUAAAUAUAUCUUCUAAUUUUUUCAUUUGAUUCAUUACACAUUUCAUAAUGCCUUCUAUUCUUUUGGAUUACUAAUUAAGUGGAUAUAUAUAUAUAUAUAUAUUUAUUUAUAUUUGUUCUAUAAAAUAGCUUGGAUAUAAGAUAAAGAGGAAAAAAUGCAUUUUAAUUGGAUAUUGAGAAAGAAACUCUAAGAAUUCAAGGAGUUGUGAAAUUCUCUAACAAACAAGUAAUUGAAGCCUUAAAGAUUUUUUAAUAAUAGUUCUUUUCUAAAAAACUAUCUAUUGUAAAGGGUACAUUCUCUCUCUCUUUUGAAUAUGCAAUUGUGCAAAGUUUUUGCCCCAUCCUUACUCUCUUUUUCAUUCUCUCUAGCUAAAUUGUCAAUUGUCUUUAUUUCUCUUUUUCUUCAUUCCAUCUCAAGUUCUACUUUGUCUUUUUAAUUAAUAUCUUUUUGUGGAGGAGCUUCUUUGUUGUCCUUGCUAAUCCUAUAAUUGCUACAUUUAUAGGUUGUGACUUUAAUAGGUUAGACAAUUAUCCAUAAGAUGUUCUUUUUCAUGUACCAAGAGUCAAUUCUUUGACCAUUAGCAACUUACCUAAGAUAAUAUUCUUUACAAGAUAAUUUAUUUAUUUUUAAUUUUACUUAUUUAUUUUAAUACUUCUACUUUACUAUUGGUCAAAGGUUGUCAAUCCUAAUGUCUUUAUCAACAUAUGAUGUCUAUCUUUUAUUAAUACUUUUGUCAAUAAAUUAGCAAGCAUGUCCUUUGUUGUACAAUACUUUAUAUCAAUUACUCUCAUUUUAAUCUUCUCUCUUAUGAAGUGAUGUUUAAUGUCAAAAUCUUUAGUCCUUGAAUGAUGUUUUGGAUUCUUUGUAAAUACAAGAUAUCUUAGAAUGUCACAUUCCAUUAGAGUUGCUUCUGGUUGCACUACUCUAAUAUCUUCCAAAAGUUGUCUUAGUGAUAUUGCCUCCAUUGUACCAUGGCUUAUUGUCAUAUAAUCCACUUCUAUUAUUGACCUUCUAAUUGUUGGUUGUUUCUUGCAAUUUUAUGAAAUAGCUCCUAGUCCAAAAAAAAUUAUAUACUUUCUUAUUAACCUUCUAUUAUUUGCAUCUCUAGCCCAAUAUGCAUCACAAUAAUCAUACAAAGUAAUGUUAUCACCUCUUAGGCACAAUUUGAAGUGCAAAAUACCUUUUAAGUACUUUAUGAUCCUUUUGAUGGUUGCCUAAUGGAUUAUUCUAGUCUUUGACAUGUGUUGGCUUACAAUACUCACUGCAUAUGAAAAAUCCACCCUUAUGCUAGCUAUUACAUAUAUAAGUGAGCCUACUGCUAUUUUGUAUAGAACAUCUUGCAUUAAACCUUCAACUUCAGCAAAAUUUUCAUCCUUGAACUUCAUCAACUUCAAAUUAGCUUUCAAAGGUGUUCUAAUAGGUUUAUAUUCUUCUAUAUUGAAUCGUUUCAAUACUUCUUUAAUGUACUUAUUUUGACUCAUUGUAAUUGUAUUUUUAACAUGAUAACUCUAAAAUUGUACUCCUAAAUAAUAGUAAAGUUCUUCCAAAUCAUUCAUUUCAUACUUAUUUACUAACUUUACCUUUAACUAAUCUAUCAUCUUCAAGGUAUUGAUUAAGAUGAUUAAAUCAUCAAUAUAUAAGAUAAUAAUCUAUAUGAACUCAUUUGAUUAUAUUAAAUAUAUGGAAAGAUUAGCUUCACUUCUUAUGAACCUUUCAUUCACAAAGAAUUUGUCAAUACAUUAAUACAAUGCCUUUAGUAAUUGCUUGAGUCCAUAUAAUGAUUCUUUCAACUUACAAAUAAGAUGUUAUUUGCCUUCUUCAAUAAAUCCUUGAGGUUGAUCUAUAUAAAUGUUUUUUUUCAAAUUUUUAUUCAAGAAAGUUGUUAUUACAUUUAUUUGAUGUAUCUCCAAAUUCAUUGUUGCAUCAAUUGUUACAAUGGUUCUAAUAGUAGUGAAUUUGUCCACAAAAGCAAAUGUCUCUUGAAAAUCAACAUCAACAACUUGUUAGUACUUUUUUCCAACCAAUCUAGUUUUAUAUCUCAUAACAUUCCUUAUUGUAUCUUUUUUGGUUCUAAAUACAUAUACAUAAUCAAUUGAAGAUUGAUUUGGUGACAGUUGAGUUAAUUCUCAUAGUCCACUAUCUAUGAGUAAUUUGUACUCUUCUUCCAUAGCAUUAUCUUAUUUCAUAAUAUCUAUAGAUUUCAUUACAUCAUACAAACUCAAUGGAUUAAUAAAGAGUGCAACAUUGACAUGUUCUUCUCUUACUUGAGAAAAGAUGUGGUUCUUCUAUCAUUCAUCAAGUUUGAAAUAGAAAACGAUUAUCUCUAAGAUCUACGAUCCUUUUAAUCUAUAGCAAUAUAAAUCUUGUUACAAUAUAGGACAUUGUAGACCAAAAUAAAAUUAAAUAGAAUUAAAUAGAAUGUAACAUGAAAGAUAAAAUAGAACAAAAGAUAAUAGGAUAAAAUUUUAAAAAAAAAAGUAAAAAAUCAAACUUUACUAAGAGAAAGGAAUUAAAAUCAUAUUUGAUCAAAUAUCCAAAUAAUCUUGAUUAAUCCUAUUUAUACUUUGUUUAAUCAUCUUAGAAUUUUUUAGAAUAUUUUUAAUAGUGGGCUUUAUCUAAAUAACUACCUUAAAUUAUUUUUAGAAUGUUCUAUGGUAGAUCUCAUAUAGACUAUUAAUCUAGCUUUAAUUUUAAAAACUUCUAAAAAAUUCUAAAAACUUUUUAAAUAUGGCUCGAACUACAUAUUUCUAUCUCAAGGACAUAAACCAAAAGAUGAUGCAUAAAUCAAUGAAAUCCGUGCCAAAGAAAGAAUAAUAAUUUAGAAAUAAAGAAGUACGUAUAUUAAAAAGAAACUGGAAUGGCUUAUUACUAAAAGACAAGAAAACUUGAGAUUCUUGAAACUAGACUAGAAGCAAGAAAAGAAUUGAGAAGAGUGAAGAAGGCUUUACUCUUGUCUUUAUAUACUAUCUAACUAGAGGCUAUAAGGCAAUAUUCUAUAGGACCUCCAAUAUGUGUUGACUUUGUAGGACACAUGCCUUGACUUAUAAGGCAAGUUUUUCUACUUGUAGGCCACAUAAUUAACUUGAUCUUCAAGCUAAUAACAUGUGUGGCACAUGGCCAACUUGUUAACCACUUUUUUAAUCCAAAAAAUCAAUUAUAGAUACCUAUAAAGUCAAAGCAGUGUCUAUGAAGCUUCUAGAAAGCUUCUAUAGAAUAUAUUAUAGAAUUAACUUACUUCUACUUACUUCUACCUAUUUAUAUAGGUAAUUAUUGGCUUACAUGUGUAUGUCCAUGACAUUCUAUGCAUCAAAAACACAAAUAUUUUACUUAUAUCCCAUUAUAAUUAAUCUCUUUUUACUAAUACAAAAUGUCUUCAUUUCAUUCUCAAUGGUAUUUCCAAAUUAUUUCUUGACAAUGACUGAGGUUUGGUAUACAUUCGUACAUUGCAUCAUAGAUUGAAUAAUCUUUCCAAAGGACUUUGUACAAAAUUUGUGGUCAUCCAUUGCCACAAAAAAAGAUAGUGAUGUUCCAAAGUAUUGUCUACUUUAUAUUCUUGUUGAUCAUUAAUCACAAUUGGUGGUAGUGGUAGUCGUAGUAGUUGAUAAUGGUCUAAAAAAUACCUUUGCUCAAUAUAAAAUUUUUUGAAUUGCAAAACAAAAAAGACAUGAUGGAUUAGAAUAUAUGACAAAAGCUCGAGGCAAUAUGCAACAUCAAAAAUUACUACAAAAAUGGAAAAAGGUCCAAGCCAUUGAGGUGCCAACUUAUAAAUUUGGAUUGAUAUAGCAAGUAAAAAUUGGCAUUAGAAAAUAACACUUGAUCACCUUCUUGGAAGGUCUUAUGUUGCAUAUGGUUAUCCAUAUAUUGCUUCUAUUUAUUUUGUGUGAUAAGGACGUGGUGUUGUGCCUCAUACAAGGCCAUUGUAAGUUGUUAUACAAAUUCUUCCAUUAUUGGAUUGUUGGUGUCAAUUUAAAAAUGAAGAAUUACUGACAAAAUUUGAUGUUGAUUGAUAUUAAGAAAGAAUAGUGAAUGAAUGGUACUUGCUUAAAUACUAUUAUUAUAAAUAAAUUCUAAGGACAUCAAAUAUUCAUCCUAGUCAUUAUGAUAAUUUACCACAAAUACUCAUAGCAUAUCUUUUAAGGUCCAAUUUGUAUGCUUUAUUUAUCUAUUUAUUUAAAAAUAAAAGGCCAUAGACAUAACAAGUCUUGUGCCUUAUCUUUUGAUUCAAGAUUCAAAUUUGGUUUUCAUAAUGAAGUGUUUGGCAUAGUGUGUUGCCACCUUUGCUUAUAUUUAAGUUAAAUAUCAAAGAGCUAUAAUUAUUAUUUUCAACAAUAAUGUCAUGAUUUCAUAUUUUUCAAAUGCAAAUUGUAUAGUAGAGAUUGAUGGUCAAUCCAAAAAAUCACUAGCUUUUCUAACAAAUAGUGUCACCACAUCUUUGUGGCAUAUACAAUUACUAGUUUCUCUCAAUCAUAUACAAAGUAAUUAUGCUUUGUCCUUUUGAGCUUGCAUGAUUUAUAUAUUGUCGUAUUACAUGUGAUCUUACUUAAGAAUGCACCAAACAUUUAGCUCUAGAGAGUAACUAGAAAUACAAGAACAAUCCUACUAAGUCUAAUAGAAUCUUAAUUAAACUUAAAUAGACCUUAAUAAUCCUAAUUAAACUUUGAUUAAUCCAAAAUAAACUUAAAAGAAAUUAUAAAAAAAUACAAAGAAGUUCCAAACAAAUCACAAAGAAUAAUAGCAAAAAAUCUUUAAAAAUAAAAAAUAAAUCUUUAAAGAAAUAAUAAUAAUCUUAAAGAAUUAUUAAAAAUAGAAAUCUUUAAAUAAUAAUAAAGAUUUCUAAAGAAAUACUAAAAAUAGAAAUCUUAAUAUAAUCCUAAUUUAGACUUUAAUUGAAUCUUAACCAAAUCUUAGGUCAAAUCUUAAGUCAACUCUAAUUAGAAUCUUAAUUGAAUAUUAACUAAAUCUUAGAUAAAAAUUUAAUGAAAUCCUAAUGAAAUCCUAAAUCUUAGACAAGUUCUAAAUCAAAUCCUAAGCAAAUCCUAAUCUUAACCAAAACCUAGACCAAAUCCUAAGUCUUAAUUAAAUCGUAGACAAAUCCUAAAUCAAAUCCUAUAGCAAAUUAGAACCUCAAUAACUAAUGAUUGGACCAUUGAUAUUAGCUCAAAAUUUGCAUACAUCUUAAUAUCUUAGUUAGAAAUAAGUAAAAGAAAAGUAAAAUGAAUCGUUCUUAUUUAUUAAAAGAAAAAUAAGAUAAAUCAAUCAAGUAUUAGAUCGCCUCCUAUUCUAAUCUAAAUGUUGAACUUCUAGUACCAAUAUCUCCAUCUUGAUUCAUUGAAUUGCUUCCAAAUUUUACUUAAAACAUUGUAAAUCAAGUCUAAUAUCCAUAUAAAAAGAUUUUACUUCAAUCCAAUUAACAGAUUGCUAAAGAUCUUAAAAAUUCUUUAUUAAUCUUCAAACUCCAAUUUUUGAGACCUUGACCCAUAAGGACCUUCACAUACUUCGAUCUAACUAUUCAAUUGAUUUCAAAAUUUGCAUACACAUUUAUAACUAGUACAAAAAUAAAGUGCUCAAAAUUCAUCUAUACUCAUACUACAAAAUUCAAGAAACAUCUAGAUUUGUAAACAUAAUUUUAUUUCUUAAAAUCUAAACCAACUAAGAAUAUUAUUAACUUUGAAAAUUCCUUAAAAACUCAAUAUUGAUUCAAAUGACAUGGAACCUCCACUUAAAAAUCUCUCCUCAAGUCUACUCUCAAAUUAUAGUCUUUAAUAUACCAAAGAACCUCUAGAGUCACUAUAGGUACAUGGUUUGUACCUUAAGAUCUGAUUUUGACCUAGAUUGACAACUAAUCUUCUCUAAGUAUCAAUGCUUGGCUUCUUGAGAUAAAUUUUCCUUAAAUAUACUCUUAAUUUCUUCUUAUAUAUGUCUAUAUUAUUUUAUUUCCUAAUAUAUAUAUUUUUUGGAUUAUUUAUGGCCCUACAAAAUAAGGAGAAGCUUAUUUUAUAAAAAGAUAAUAUUAUCACCUUUUUUAUUAUCUUUUUUAUUACUAUCUAUAUUUCUAAGAUGAUUUGCUAUAAUAUUUUAAAAUAAGAUAUUUUAUUAUAUAAUGUAUAUUUUUUUAUUUAUUACAUCAUAACAGUGUUAUAGGAUGAAGGUUUCUAUCAAAGUCUCGUUAAAAGAGUGCUAUAAUAGCAAAGUUGAAAACAUCAAUGUUAAGUGUAUAAAGAAGAUUGAGAUCAUACAAUUGCAAUAUUAAAGUAGUAAUGAGUGCCUCUUUCAACUUAUUAAAGGCCCUUUUUUGCUUUAGUUUUCACUCAAAUGAGACACCCUUCUUUAAUAGGCUUGUCAAUGAAACAACAAUGUAUACAAAUUGUCAAAUAAAACAGCAAUAAUAUCUAGCAAGGCCUAAAAAUGAAUGGACUUUAGAAGCAUCUUUGGAGGUUUAGCUAAUCUUCCACCACUUUCAUCUUAUCCUACUUCAUGUGCAUGCCUUUAGAAGACACAGCAUGCUCCAAAAAAAUGAUCUCAAACUUCUAAAGUUUAUACUUUGAUUACUUGCAAUAGAAGCAAUUAUCUUAUAGCUAGUGCAAUACUUUUCAUAGAUGUUACUCAUGCUCUUCAAGAAUUUUAUUAUAUACUAGAAUAUCAUCAAUGAAGACAAUUACAUAUUUAUCCAAAAGAUCCCAAAAUAAUCUGUUCAUGUGAUCAAUGAAGGAGGUUGAAACAUUAGUGAGGCUAAAAGAUAAAAUAAGUCAUUCAAAAUAUCCAUAGCGUAUACAAAAAGGCUGUCUUUUUUAUAUCUUCUUUUGCAAUAGGUAUUUAUUAAUAGCAACUUCAAAGGUCCAAUGUAUUAAAGAUAGUUGUACCUUGAAGUUGGUUAAAAAGAUCAUCUAUACGUAGGAGUGGAUAUGUAUUCUUGACAAUAUACUUAUUGAGGCUUUGAUUGUCAAUGAAAAGUUGAAGUCUACCAAUUUUUUUUUAUGUGCAAAAAAUAUAAGUGCUGCCCAUAGUAACAUGCUUUUUUGAAUGAGGCCAUUUUUAAGAAUUUUUCGAGUAACUUUUGUAAUUCAUCAAGUUUAUUUAGUGCUAGAUAAUAAAUUGGCCAACUUGCCAAUUUGAUCUUAGGAAAUAAUUCUAUUUGGAAGGAUUCACUUCUAUCAAGUAGUAUGCCACUAGGUAAGUCAAUUGAAAAGACAUCUUAAUAUUCACAUAUAAAUUGCUUUACUCAUUUUGUGCUUUCAAUUAUCUUUUCCACCACCAAAGUAUAAUUUGAAACCACUAUAUAUAUCGAUUACGUAUAUUGUAUUUGUUUCUUCAUAAAGGUCAUUCCUAUAAAUAAGCUUUUAGUCACACAUUGUUUUUUUUACUUCAGUCAACGUAGAGAUACAAAAAAUUAUCUUGCAUCUACUAUUUUUGAAAAAAUUUAUCCUUACUAGCUAAUUAACUUAUUUAUUUUCUACUUUUAGCCAUGGCAUAACAAGAAUAAUAUCAUAUCUAAGCUUUUUUAUCUUAAACUUCUUUCUUAAGAUAUAAGUAUUACUCAACCUCAAGAUUUCUUCAUCACAUGUCUAAUUCAAUAUGUUUUCUUAGUCAUUUUUUAGUUAUAUACUCCUUCUUUUGAUCACCUUGGUUUUAAUUCCAAGUUGGUUGGCAAUCCCAAUCGAAAUAUAAUUUUUUGUGGAGCUACAAUCCAUAAGCACUUGACAUAGCUGUCUUCUUAGUUAACUUGUUAGAUACACCAGUUGACUCUUUUCAUAGUUGUCCAAGGCUAUGUCGUUUGUCUUUGAGAGAUAAUAGUUAUUCUUAAUACUAAGUCUCAUUUUUUUACUCCAUUUCAUUAUCAACUUGGUGAAUUUUAAGAUUGUGAACCUGCCUUGAUUUCUUGGUGCCUAAAUUUUGAUGUUUUAGACAACCUUCAAUUUUGUAGCCUAGCUCUCAACAAUAGAAAUACAAUCUUUUUAGCACUAAUAUUUUUUUUAUCUUUGUAGUAUUAAUAAUCUUUAUAAAGUAUUAAUUUCUAUCAGUAUUGAUUGUUAAGCUAUAAUAUUAGAUAGCGGCAUCAUAGGUUAUGCUUCAUGAUUUUUGAAAUCUAUAGCUUUUAUCCUCUCUAUCAUCUUAAUUGUGUCUUCAAAUAUUUGUGGAUAGCUUAAUUCCAUCUCUUGUUGGACCAAAAGUUUCAACUCUCGUAUAAAUCAAUCCAUCAUCUUUGCUCUUGAAAUAUUACUAAUUUGGAGACAUAAAAAUUUCAAUCAAAAGACAUAAACUUGCUCAUGUAGAUUGUGUAAGGUUAAAAAAUUAAUUGUGUGCUAUCUUUUCUACAUUGAUGAGCCAAAAUUGACUCCUAAACUCAAUCUUAAACUCCUUGUAGUUACAAAAUUCAUCUUAAAUUUUAUAGCUUUGAAUUCAAUAUUGCCACCAAAUGACUGCCAUACCUUUCAAAUAGCUAAUAGUAUGUAUAAUUCCUUUGGUGGUAUUUGCUCCAAAUAACUGGAGGUAUUGUUGUAUACUAAAGUUCCAUUAGCAUAUAUCUUCUUACCUUAAAGUUCCAAAGUAUGUAUCGAGCUUAUUAAAUUUUAGUCUAGUAGAUGUCAACUCUUUUGUCUUAGAGGCUUUCAUUUAUUCCUUUAGAGUAGCUAUCUAGUCUAAGAGGUGUUGUAUUUGAAUCUCUAUUUGGAAUUGCUAUACCAUAUUUUCUAUGCUAUGAUUUUCAAACUGAACUUUGCUACUAUAGUGACUCAAAAAACUAUUUCAAUAUUGACAUAUUUUAAAAAGAAUGGUAUAUUGCAGAUAAAUUAUAAUGAAUAAUGACAUGUGGUUUGUAUAGCAAAUAAAGUACUCCUUUACAGCUACCAAAUGAGCCCAAAUUGAAAAGAAUCCAUUAAAAAAUUAUGGAGCUAUGACCAAUCUAAUUUGGAGAAGUAUUUAAACAAAUUUUUGAAUGUAGUAUCUAAUUUUUAGAUUUUAUCAAUUAAUCAACAUUAUAGCAUUCUAUCAUCAUCAAUUUACUAUGACAAUAUUAUUACUAAUCUAAUGACAUCAUUAAUACUUACUAGUAGCUAUAAAAGUACCAUUCUUAAUUAUAAUUUCUGGCACAAAUAUAUUUUAAAUUACCAUAUUUUAGGACCUUUUAGAAUCUUUUGUAUAUUUCUAAUAUCUUUUAGAUAUUUAUAGAAUCUUCCAUAAUCUUUUAGAAAGUUCUAUAGGCUUUUAGAAGCCUCUUUAGACUUCUAAAAACUUCCAUAAAAAGUACCAUAAACUUCCGUAACCUUCAUUAUAGUAUAAAUAGGAGUCUUUAGAACCACUUUUACUAUCAAACUCAUUCUUUGUCUUUAAUCUUGACAUAUUUCUAUGUAAGAUUCUUAUAUCCUUCACAAUUCCUUGAAUAACUAUGAAAUCCAUUCUCUACUCUUUUCAAAACAUCACCUCUGUUCUUUUUUAUUUUCAAAAAUCUUAUGGCCAAAUUACUUUUAAACUUGAUUGUAGUAAAGUUACUAUAUCUAAGUUAGCAAAAAAGAUCACUUUUAAUAAGAAGAAUCUUAAAUUAGAUAAACCAAAGAAACUCACUGUAAUAGAUGAAAAAAAAAUUAUUUACCAAAUCAAUAGUGAAAAGGUAGAAAAUGUUAUUGAGGUUGUUAAAAAUCUUAAUGAUAUUUUUAAUAAUAUUGUGUCAAUCCAAAUCAUUCAAAUUAUUCUCAAGAAAUGGAAUAUAAAAGCCACAGUGAAAAAAAAAAAAAAAAAAAAAAAAAAAAAAAACAUUAUUAUUGACUUGCUAUCAAAAACAAUCCUUGGAUUUUGGUCUAAAGUACAAGGAAUGGAAUGUAGAGGAUUGAAAGAGGGUUAUUUGAUCAAAUGAGAUAAAAAUCAACAAAUUUGGGCUAGAUAGCAAAAAGUGAGUGUGAAAAUAAAAGGGUCAGUCUUCACUUGAUAAGAAGAUCUAAAAAAUAGUUAAGCAUGGAGGUAGAAAUAUAAUAGUAUGAGAUUAUAUGAGAUGGAAUAGAAUUAAAAAGAUGGGAGAGAUUGAGAAGAGGAUGGAUGCUAAAAAAUUUGUAGAAUUUUUUGAAAAAAACUUGCUCCCUAACAUUGAAGAAUUUGGUAUUUUUAAAGAAGAGGUGAUUUUUUAGCAAGAUAAUGAUCCUAAGCAUAACUCAAAACUAGCAUGGAAGUGAUUUGAUCAUUAUGAAAUUUAAGUAAUGAAUUGGCCUGCUCAGUCUUUUGAUCUUAAUUCUAUUGAACAUCUUUGAGAGCACUUCAUAUAGCAACUCAAUACCUGAAAGAUAAAAUCAAAGAAAGUUUAGGAAUUAUGGAAAAGAAUAGCUAUGAAAUAGAAUAAUAUUGAAGUAGUUUUGUACCAAAAAUUAAUAAAAAAUAUAUUUAGGAGGUUGAAAGCAGUUAUCAAGGCUAAAAGAGGUCCUACAAAGUACUGAUAUGUAAUUGGAUACCACAAUCAAAAAAAUAUUUUAAUACUAUUCUAAAUUAGAUUAAUCAUAGUUCUACAAUUAUCUAAUGGAUUCUUUUCAACUUAGACUCAUUUGGUAGCUAUAAAAGAAUAUUUUAUUUACUAUACAAACCAUGUAUUAUUAUUUAUUAUAAUUUAUCUAUAAUACACUAUUCUUUCUAAAAUAUAUCAAUAUUAAAAUAAUUUUUUGAGUCAUUUUAUAAUGCUUUCUCUCCUUCCAGCUGACUUCUUAAAGGUAGCUUGUGAUAGUUUCAAAAUACUACUUGAUGUAGCUACAAUAAUUGACUUUUAACUAGACGGUGGCUAUCAACAUUCUUCCAAAGAAUAGAUUAACACUUGCUCUAAUACCAAUAAAAUAAGAUUGGAUUAUCUCUAAGAUCUAAGAUCUUUCUAAUCUAUAGCAAUAUAAAUCUCGUUAUAAUAUAGUAUAAUAUAGAUCAGAAUAAAAUUGAAUAAAAUUAAAUAAAAUAGAAUAUGAAAGGUAAAAUAGAACAAAAGAGAAUAGAAUAGAAUUAAACAAAAAAGUACAAAAUCAAACUUUACUAAGAAAAAGGAGCCAAAGCGAUACUUGAUUGGAUAUUCAAAUUACCCUGAUCAAUCCUAUUUAUACUUUAUCUAAUUAUCUUGGAAAGUUUUAGAAUAUUUUUAAUAAUAGAAUCUAUUUAGAUAACCAUCUUAAGUCCUUUUUAGAAUAUUCUAUAGUAAAUCCUAUAUAGACUAUCAAUCUAACUCUAAUCUUAGAAAUUUCUAAAAACUUCUAAAAACUUUUUAAACAUUGCUUCAAAUACUUAUUUAUAUGCGUUAAUAAUACAAAUAUCUUAUCCAUGUUCUUUUAUAAAGUUAUUUUCUAUCUUUCAUAAGAUUUCUCAUUUCACUUAAUGAAGAUUUAUCUUCAUGCACUCUAAGGUUUCUUACAAGCUUUUUUUUCUCUUAAAAAUUAUUUCUUCACAUUCAAAGAUUAAAACUCCUCAUCAUUAUCAUCUUUAUCAUCUUAAUUAUCUUUAUUGUUGAUUCUAGCAAUUAUAGACAUACUUUGAUUUAACUUCUUUGACUUUUCAUCUUGAUUUGUAUUUCUACCAUUUCCAUUGUCAUCAUCUUCUUCUUAUUAUUUUUUAUUGGAAUUAGAGAUAUAUCCAUACACACACCAUUACUCUCAUUCAAAUAUAUUUCUAAGUAUUUAUAAGCACUCUUAUAUUCUAAAAACUCUACAUCACGACUUUUGAUAAUCUUUUUGAUUUCUAAACAUAUUAGCCUAUAUACCUUGAUACUUACAUAGUAUCAAAAAAAUACAAAUUUUAUACUUUUUGUAUCAAGUUUGGACCUCAUAUAAUCUAAUAUUUUUACAUAAGCUGUACAUUUAAAAAUCUUCAUAUAUAAAACAUAAGGUUUCUUACCAUUCCAAGCUUCUCAUAGAAUCAUUGAUGUGAGUGUACUUGUAAGGCAUUUAUUCCUUGUAUACAUUAUAUUUACAAGAGCUACCAUCCAAUAUUCAUACCAAUUUUUUUGUGCAUAAAGUAUAUUCUUUGCUAUCUAAAUAAUAGUAUAAUUUACACUUUCAGUAAUUCUAUUUUAUUGAGGAAUGUAAAAAAUAGAGGUUUUUCUUACAAUAUCUUAAAUAUUCAAAAAUUCAUUAAAAUAAUUUGAUAUAUACUCACUUCUAUUAUCUACGUACAACAUUUUGAUCUUGCACUUAAAUUACUUCUCCACAAGUGCCUUAAACUUAUUAAAGCUUGAAAAAUAUUCAUACUUAAUUUUAAGGAUGUACAAUUACAUAUUUCUUAAAAAAUCAUCAAUAAAUGUGACAAAGUACCUAAUUCCUCCAAUUAAUACCAAUCUUCAUUGGUCCACAAAUAUCAAAAUACAUAAUCUUGAAUAAUUUGAUAGCAUGUAUUGCAACUUCAUUUGAAAAUGAAGUGUUUUGUUAUUUUCUUUCAAUACAAUCUUCACAACUAAUGUCAUAGCAUUGUGUCUAAAUUGACCAAGAUCUAAGCCACUUACUAUGGAUUGGAGCUCUUUCAUACUUUUUGCAUUCAAAUGACCAAGUCAGUAAUGCCAAAUUCCAAACUUAUCCUGAUUUUGUAAAAAAUCAACAAAUAUCAUUACUUCAAUUUCAUUCAUCUUCUUAUAAUUGAUGAAAUAGAAGUUGCUAUUUCUAAGGCCUUUGACAAUAUCUUAUCCAUCCAAUGUCUUUACAAAACAUCCAUUUAUAUCAAAUUGAAUCUUACAACCAUGUGAUAUAAGUUUAUUCACCAAAAAGAGAUUAUUCUUCAUCUUUGGCACAUGUAAGACUUUCUUCAAUUUGAUCUUCUUGAUUUGGUCCUUUAUAACAAUUUCUAUAAUAAUAGACCUAAUUCCAAUAGCUUGCACUAUGUCAUUGUCUGUCAACUAAACUUUUGUUACUAUAAUUACUUCAUAAGUAUCAAAUAAAUACUUAUAUGGUGUUAUGUACUUGGUGGCAUCUAGAUCUAUAAUCUACUUAGAUAUGGCAGCCAUGGAAGUUCCUUUACUUGCUAUAAAAGUAUAAUUAUUUCUACCAAAGUUAUCACAAGCAUUGUUUACAAGCUCUCUAAUUCCUUCAUUAUCUUUAUAGCAACUCUUGUAAAAUAGUCUGAUUGCCUACAAAUACAACAAUUUUUCAUAUUGAUUUUUGAAUAUCUAUCUUUGUAUUAUCUUAAAAAUAGAGCCAAAUCUUUACUUUGAAUUUUUUUUUCUUGCCUCUUGAUAAUUUCAUAUGCAAGACUUAACAUGACAUAAUUCAUGGUAAGUUCUUUUAUAUUAAUAGAUUCUAAUGCUACAAUGAGGUAGAUAUAGGACUUUAAAAGAUUCAUAAAUAAUAUCAACAUAAUUUCUCUAUUAUUAAAUGGUACGUCAACAACUGUUAGUUGAUUUGCAAGUCCUUUUAUUUUAUUGACAUGAUCCAUGAAGUCAUGUUUUUUUUUAUUUUUAUUAUUAAAAACUUCUUCUUUGUCCAUAAAAUAUUGACAAGGUUUCUACUUUCAUAGAUGUUUUAAAGAGUCUUCUAUAUUUCUACUAGUUUAUUAUAAUCAAUUAUAUAUAAAAAGUUGGCAUUAUCAAGAUUUAUUGCAAUUAUUUCAAAAAUCAUUUUUUCAUGAUGUUUGUAUUCUUUCUUCACUUUGUUAUCAAUAUCUUCUUUUAAAGGCUCUUCACUUUGAUUAAUAAUGUCUCAAAGAUCCAAUGAAGCUAAUAAAAGCUUCAUUUUUUUCUUCCAAUGGUAGAAGUUAACACCUCUAAAUUUCUCAAUUAUUCUCAAGCCUUCACUUUCACUUGAAGCCAUUUCUUAAAAAGAGAUAUAUCAAAAAAAUCAAAAAAAAGAAGAAAUAAAGCUCUCAAAAUCAAGAUAAAAAAAUUAUUUUCUUAGAUAUCUAAAUUUCCUUCUUUAUAAGUAAAUUAGUAAUUUUAUUAUUUAAUUACUUUCAACUUCACUUGUAAGACUUUUUACAAAUCUUAUAUUCUAUCUAAGCCUCUUGUAUAAGAUUUUCCAUUCUUUAAUCACCUCUAAUCUUAUAUAAUACUUUUAAUUUCAUAAAAUACUACUUAUUACUAUAAGAAGAUCUUUUAAAAACUUAAGCACAUGAAAGUAUAAUGUUAGUAUAUUAAUGGUAUAACUUAGCAAAGAAACAAAAUACUAAUAUUUUAAAAUAUCAUUCAAAGGUAUUUAACAAUCUCCAAGACCAUGAAUAUACUCAAUAACAAGUAAGAGCAAAAUUACAUCAAUAAUAAGAUGAAAAAGUGGGAUUAGAUAAUAUCAAAUUCUAAUAUCAGCAACAACAAUAAGAUCUAUUCUUCAUAAGAAAGAAGACUUUAAAGAACUUCAAAAUUCACAACUAAAAGAAUAGAUUCAUAACCUAUAAAAAGAAAUAGAACUUUGAAGACACAAUACAUAGCAUCAACAAGGUUGUAUAUUAAGAGAGUAUAGAGUAAGACGUCUUUCACUUCCAAUAUCUAUUACCUAUAGAUAGUAGUUGUUGCCUUAAUAGAAAACUUCUGCUCUUUAACUUCUACACACAUGGUCUUUAGAUCCUUUGGCAUCUAACUUAUCAUAAAAGAAUCCUAUGCCAAAUAUUAAUUAAUCUUAUUUAGUCUUUAGAUAUUCUUUAAUUGAUAUUUUAUCCUCUUAAUUAUAAUUCUUCACUCUUGACAUUGUCUUAUAUCUGUAGGAUGUAUUUUUCAUGCAUCAAGAGUCAAUCCUUUAAACAUUAACGGUUUAUUUAAGAUAAUAUUUUUUACAAGAUAAUUUAUUUUACUUUUAUUUUUACUUACUUACUUAUUUUAAUAAGAGAGUCAUUGUAAUCUAUUGUUUGUAUCCUAUUAUAUACAAGUAAUGACAAUGGUUCUUCAAACAUUUCAAUUUUUGGGUAUAAAUUUAAUUAAAGAUAUGCUCUCAAUAUCUACCUAUCAAAGAUAUGAAUCUUAAGAAAAGAAAUCCUGAAUAUACUUUUGUGUCACUCAAAAGAAUUAAAAAACCAUUCAAAGAUGAUAUAGUAUUAAACUAGAAUGGCUAUUGUUAAAGAUAAGAAGACUAAAAAGUCUUGAAACAAGACUUAAGACUAAAAAAAUAUUGACAAGAGUGAAAAAGGCUUCAUUCUUGCUUCCAUAUUUACUCUUAACUAAGAAUUACAUGCGAUAUUUUAUUGGACCUCCAAAACGUGUUGACUUUGCAAGAUACAUAUCUUAACUUUCAAGACAAGUUUUUAUACGUGGGCCACAUAAUUAGCUUAUUCCACAAGCUAUCAAUAUGUGGUUAACUUAUUGACCAAGUUUUUAAUCUAUCAAUCAACUACAAAUACAUAUAAAGUCAAAAAAACAUCUUUAAAGCUUUUAAGAAGUUUUUCUAAAAAAUAUUAUAAAAUAAAUUUAUUUUUACUUACUUCUAUUUAAUGACAUAGAUAAAUAAUAGAAUAAAUAUGUAUAUCUAUGACAUUACCUCUUCUUUUAGGAAUGUCUUUCAUAAAAAGCAAUCAUCGUCUUUUAUGGAUCUUAUAAUUCUUCAACUUGAUUUUAAUGGAUAUCAUUGAAGAAAAGCCUCAAUUUUCUUUAUUGCAUUUAUAAGAUUCUUUGCUAACUUCUAUGUACAUUCACUAAUAUCAUAUCUAUGGCACAAAAAUAUUAAGUCAUAAAUGAUAACCAUAAUUGACAAAGAAAGAUAUUUGUCAAGUAGAAAAAUGUAUUGAAUUACUAUAUGUAAACUUUGCCAAUGGCAAAAGAGUUGUCCAAUCAUCUUGAUGAUAAUUGAUGGUUUAGCUCAAAUACUACUUCAAAAUUUGAUUCACUUAUUCUAUUUGUCUAUCAAUUGGAAGAUAAAAAAGUCAAAUAGAGCUUUAUUUUCACAUUUAAAUUCUUAAAAAGAAUUUUCUAAAAUCUUGAUAUAAAUUGAGUUCUCUUAUCCAAUAUAAUAUCUUUGAGAAAUCUAUAAUAGCAAUAAAUGUUACAAAUAAAAAAUUUAGCCAUUUCUUCAUUUAUGAUAGAUUUUGUAUAUGAUACAAAAAGUACUAUCUUGGUAAAAUGAUCUAUUAUUAUAAAUAUAGAAUCAUACAAACCUGAAAUAAAAAGAUUCAUGAUAAACUCCAUAGAAAUAAAAGACCAUGGUUAUUUCAAAAUAAGUAAUAGCUGAAGAAGACCUUUAAGAUCAAGGACAAGGAAUUUUAGAUCUUAAACAAAUAUCACAGGAUUAUACAAAGUCUUUGACUGCCUUCUAGAUUUGAGGCCACCAAAAAUCUCUAAAUAUUAGCUCCAAAAUCUUGUUAUAUCUAAAACAUUCAAUUGCUAAAAAAUCAUGACGAGCUUGAAAAACAUAUAGUUAUCCUUUGCCUUAUAGAAUGUAUAAUCAAUCCUUGAAAUAGAAUAGAUUACUCUUAAAUUCAAACUUAAAGUAUCAUGAGAUUUAGAAGAAUUAUUUUUGAUAUUAUAAAUAAGAAUAUCAAAAGAUAUAUUUAAUUGAAUUUUUUUGACAAAAAUUGAAUCAAAAGUCAAUGUUGAUUUUAUUGCUUAGAGAUGAAAAUGCUCUAGCUUCAAGAGAAUCCUUCUUUGUUGAUCAAAAAAUAUAUUUUUUUCUUUUGAUGUAAGCUAAGAAUAUCUAAAAUUGACAUUUGAUAAAAUUCAUUAUUUUCUAAGGUCUACAAGUGAUCUUGAAAUCAAAUCUUGAUAAAAACAUACUCCAACAGGCUUGGCAAUAAUUCAAAACACAUGUUGACAUAAAAUACUUAAGAUUCUUGUAAUUGUAUAUAUACUAACUAGACUAAAAGUACCUUUAAGAUAAUGAUGCUAUUUUUUAGAAUAAAAUCUAUAAUUAUAAGAAGCUCUUAAUUGUGGAUCUUGUAGUUUAUCUUAAUUACUAAAAAUUUCUUAGAAUAAAAAGCUAUCAAAUCAAGCUCAUUAUUUCCUUUUAUUUGUCAUAGAAUAACAUCCAUAGUAAAGUUUGAUGUAUUUGUUUCCAUAAAGAAUACCUUAAAAAAAUUGACACAAUAUAAAAUUGGUGUAAAAAUAAAUGUUAUCUUCAAGACUUCAAGAGGUGUUUUAAUUUCUUUGUUCCAAUCAAGUUUGUCUUUAUAUUUCAGACAUGUAAGAAAAAUUGCAACUUGAGAAAAGUUCUUGAUGAAGAUUUGAUAAUAAUUGGCAAAGCCCAAAAAAUAUUAUACAUCUUUAAUUUUUUUUGAAAACUUCCAUUUUAUGAUGGUGUGAAUUUUUUUAGAAUCCAUCAUUAAUCUUUUAUUGGAAAUGAUAUAUCCUAAGAAAUCAACUUGAGUAGUGUAGAAUACAUACUUUUUCAUCUUUGCAUAUAAUCAUGUAUCUGUAAGUUUUUAUAAUAUAUGACAAAUAUAAAGUUUAUAUUCUUCUAUGUUCUUAAAAUAGAUUAGAAUAUUAUCUAAAUAUCAAAUAAAAAAAUAUCAAGAAAUUUACAAAAGACAUCAUUCAUGAAAUGUUAAAAAGUAAUUAGUACACUCAUAAGUCCAAAAAAUAUAAUAUUAUAUUUAAAAUAUCCAUACGUAGUUUGAAAAGCAAUCUUCUAUUCAUCUCCUUCUUUAAUGCGGACUAAGUUGUAUAUUCCUUAUAGAUCUAUUUUUGUAUAGAUCUUUGCUUGAUUGAGUUGGUCAAAAAGUUUUAAAAUCAAAGAUAAAAGAUACCUAUUCUUGAUAGUGAUCUUGUUAAUUCUUUAAUAGUCUAUAUACAUUUAUAGAGAUCUAUCUUUUUUCUUCACAAAUAAGAUAAGAGCUUGUGCUAGGAAUUUUAAAUAGUGUAUAAAGUUUUUAGCCAAGUUCUUGUCAAUGUAUUUCUUUAGUUUAGCCAACUUAUUUUGCAAUAAGUUGUAGAUUGGUGUGAAUGGUAGUUGAAUACAUUCUUAUAGAUCAAUUGAACAAUCUUAGAGUUGAUACUGUAGAAAAAUAUCUCUAUUAUUUUUUUAAAAAAAAUCCUAGAAAUCUUGAUACUAGCUAAGAAUACUAAUUGGUAUCAUUUCACCAUCAAAAGUGGCUAUGGUAUAUAUAACAAAAGAUGUUCAUUCUUUUGUUAUAUCCAUGAAAGUUCUUGCAUCUAUCAAUAAGAGUUUGGAUGUACUAGGCUUAUCUAUUUUUACUUCAUUAUUGAGAUUUUUUAUUAAACUAUAAGAAAAAUUAAGAUUACAAGAAAUCCAAUCUAUCUAAGAAAUAUAUUUUUUUAACCACAAUAAUCCUAAAAUAAUUAGAUUAAAAAAAAUCUUAUUACAUAAAAUAUUAUUAUACUAUUAUAAUCUUUAAUUACUAUAUCUAAAAGAAUAAUUUCAUGAGUAAUGUCUCCAAAAGAUAUAAAAUGACCAUCUAUGACUUCUACAUGUAAGGAUUUAGUUUUUUUGAUUAAAGAUAUUUUUUAUUUAUUAACUAAGUAUUUAUUUAUAAAAUAAGCUAAUGCUUUUAAAUCUAAUAAUAUAAAGGUUUUAUAUUUUUUAUUUCCUAAUAAACAUUUAUUAUAAAACAAGGUGAAAAAUUUGAAGAGGGAAUAGGACCAUUAUUAGGUGUUGUAUAUGAUUCCAGCUAUUGUGAUAAUAUAACAUGAUUAAUAGAUAAAAAAGAUGAAAAAAUUAUUCUUUUAUAGAAGAUCUUAUUUCAAAUAUUGUAGAAAAUUAUCUUAGAAGAUAGACAAUAGUUCAAAAGAAAGUAAUAUUAAAGGUAUAAAUGCUACUUUUUUAUAAAAUAAGCUUCUAUUUACUUUAUAUGGCCAUAAAUAAGACAAAAUAAGGUAGAUUAAAAAAAUAAAAGAUGUGAGCAUAUGAAGGAGGAAGUAAAGAGUUAAUUUGAAUAAAAUUUAUCUCAAAAAAAAAAAUUGAUAUCCAAAAAGGACCAAUUAUUAACUUAGAUCGAAAACAAACCCUAAGGUAUAAAAUUGAGCACCUAUAGCAACUUAAGGAUUCUUUAGCAAAUGAAAGAAUGGGAUUUGGGAGUUGACUUGAAAAGGGUUUUUUGGACAUUGAAUUUGAGUGAUUUGAGUACGUAAUAAUUUUGUAAGAGCAUUGUAAAGUAACAAUUGUUUUAGGUGAUUUUAAAAUUUGUGAAAUAAAAAGAGUAUUAUAUUUUGGAGAAUUUUGUGAGUUUGGUAGUAAUGCUCGUAAAGUCCAAUUGGCGGGCCUACCNNNNNNNNNNNNNNNNNNNNNNNNNNNNNNNNNNNNNNNNNNNNNNNNNNNNNNNNNNNNNNNNNNNNNNNNNNNNNNNNNNNNNNNNNNNNNNNNNNNNAAACAAUUGAAUAAAAGGUAAUUGAAUUUAAGUAAGUUGAAGUCUUAAAAAUUGGAUUUAAGGGGCAAUUAGGAUUUUUAAGAUCUUUAGCAAUCUAUUCAUUGGGUCAAAGUGAAAUUUUUAUAUAAAAAUAAAGUGUUUUAUUUGCCAUAUAUAUGUAAAAUUUAAGAACAAUUAAAUAGUUUAAAAAUGAGAUAUUGGCACUAGAAGUUCAACAUUUAGAUUGGCCAUCCAACACUUGAGCAGAUUUUAGGAUUUUUCUUCCAUUUGGUAAGUGCAAUUAUCUUAAAAUUUUAUAUUUUUAUUGCUAAUUUAGUUUUUGAGAAGUAUAUAAAAUUUUAAAGAAGAUCAACAAUUAAAUCAAUAGAUAUUGAGGUUCUAAAUUAUAUUUCUAUUAGGUUGAGUUGAUUAGAUUUUGGUUAGGAUUUGAUUUAGAGUUAGAAUUGAAUUAGGAUUUAGGGUUUGGUUAAAGUUUGGUUAGGGUUUGAUUUAGAGUUAGGAUUGGAUUCGGAUUUAGGAUUUAGUUAAAGUUUGGUUAGAAUUUAAAAUUAAACUAAGAUUUAGGAUUUAAAAUUUAUUUAAGGUUUAGAGUUUAGGAUUUAUCCUAGGAUUCGAUUGAAAUCCAUUAGAAUUUCAACUAGGAUUAAAUUAGGACUUUAUUAAAAUUUAUUUAAGAUAUAUUUGUGUUUAUUUUGAAAAAAAAUUAAGAUUUCUUAGGAAUUCUUUUAAGAUUUAUUGGAGAUUUUAUUUUAAAUUCUUUUAAGAUUUUUUUUUAUAUAUAAUUUUUUAAAGAUUUCUUUUAAAUUUUAUUAAAGCUUGCUUAGUAUUAUUAAGGUUUACUUUGAAUUUAUUUAGUAUUCUAUUAGAAUUAGAAUUUUCCAUUGUAAUUUCUAUUCUAUUUUCUACAACUAGGUGCCCAGUACAUUUUCAAGUAAGACUUUAUGUAAUACAAUAUCGCAUCAUCACUAUUAUAGUGAAGAAACUUAUUUUUCAAAAUAUUGUCUUUUUUAGCAAUUGUGCUUUCUAUUUUGUGAUUGAAUUACUUCUUUAGAUAAUGUUAAGCAGUAUGCUUAGUUUCUCCAUAAUAUAAGCACAAAUCUUCUUGACGAUGUUCAAUAUUUUUUUGCUUAGUAAAAGAUUUAAAAUGUACCAUAUCAAUUUACAUUAGUUUCAGCCUUGAUAAAUAAGUUUUUGAAAACUUAAGAGCUGUUGUCAUUACCUGACGUGUUCUUCUUCAAUCAAAUCUUUAUUCUUAAUGCCUUUUAAAUAAUUGAUUGAUGUAUGCAAUGGCUUAAGUAAUAAAUUAUUCCAUAGGUUUUGUUUUUGAUAUAGUCAAUAACAAAUCUUUGAUGUUAGCCUUCAACCUAUAUUAAAAUUAAUUGAUAAAAGCUUUGUCAUUUUAAUCUAUAUUACAAGUAAGAUUUUAGAAUUCAGCAAUAUAUAUGGUAGAUAAUUCUGAUCAUUAUUAUAAAGAUAAUAGCUUGGUCUUUAUUACUCUUUUUCAAUCAUUUUUUCUAAAUAUAAUUAUAAAUACUUCUAAAAAUGAAUUCAAAUCAUGAAAGAGUUAUAAAUCAUUUUCCAUCAAAUAUACAAACUAAAAAAGAGUACUUCUAGAUAAAAGUGCACUUAUGAAUUCAACUUGAGUAAAUCCAUUAAGAUAUUGGAAGAGAUGCAACCUUAGAUAGAGCUUCAUUAGUUGCAAAAAUGCUCAAAAUUUUGAUUUUGUUCCAUCAAACUUCUCAAGCAUACUAAUCUUUGUCUUUGUUAUACUUGUAGAAGCAAAACUUCUUAGAUUUAGUUGUGAGGUCAAUUUACUUGCUUCUCUCAAUUGCACAACUUCUUCAUAUAGACUCUAAUUUUUUUUUUUAUAGGUGUAGGACUAAUAUUUCCAUGGUUGGCAUUUGUGAUGCAUAAAAUUUCCAUCUUAAGAGUAUUGAUAAGUUCUUAAAGAUCAACAAUAGUUGCAAAUCUAUUUUCACUUUUACCAAGUGUAGUAUCCAUGAUUUUUUCUUCUAUUUCAAAUAACUUAAUAUAUCCAUAAGACAAAUUAGAUGAGGUUAAUUUAUAGCCUCUAAUAUCAAAUGAAAAUUUUCAUAAAGAGGGAGAAUUUUCUCUCUUUACAGAAGAUAUUAAUAUUAAAAAACUAAGUAAUUUGUUUAAAGGUAGAUAAUCCAUAAUCUUCAAAAGACAAAAAUAGAAAUGAAGUAAUCUACUUACUUCUAAAAUAAGAUAAAAAUAUGAAUUCGUAUUCUUGUCAAACUAUCAAAGACAUGAAUCUUUAAAAAAGAAAUUUUCAAUACACUCUUCUAUUAUUCAAAAGACUAAAAAAAUUACUUAAAGAUGAUAUAGUAUUAAACUAAAAUAGCUAUUAUUAAAGAUAUGAAGACUAAAAAGUCUUAAAAAAGACUUAUAACUAAAAAAGCAUUGAUAAGAGUGAAGAAGGCUUCACUCUUGCCUCUAUAUAUACUCUUAAUUACAAGCUACAUGGUGAUAUCCUACAAGACCUCCAAAUACAUAUUGAUUUUAUAAGAUACAUAUCUUAACUUGCAAGAUAAUUUUUUUAUAUAUGCACCACAUAAUUAACUUAUUCUACAAGCUACCAAUAUGUUAUUAACUUAUUGACCAAGUUUCUAACCUAUCAAUUAACUACAAAUACAUGUAAAAUCAAAGCAACAUCUGUAAAGCUUUUAAGAAGCUUUUUUCUAAAAUAUUAUGAAAUUAAUCUAUUUUUAUUUAUUUUUAUUUAAUUAUAUAGAUAAAUAUUAGAAUAAAUAUGUAUAUUUGUGAUACUAGCAAAGUUUUAACAUGUUUAGAAAAUAAAUGAACUGUGGCAAGAGAUUCUUAUGAAACCAAAGUAAACCAAUUUCUACUAUGGAACCUAAAAGAAAGAUCAUGAAAUUGUAUUAACAUGAAGUCGACAUAUAUUUUUUUCUUAUUUGAUAUAUGUUUAAAAAAGAUUACAAUGCUUUAUUUCUUUGGAUAAAAAUUUGUUAUAUUUAUCAUCAAAAGCUUUUUCUAAGUCAAAAUAUUGCUUAUAAGUUCUACUAAUGUAUUUUAAUUGGUAGAUUGGUUAAAAAUAUAAUUUUAAAUAAUUUAAUUAUAUAAAAAUUAAAAUUAAAAAUUCUUUUAAAUUAUUUAAGUAUUUAUUAUAAUUUAAAAAUAUUUAUAAGUUAAAAAAGACUUAUUUGAAGAAAAUUUUAAAAAAUUAAAUCUUAUAAAGCCUUAGAAGUAAUUAUUUUAAUUGAUUUAGUAUUUUUAUUUAUUAUUAAAUAUUAAAUAUUAAUGAUUAGCUACUGAGAUCAAUGUCUAUAUUGGCAUUGUAUCUAUAAGUAUUAUUUAUAAAAAUCCUAUUAAUAACUAAUUAGUAGUUAAAAGAAGCAUAAAAAUGAAUUUCAUAUCUUCUUAAUUAAAUAUAUGAAAAAUAGGAUUUUUAGUGAAUUUAAAUUAAUUUUAUUACUAUAAAAAAUCAAAAAUAUAAGAAAAUAUAAUAUUAAAUAGAUAUUAGUAUUAUAAAAAUAUUAUAGAAUUUUUAAACUUUAUUUAGAAUUAUUUUUAGAAGUUUUAGAAAAGAUUUUAAGACUUUAAUAAAAUUAAGUACUACCACCUUGGGAGCCAUUAUGAAAAAAUGGAACAAUAUUUGGAGGCCAUUUGAAGUUCUUAGAAUAUUUGGUUAUUUUUAAAUACCAUAAUUAAUUCAAAAAUGUAAAAAUAUGAAUUCUACCAGUAGAAAAUAGGAGGACUAGCAACUAGUCUAGUCUUUGUAGGAAGAGAGGGUGCACAAGUCACAAAUGGAUUGUAGCACCUUAGAUGUAGGUAGAAAGAUAAGACUUAGGCCUUGAAGCCUCUUUACACAAUCCAUAUAUACUACAUGUAGCUUUGGUGAGGUUCAAAUCCUUUAUCAAUAAGCAAUUUGUCUUUGAGAUAAAAUAUUUUUACUUAACUUUUUAAUUAUUUACUUCUUUUCUUAAAUUUUUUUAUAAUUUAUUUAUAUUAAUUCGGAUUUACAUGUUUUUAAUGUCAUUAAAAAGAUAAUAAAAUUACCAAAUCAAUUUUUUUUAAAUAUUUACUUUACUUUUUAUUAAAUAAAGACUUAGUGAAUAGACUAUGGAUUACUUUUGUUGUAUGCAAUUACUUGAUUGCACUUAUUUUAUUUAUUUUUAAUUUUUUUUCUACUUUUCUUAUCUAUUUUAUCUUUCACUUCACACCACUAAUUUCAAGCAACUCUUAAUUGAGGCUAUCUUAUAAUUUGAAUUGAAAAAAAAAAUUAUCAUUAUAUUAUUUUCCUAAUAAAUAUAAAGUCAGAGCAAAUGAUUUGUAUAAGUCAAAAGAAGAGAAGAAUAAAUUUUUAAAUGCAUAAUAAAUUUUAUAUCUUUUUAAAUGCAUGAUUAAAUUAAUUUUUAAGAAAUUAAUGGUAUUUAAAUGAAGAAAAUUAAAGAUUUUUCAUGAACAUAUUUUUGAUUUAUAAAUAUCUAUUUUUAGAAAAUUCAUCAAAAAUAUUUCAAAAUUUGUAAGUUCUUUAUGUCUUUUACAAUACCUACUUGAUAGAGUAGAUGGCUUUUUAUAAAGAAAAAACUUAAAAUAAGUCUUUUUACUAUAAGUUACAAGCUAAAGUAUCAAAAAAUUAUGCAUCAAAAUGUUCACAAUUUUGCAUAUGGCAUUGAUGGUGGAUAAGAUUGAUGUUGAAUUAAUAUUAAAUUUAUAUCUGAGAGAAGCAUCUUUUGUCUUGUAUAUCAAGGUAUAAAUGAAAAAUUAAAAAGUCCACACCUUGAAUAUCUAUGCUUUUAAUUAAAUUAGAUAAACAAAUUCUAGCUUUUCCAUCAUUCUUUGCAAUUGGAAUUUGUGAAAUUUGUUAUAGUAUUUUGUAAAAUUUGCAAUGGAAUGUGUUAAGACAAUUAAUUAUGAAAUAAGAUAAUUUUAAAUCUCAUGUCUUUUGUCUAUGCAUUUACUUAAUAUGUCUAUUAAUUUCUCAUCAUAUUUUGUACUUACACAUUCAUAUUGAAGUAUAUAAUAGUUUAUAUAUAAGGAUAUGAUUUUGAAGGUACCAUUAUUCAUUAAUAGAUUUUCAUGUUUUAAGAUUAAUAUUUUUAAAUUUAAAAUCAAUUUAUAAAGUUUUGAUUGUCUUGAUGUAACAAAGUAUAGAUAAGAUAUUUGUAUUCUUGGCAUAUAGGCAUAGAUAUUUAGAACCAUAUUUGAGAAGUUAUAGAAGUUUUUAGAAUUAAGGCUAGAUUAGUAGAUCAUGUAGGAUCAACUCUAGAACAUUCUAAAAAGAGCUUAGGGGGGUUAUCUAGAUAGGAUCUACUGUAAAACUUUCUAGAAGAAGUUUAGGAUGGUUAUCAAAGUGGGAUCUAUCAUCUAGGAAUAUUUUAAAAAGUCUAGGGUGAUAGAACAAAGUAUAAAUAGGAUUGGCUAGGGCCUUUUUAGGCAUUUGGAUUCAAAUUUUCUCUCUUAAUAAAAUUUGGUUUUGCAUCUUCUUGUUUAAUUCUAUUUUAUUCUAUUUUUAUUUGCACAGUUUUGUCUUUUGUGUCCUAUUCUAUUUACUUCUGUUUAAUUUUAUUCUGAUCCAUUUUGUCCUACUUUGUGAUGAAAUUUUAUGUUGCUAUAGAUUAGAAGAUUCUUAGACUUUCAAGAUAGAUUGGUCCUGUUUUGUUGGUAUCAAAGGGAGUAUUAGAUUGUUUUUUGGUAGUAUAUCGAUAGCCAUCAUCUAAUUCAAGGUUAAUUAUUAUGGUUACACUAGCUACUAUAUUGAGGCUACUAUGAGUUAUUCUUAAAAAGUCAAUCAAAAGAUGAAAAGGCAUUAUAAUAAUAGAAUUUAAGGAGAAAAUUACAUCAUAGAAGAUAUGAAAGAGCAAUCUUAGAUAGAUGCUUAAAUAUAUCACCUCUUAAGUCAGAUAACUACUUUGUAAGGAUAAAUAGAAGCCUCUAAGAUAAGAGAGUUGACAUCUGCUAGGCUAAAAUUGAAUAAGCUUAGUACAUACUCUAGGACUUCAAGACAAGAAGAUAUAUGUUAAUGGCUCUUCAACAUGCAACAAUACCUCCAACUAUCUUAAAUAAAUACCAUUGAAGGAAUUAUAUACGCAGCCAACUAUUUGAGAGAUAUGGCACCCAUUUAGUAGCGACAUUCAGUUCAAACUUGUAGAGCUUAAGAUAGAUUUUGUGAUUUAGAGGAGUUUGAGAUUGAGCUCAAAAAUCAAUAUUGGCCCAUCAAUAUGGAAAAGAUAGCACACAAUCAAUUGACAAAUCUUAUACAAUCUAAAUCAAUGCAAGAUUAUGUCUCUCAAUUCAAGUUUCUAUGUUUCCAAAUUAGCAAUAUUUUAGAAGCAAAGAUGAUGGAUGAAUUUCUAUGGAGUUUGAAACCUAAGAUCCAGCAAGAGGUAGAACUAAAAAAUCUACAAACAUUUAAAGAGACAAUUAGAAUUACAGAGAGGGUCGACGCUAUAGAUUUCAAAAUUGUUGAGCACGAUCUAUAAUACAAAGUUUUAUGCCACUAUCUAAUACUAUGGCACAACAACCAAUGCUAAUAGAGAUUGAUACCCUACAAGGAUUAUUGACACCACAAAGAUGACAAAUACUAGUGCAAAAGGGAUUGUGUUUCUAUUAUCGAGAAUUAAGCCAUCUGAUUGGAAGUUGUUCAAAAUGUCAAAAUUUAAUCACUAGCAAAACAAGAAGGAUUCACAAUCUUGAAACUCAUCAAGUUGAUAAUGAAACAGAGUAGAGAAAAAGACUCCUAAGUAAAGGUACUGAGGGCCAAUACUAGAGAUAGCUACUGUCUCUUAGAGACAAAUGGCAUGGCCUCAAAAAAUUAUAAAAAGGGCCAAUUGAUGCAUGUAACGGUGUCGUAAUGUGUAAAAUUCUAAAUUAAACUCUAAAUCAAACCCUAUUUCAAACCCUAAAUCAACUCUAAACCCUAAUCCAAAUCCUAAAUCCUAAACCAAACCUUAAAUCAAAUCCUAACCAAAUCCUAAUCCAAACCCUAAAUCAAACCCUAAACAAAUCCUAAACCCUAAUCCAAAUCCUAAAUCAAAUCCUAACCAAAUCCUAAACCCUAAUCCAAAUCCUAAUCCAAUCCUAAACCCUAACCAAAUCCAAAAUCCUAAUCCAAAUCCUAAUCCAAAUCCUAAAUCAAACCCUAAUCAAACUCUAAACCCUAAUCCAAAUCCUAAUCCAAAUCCUAAAUCAAAUCCUAACCAAACCCUAAUCCAAACCCUAAAUCGAACCCUAGCCAAACCCUAAUCCAAAUCCUAGUAAUUCCUAUGAAAGAUUUAAACCUCAAUAUCUAAUGAAUAAACCGUCAAUCUCAAUUCAAAAUUUGCAUACUUCUUAAAAAUCAAGUUUAAAACAAGCACAAAAUUUUUUGAAAAGGAUCGGAGUUACCAAAUUGACAAAAACCUCAAAAUUGUGUUCGGGUGUUAGCCGGCUUCCUUCUUCAAUCUUGAUGCCAACCUUCCAGAGUCAAUUUUUCUUCUUUUUGCCGUUCGAUUGGUUUCAAAUUUCUCAUGGACAUAGAAAAACAAGUCUUAUACCCUCUCACACAAGUUUUACUCCAAUCCAACUAGUAGAUUGCAUGAAAUCUUAAAAAUCCUCACCAGACCUAAAAUUCUAUUUUUUGAGACCUUGGCCCUCUUAAACCUCAAUAUCUCUCACUUAAACCGUUAGAUCGAGCUCAAAUUCACAAAAUUUAUUUAACUUAACUAUAAACAUGAACCCAAAAAAUUUCACUUGUAGAUCUGCAACAAAACUCUCGAAAUCACUCAAAACAUAAACCCUAUUUUAAUUCAUAAAACCUAAGUCAUCCAAAACAAACCUCCACUUUGCAAAGCUCUUACAAAGUCAUAUCAACUCCAAAUCAUCCAAAAUCAAUGUUCAUAAAAAAUCUGUUUAGUCUGCUAUCAAAUUUCACUUUCCGAUUUCCAAAAGAACCCUGGAGUCAUCGUCGAGACUCGGUUUUGUGCCCCAGGGUCUGAUUUCGACCCUGGUUCAUAACCGGCCCUCUCUGGGUAUCAAUAUCUAGUUUUUCUAAUUAACCUUUUUUCUAGAAUUUACUCUUAACUUUCUUCUAAAGAUGUCUAUAUCAUUUAUUUUCCCAAUCUACUUUGAUUUGCCUUACUUAUGGUACUACAAAGUAAGUAGAAGUCACCUUUCUAAAAGGCAGCAUUGGUACCCUUUAAUUUUUCUAUCCCUUUGACUAUUAACUAUAUUUCAAAGAUAAUUUGUUCUAAUACUUUGAACUAAGAUCUCCUAAAUUAUAAUAAUCUCCACACUCUUUCACCUAUUAAUCGUAUUACAUCAUGACAACGAGACUACUAAAAAGACAACCAUGUCAAGUGCUUGUGGAUUGUGGCUCAAUGAAAAAUUACAUCUCGACUAAAAUUAUCAACCAACUUAGAAUUAAAACUAAGAUAAUUAAGAAAGAAAGUAUAUACCUUACAGAUGAUUGAGAGAACAUAUUAAGUGAAACAUGUGAAGAAAAAACCUUAAAGUUAACUGGCAUAUACAUCUUAAGAAACAUGUUCAAAGUAAUAAAGCUAAGAUAUGAUGUUAUCUUUGAUAUGCUAUGGCUAAAUUUAGAAAAUAAAUAAGUUAAUUGGAUAGAAAGGAUAAUCUUUAAAGAUAGUAGACACAAGAUGAUUCUUUGUACCUUUGCAUCAAGUAAAGAAGAAAAAUAAUGUGCAACUAAAGACUUAUUCUUAAAAAUGACCUUUACAAAGAAGCAAAUAUAAUAUAUGCAAUUGGUAUGUAUGGUGGUUCAAAAUUUUGCAUUAGUGGUAGAAAAGACAACCGAAGGAGUAGAACAUGCAGAGCAACUCAUACAAGAAUAUCAAAAUGUCUUUCCAACCAACCUACUGAAUAAUAUGCCUCUUGAUUGAGGUGCCUCCUUUCAAAUAAAACUAUUGUUUAAAGCCAAACUAGUAAAUUUGAAAAUUUAUUGCUUGACACCAAAAGAACUUGGAGAGCUAUGAAAAACAUAAGACAAACUCUUCAAAAAGGGCCUCAUUUAAGAAAGCAUAUCACCAUGAACAGUACUUAUACUCCUUGCACCCAAAAAGGAUGGUAGACUUUGACUUUGUAUUGAUUAUCGAGGCGUCAAUAAGUAGACUAUUAAAAAUACAUAUCCACUUCUACGUGUAGAUAAUCUUCUUAAUCAAUUUCAAAAUAUGACCAUCUUUAGUAAAUUGGAUCUUUGAAGUAAAUAUUGAUAGAUAUCUAUUGUAAGAGAGGAUAAUAAAAAGGCAACAUUUCGUACACACUAUGGAUAUUUUGAAUGGUUUGUUUUAUCUUUUGGCCUCACCAAUACUCCAACUUCUUCUAUAGGACACAUAAACAUAUUGUUUUGAGACCUUUAGACAAGUAUAUAGUUAUCUUCAUUGAUGGUAUCUUUGUAUAUACUAAAAUCUUUGAGGAGCAUGAGCAAAAUCUAUAAGAAAUAUUAUGUUGGCUACAAGAUAGUCGCUUUUAUUAUAAGCAAUCAAAAUAUGAACUUUAAAAGUUAAAAGUCACAUUUUUUAGGCAUGUGAUAUCAUCCAAAGGCAUGCACAUGGCAUAAGAUAAGAUAAAAGUAGUGGAAGAUUAGCCUCCCUUCAAAGAUAUUUCUGAAGUCCAUUCAUUUUUAGGCCUUAUUGGAUAUUAUCAUCAUUUUAUUAUAUAAUUUGUGCACAUAGCUACCUCAUUGAUAAACUUAUUUGAGAAGGGUGUUCCAUUUGAAUAGAAACUAGAGUAAUAAAGUACCUUUGAUAUAUUGAAGGUGACACUCAUUACUACUCCAGUAUUAUAAUUUUUUGAUAUCUAGCUUGAGUAUAAGUAAGGACGACAAUAUAUCAAGUAAGACAAUUUAUUAUGUUGUCAGGGUAGAAAGAAUUUGCCUUAAGAAAGAGCUGAGCUUUUGGCUCCUAUUAAAUGCUCAAUCAAAUCUAAGAUAUUAAAGUUCAAAAUUUAUACAUAUAUAUAUAUAUAUAUAUAUAUAUAUAUAUAUAUAUAUUAGGGCAAUUAAAUCAAUACAUAAGCCUAAGUACAAAAAAAAGUAUUCAAAUAUAUGAUAAAAUAUCUUAAAACCUUAUAUUUCUUUAUGGAAUUUUUUUUCCAAACUUCGAUAGUUCAUAUAUCACAAUUCGAUUAUCCAAACAAACUAAAAUUUUAUAUGAAAUAUUGAUAUAAUUUUAACAACUAUUAAAACAAAUUUCUACUACAAAUUUGUUACGGAUCUUAAGAUAUUGCGAAAAUCCUAACAGUAGCUUCAACUCCUUUCUUACAUAUACUUGCAUGUAAUUUUCUUCAUAUCUCAUAAGUUAAGUACUUAAAUACCAUGAAACUUUGAUUUAUUUCUUCUUAACCUAAUAACACAUACUUAUAGAAAUUUUGAGCCAAAAAUUCGUCUAGAAACUCAAGAUAUGGCUCCAACCAUUACUAUCAACAAAACAACUUACUUACUAUCUUUGAAUUACAUAUGUUGUCUUCAAUGCCCUAUAAAUUCUUUAUUUAGACUUAGAAUUCAUCAAAUAAUAUACGAAAAAUAUAGCUAAAAAAGUACUUUUUUCAAUCCCAAUUGUUGAUCCUUCAUUGCUCUUCAUAAGCAUAUGUUAUGCCUAAAGAGUGAUAAUAGAUGCAAAAUUAAUACCUUAACUUUAAAUGCCUAUAACUCCUUCAUAAAAACUCCAAAUCACACAAAAUUUAUAUCCAAACCAUAUCUAAAAACCUAAAAUUGCUGAUCCUAGCCUCUAAAAAUCUUGUGUUGUUGGUGGCUAUCUGCAUACUGCGUUUAUUAAUUUUGUGCAGUACGGAGGCAGUGUUGUGUCUGUUGUAAGGCUCUUGUAAGUUAUUGUAUAAACUCCUCCAUUGUCAUUUUGUUGGUAUCAAUGGGAUGAUAAAAAAAUUUUGGCAUAAUUGGAUGCUAAUCAAAGUUAAAAAAAAAAAAAAAAAUGAAUGACUAAGACUUACUUGAAUAAUAUCAUUGUAGGCAAACUCUAAAGGCAUCAAGUAUUCAUCCUAGUUAUUAUGAUGAGAUCCGUUCUAGAAUCUUUUAUUGCCCUAGAUGUUCAGAUAUUAGGAUGUCAUGUCUCUCUUGAAGUAUGCAUGUCCGGAGUAUAGCAUUGUCAAUUAUAUAAAUGUACUUCUUGAAAUAGAAUAAGCCAUCACUACGACUAUAAUCUUGAUACUAUGUAUUGUCCACCUUCAGCCUAUCACUAACCAUCUUAAAAUAAACAUUCUGAUUCUUGAAAUACCACCAACAACACGAGAAGGGUGAGAAGGUCUUAUUCUCCAAUGUCAAUUUGUCACUUGCUACAUCAAUCCAAAUCCAUAAACUAGUACCUCAGUAGCUUGGACCUUUCGACAUUUUUAUAGUAUUUUUUGAUGUCACAUAUCGUCUCAAGCUUCUGCCAUAUAUUAGAUCCAUCCACUCUUUCAUGUUUUGAAAUUGAAGGAAUUUCAUAUCAAGCUAAAGUACUUUUUGGAUUGAUACUAACUAUAACAACCACUAGUUGUAGUUGAUGAUCAACAAGAAUAUGAAGUAGACAAUAUUUUGGAGUAUUGCUAUCUUUGCCGUGGUAAUAGAUAUCUACAACUUUAGUAUAAAGUUCUUUAGAAAGGUUAUUCUAUCUACAAUGCAACGUUGGAAUCUAUACAAAACCUCAUCUAUUGCCAAGAGACAAUUUGGAAAUACCAUCAGAAAAAAAACAAGGACGUUUUGCAUUAGUGGAAAGAAAUUAACUAUUAAAAAAUAUAAAUAAGAUAUUUUUAUUGUUGGUAUAUAGGAAUAGAUAGUUGAAACUAUAUUUGAGAAGUUAUAGAAGUUUCUAGAAUUGGGACUAGAUUAAUGGACCAUAUAGGAUUCACCGUAGAACAUUCUAGAAAGAGCUUAGGGCAGUUAUCUAUGUAGAGUCUACUAUAAAACCUUCUAAAAAAAAUUUAGGAUGAUUAUCUAAGUAUGAUCCAUCAUCUAGAGAUAUCUUAGAAAGUUCAUGGUAGUAGAAGAAAGUAUUAAUAAGACUAGCUAGAGCCUUUUGAGGCAUCUAGUUAAAUAUAGCUUCAAUCCUUGUCUCUUAAUAAAGUUUGGUUUUACAUCUUUCAAUUCAGUUCUAUUUUAUUCUAUUUUCGUUUGCAUAUAUUUUUUUUUUCUGUUCCAUUCUAUUUAUUUUUGUUUAAUUUUAUUCUAGUCCAUUUUGUCUUAUUUUGUGAUAAAAUUUUAUGUUGUUGUAAAUUAGAAGCGUCUUAGAUUUUCAAGAUAGAUUGGUCUUGUUUCACUUGAUGUUUUUAAUUAUUUAAUUAUAUAUACUAAUUUUACAUCAAAUUCUUUUUAUUAAUUUAAAGUAAUUUUUAAAAUUUUAUUUUUUAUUUAGUGAGUUGUUCAAACACAAUUUUUUAUUCAUUAUUAUUUUGCUAAAGGGUCUUGAGACUUUAUAGUAAAUUCUAUGAGUAAGUAGUGCUUUUAAUUUUACUUCAAGUCAUUGUAGUAGAAUAUGCUUAUAUGACAUGUAACAAAUUUGCAUUUCAUAUUAUUAUCUAUACUACUAUCUUUUAAAUAUCAUACUUUUAUAAUUAGCUUACAUGAAUUAUAAAAGAUGGAUGGAAAAAUUGUAAAUUUGAAUGGAUCUAAUAUGUUUUUCAUGUUUUUAAUAGUUAAAGGAAGUGGAAUUGUAUAAGUAAAAAUAUCCAUAAUUUUAUAUAUUUAGUAGUAAUAAAUUAAGAAUUUAGAGGAGAUCUUUUCGUCCACUAUCCUUAUAAAGAAUUGCAUUGUAUGCAAGGAUUUUAUUUCAAUGGAUUUUUCUUCUAUAUAUAUGAAAUUCACAAUUGCUUGAACUUUGGUAUAAGUAUAUUACAAUGUUUGAGAGAUUUUCACUUAUUAUGUUAUACAACCAGAUGAAAGAUCAAAUUAUUUUAGUAUGGCUCUUUAGAAUGAUUUCAUCACACUAUCUCAAUUGUGGAGUUAUAAUUGAAUAUAAUGAAACUAAUAUGUGAUACUUUGAUAAUAACAAAAUGGAAUGAGAAAGAGAUUAAUAAUACACGUAUACAUAGGAAUGAAGACCACAUUAUUUAAUCACAACAAAGGAGUGUUUUUAUAAGUGAAUGUAGGAUAUUAGAAAUCAAAGAAGAAAAUAAAGAACAAGAAUUGGAGCAAUUGGAGAUGCCAGAUUUCAUUUAAUAUGGAUUAUAUACAAGCAAGUAGUAAUAGCUUAUAUGAAAAGAAAUAUGCAACUAUACAAAACAAAAUAAACACAAUAUGUGUGCAAUUAAUGUACUUUGAAGUCAAAUAUUCUAAAGAAUUAGAAAAUAUAUGUAAGAUUAAUUAGAUUUUUUAUUCAAUAUUUUUUAUUAAACAAAUAUUAUAAGAAAAGAAAAUAUCUAACUUUCCAAUAAAUAUUGACUUAGUCAUAGCAAGAUUCAAAGGGAGAAAUUUUUUAAUAUAAUUAAUGUAAUUUAAAUUAAAAGAGCUAGAGUUUUAGGCUAAUCUACAAAAAAAAAAAAAAAAAAAAAAAAAAAAAAAAAUUGCUCCCAUCUAUCAAAAUAUUUAUUUAAGUUUUUAGGAUUUUAUUUUUUAUUUUAGAAUUCAAUAAAAUAAUAAUAAUACAUAAUAUGACCUAUACUUAUUCUUUGUUUGAUUGGUUAUUUUUUUAAGCACUAAACAUGCUUAUUUAAUUCACAACUUGAAAAAUAAGUAAUCAACAUCUCAAGAAAAUACAUCAUAUUUCUUAAAGUAUAUAGAAGUGUUCAUUUUUUUAUUUUGGAUUCUAUAGUAAUUUCAAGUUACAAACACCACUCAAAAGCAUCUUGAAGCUUAUACAUGAUAUAUAAUCAUGGUCAAUAUCUCCUAUUAUGGUUAAAAUGUGUUGUAUUAUAAGACAAUUUUUUUGGAUAUUCAUAUUGUGCAAAGAGGACAUUUUAAUGGUAUAAGAAGAUAUAAAUGGAAUUUAUAAUUUGAGAAGGAAAAUUUUGACUAUUUUUCUAUGAAAAUAAAAUAUAAUUGAUUAUCUCACAAUAUGAUUUAUAUAAUAGAUAUGUGUGUAUAAUGUAAGAAACUUGAAGAACAUGUAAACAAACAAGGAAAUGAAGGAAUAUGGGAACCAAAGAGCACAAAGAAACAUAGAUAAAUAAAAGAAUAGAUGGAUGUGCCAAAGAUUGCAAUACCCAACAACAUUGGUUUUUGCUAGAGAAUAUAAAUUUGUAGUAAAUAAAAAUUAUGUUUGUCAAUUACAUUGAAGAAACAUAUAUGGUUCUCUUCUUAAGCAUAUAUAUAUAUAUAUAUAUAUAUAUAUAUUUCUUCUUCAUUAAUAUUUCUUUAAGAAUGGUUAAUUUUUGACUUAAGAAUCACAAAUUAGAAUUUUAUAACUUUUUUGUGGCCAAUGGCAUGGAUUUCUACUAAACUAUAUAUAUAUAUAAUAUAAAUAGAUUUUGUUUGUAUAUUUAGUAUUUAUUUUGAAUAUGAUGUAAAUUUUUUUAAUGUUCUUUAGAAAAUCAUUACAUUUAAAAAAUAAAUAAAUAAAAAAUAAAGUCCAUUGGAAUAUUAAAAUUGCUUCAUGUAAAUUUAAUAAGAAAAAGUAUUUUGUUAUGAGGUGUUGAAAAAGCUGCCUUGAAUCUAAAUCAAAGGUCCAUAUUAUUAGCCAAUAUGAUUUUAUUUGUUGCAAUAUAUAUUUUGGCUGUUUCCUUGUAGGAUGUAACAUCUUGACUCUUGACAGUUGUGUUGACCUUUAAAAAAAAAUCAAAUAUUUGAAGAUGUAUGUGUGUAUAUAAAUAAAUAAAUACAUAAAUAAGAGAGUGUUUAAAAUUUAUUUUUCAAGCAGAGGAUUUGAUAUAAUUCUUUUCUGAAUUAUCCAUUUCAACAAUCAAAUUCAUCUGAAGACUUUAUUUAAUCCAACUUGAGGUUUAUUGUUCUUCGUUUUUCUCAUUCUUGUAGUCAUAAUAUUAAAAAAGGCAAUAACAAUUGUAAAUAUACAAACUUGUUUGUUUACAGAUGACCAUUUGUAUUUUUCUCUGAUGUUUGCAAAGAUAAUGAAGUUGGUUAUUGGGUUGUGGUCCUACUGGAUCAAGUUGUUAUAAUUAAUAGAGUUUUUGUUAGCAAAUGAAACCAUUUUAUGAAAAUUAAUAUUGAAAGAUCAUGCAUUUACAUGUUAUUCAAAGCUUGUGUUGGAUAUUCUGUAAAUUUUGGAGUGAUCCUAUACGGUAGUAAAUUAUUUUAUAUUAAUUUUAACAUGUAUAUGACUUUCAAAUGAAGUUGGUAUGUAAAAUUGGUACAAAUUUAAACAAAUGAAAAUUUUAACACUAACAUUUCUAUUUGACUGAUCAAUAAUUAAGCAUUAUUAUUUAUGCUAAUUUAAUUUUUAAAAAUCUGUUUUAGGUGAUUUUCAUUUUUAAUAUGUAUUUUUAAAAUAGUAACUUUAAAUGAAUAAAUUAAAAAUAUGAAAUUAUCAAUAAACUAGUUGUCUUAUGGAAGUUUGACUUUAAAUUAAUCUUUACCAAGUAAACCAUUGCUGUGAAUUUUAGAGAAUCGUACUGUAGAUUUGCAAGUAAUUAUUAAUUUAUUUAUUAAAACAAACUUAGAAUUUCACGUUAUUUUAUUGAAAAUUAUUUUAUUUCAAAAGUAUGUACCAAAAAUUUGGAUUUUUCUUUUUCUUUUAAUUUUUUUCUACAUUAUUUUUCAAUAAAAUAUAAACUUAGUCUGAAAAUUAGACUAUUCAUUUCAAUUUAAUUCAAAACGUAUUUAGAAUAUCUGAAAUUCCUUAAACAUACAAAAAAUUAUCAAAGUAAAGAAAGCUCCUGUAUAACUUCAAUCCAAUAUAAUUAAAAAAAAAAAGAGAAAACACACCAUUUAUCAAUUGCAUCAAAAGAAUCAAAUUUCAAUGUUUUCAGAAUGUAGUACAAAGAAAUAAAUCCAUGGAUACCAACAUAUUUCUUGUGCAAAGAUUGAUUUAUCCGAUUUCAAAACCAAUUUUUGACUAUUAAUUGUGGCAUUAGAUAAUUGGCUACCUUUUUUCUUUUUAAUUGGUAACAAAAAUAAAAAAAUAAAAAUCUCUAAAAAAAAAUACAUACAACAAUGUUUAUUGUAGAACCUCAUCCACACAAACUUAAGAUACAACAAAUAAGUAAAGGCAACAAAACUUUUGUAGAAGAAGAAGAAGAAGAAGAAGAAGAAAUCUAACUUGAAAAUAAAACCCAACAGAAAGAAAACAUCAAAAACACAUUGAAAACAUUGAGCAGCAUGUAAAACACAUGUAAAACAUGCUUUAUAUGUAUAUAUAUAUAUAUAUAUAUAUAGAAAACACGCUUUGAUUAUUAGAAACAGUGGCUGAACAUGUCUGGAAGAAUACAAAUUUGUAAAGGUCCGAUGCCAAGCUAAGCUCCGCGAAGUUCACUCCAAGUUGAUCCUCAAUUCUGUUGUUUGUCACUUCCAGCAUCCAUGUAGCUGGGUUGUACCCUUCUUUGAUUUUGGUAACUCCAGGGAUAGCCUAUCAAGUACCGCACGACCAAACUUAGUAUCAUCCCCGUGCACCUUAAUGCUACAUUACCAUAUGUAUAAACAAGUGAAACCGAAGUAUUAACUAAGCGUGUAUCUCGAUCAUGAAAGAGAGAUUCAAUCCCUUGUCAUACCUAGAAGUAUUCGAUAAUCCUCUCAGAAUUGUGUCCCAAUGGCCCGUUAUAAAUCACCCGUCCUCCACGCUUCAGAAGAAGCAACUCAUCAAAAGCUUCGAAGAAGUCAAUGCUGGGUUGAUGAAUGGUCCACACAUCAGUCCUCCCCGUGUCCACCGUGGUACGCACAGUACGCAUCACAAUGCAGCGGAUCGAGCGUCGAGACCCCUGGUAGGCUCAUCCAUGAAGAUGAUGGAGGGGUUUACCACCAACUCCGCCGCAAUGGUCUGAUGUUUCCUUUGCUCUGUCGACAACCUGGAAGUUCCAGGCAACCCCACCAAUGCAUGCUCGACAAGGCUCAGCUCCAUAAGCUCCAUCACUUGGUCCACAAAUUUCAGCUUGUCUUCAUUGGAGAUGUCGGGAUCUAGACGAAGCCAAGCAUACCCAAGCAACUCGCGCACGUCGAGUUGAGGGGAACGGAUGUCAUUCUGCUCGCAGCAUCCCGAAAUCCUGGCAAAUGUUUCCUGCACUUUGGGAUACCCAGAGAUUCUAAUGUCGCCUUCUACGGAUCCACCUGUUUUUCUUUCCCUGCCAAGACGUCCAUGAGAGUCGUCUUCACGGCUCCACUCACACCCACGAAAGCUGUCAGCACACCAGGUCUGAAGGAGCUUGUAAUGUUGCUGAGCAGCUUCAACUUCGUCUCUGUCAGAUCUUAUUGUUUCAUUUCAGGGGCAUGUCGAUGUAACAAUUCCCUACAUCUAUAUAUAUAUAUAUAUAUAUAACAUCUUAACAAUUCCCGAUAUAUAUAUAUAUAUAUAUAUAUAUUCAUCCUCAUAUGAGUGACGAGCACUGGAUGGACGGAGGCGAGGUAACAUUGACGAGAGUCAUCUAUCAUCCAUCCAUGAAGAAGGGCUACAAGUCAGAGCUCAGAGUUGUUGGGUCGACGACGGCGGACUCGUGGCUGCCGAAACCCCACACUCUCUUUCUGUUGCUCAUUUUGUUUUGCAUUAAUUUCCCGUGUGAGAAGACGAGAUUAGGGCGCAGCUGUUUGCUUUCCAAUGGGGCUCAUCUGCUACAGUGUUGUUGUUGUUACUGAGCUGUACUUUCGUCGAACCGGAGAACCUUGCAGCAGCAGGGCAUCAUAGCUCAGUCGGAGAUUCGGCCCGGAAACACAGGACAACACACCUGAGCGGGUUUCGAGAGAUCCUCCUGAUUAGGGCUGUGGAAUCGGACAAGGUAGAUGGAGAUUAAUUGGGCAAGUGGGGUGGAGCCGAGGAAUGGGAUCACCGCUUCAGCUGGGUGCAGGAAGCCUUGGAAGGAGAGGACUUCUUCAACGAGGUAUGCAACUAAUCUUUUCUCCCUGGUUUCCUCUCGAGCUGGUUUGGCGUUGGGGUGGGAGUGCGGAAAUCUCGUUUCGAUCGCUUUGGUUUGACCAGACGCGGUUUCUUUGAUUAGCUAGCGUUGACACCCAGGUCGCCGAAGUUGAACAAUAUGUGACCAGUUUCUAGUGUAGACCCUCCCAUUUCUGUCUGUCUUCGUGGAAUUUGGUAGCGAGUGCUGAGUUUCUUCCUGUACUGUCGACUAGAAGCGCCACGAGUUUCCUUGUUUUUACUUCUUCCUUCUCUAUGCUUUCCUCCGACAUAGUCAUUAUCUCACUUCUCUGGCUUCUCUCUUCGUUUGAUUCCUGUUUAAAGUUUGGUUUUUGGGCCAGGGAUCCAUGUCUAUGCUCCUGACAAUAAAUUGUCGAUCCUCUACUUAGGCUGUGCUGUGUGUCCUUCAGUCUCUCUACCGCAUCUUCAACGUGUUUAUGUUUUGUUUUGUGUUUUUUUUUUGUGUUUUUGUGUUUUUUUUUUUUUUUUUAAAUAUAUUUUUAGUCGCUAACAGAUUGCAAUGAGGAACCAAGUUAUAGAGUAAGCGAUUGAAAUUAUGUUACAGAGCUUUAGGGAUGCUUGUACAUUCCAAUUCUUCCUCAUAAGAUCGUCGGGAUCAGUUUACCACUUUCUUUCGCUGCCUAUCGUGUGUACAGAGCAAUACAUUACUUGUGAGAUCUAAAAUGGAUCAUGUUGAUGCUCCCAGAUUAACCGAUACGUCCGAGAUAGGGGAGAUAAUAAUGGACGACUCUCCUGAAAGUGAUGACUCACCGAUGGCCCCUCCUCUCACCAGAAGGCUUUCAUCUACCUCCCGUGCACAAGGUUAGUGAUUGUGGCAUGAGCUGUACUUAUGUACCUCUAAGAUUCUGACACUCAGGCUCUUGUGAGCUUAGGAAUUCAUUUGUGAGGAUAUGAAACUUGCAAUCAUGGAUUGAACCGAAUGUUAAGUAGGGAAUGUUGAAGCAGCUGGUGAUACGUCUCGGCCAUUUUGUUUCAUGCGAAGUUGUCUCUAGGGUUUUCUCCCUCUUACUUGAUAACCAAGCAUUGUGAGGCAUCCGCUCUCAUCUUGGUAGCUUUUGAUAUGAAGUACAUCAAGAGAGCGCAAAUUUGCGAGUUGAAUCUAGAUGCAUGAGUUUCUUCUCGUUCUCCUAUUCUUUUGAGUAUAAUUAGGUGUAAUGAAGCCAUUUUUUUUUUUUAAUUUCUAAUUUUAAUUUUUAAUAUAUAUAGUUGCGAUCUUGGACAGAGUCAACCUUGCAUCCGUUAUACCUUCCAACAAAUGAAGACGCUUGUGUUUGGUGCUGCAGAAAAUAUGAAGAAGUUUUUUACCAGCGCUUCGAGAACUAUAUCAAAUGCUGUACAAAGAAAUCAUGAAGAACUUAAGGAUUCAGAGGAUCUGAUAGAGGAAGAAAUUCCGAUUCUUGCCGAGUUGGGACCCGCUGCAUUAUUUAGAUACCACUUGAAUGAUUGGCUGCAGAUUGUGCUUGUCAUUCUACUUUGGCUUCUUUGCUUUUUGGUUCCUCCAUUCCAACGUCAUGUAGGAGAAAAGAACUUCGCAACUCCGGAGUUAAGAUAUCCGUUUAAAUCUAACACUAUUCCUUUCCAAGCUGUGCCGGUAAUGAUGCCGAUCUCCUCUUUUUUCCCCGCGGAUUUAUGUUGGUUUUCUUUAUCGCUCCCUCCAUAUACAUAUAGCUCACCCCCCUUUCUCUUCUUCACCCUUUUUUAUGUUUACUUUUAUUCUUUUUUCUUUCCCUUUGGAUGGGAUUAUAUUAUUUGCAGUAGAAUGAACCUAGUCGUUCUAAGCUCGGAGUGUUCUGAGCAGGUGAUUGCCGUAUUUGUACCUUUGGUUGUUAUCGUGGGAAUCUUCAUCAAAAGGAGGAAUUUUCGAGAUUUGCAUCAUGCUCUAUUGGGUUCGUCUCUUUAAGCUUAGACCUGGCAUGUCUAACACUAUACUUCUGAUAUUCAAUCCCAAUUAAUUUAAAAAAAAUAUAUAAUUUCUAUCUUUUUGUGUAAGUAUACUUAUCCUUCGCUUUCUGCGAGGAUGUGGACACUUGCCUGCUGGAAUGACAUUUUAAAUAUUUUUUUUUCCUUUUGCUCUUUUGGCUGUAGGUCUGUUAACCGCUGUUGCGCUCACAGCACUGAUAACAGAUGCCGUGAAAGUUGGGAUCGGACGACCUCGUCCUCACUUUUAUGCUCGAUGCUUUGGGGGCACUCUCGCCCAACCUGUAUGUUGGCUUUUACUCUUUACUUGAUCUCUCUAACCCAUCAUUAGCAGACAAUUUGGAUCCACCAGAUUCAGAGAAAGACAAGAACACUAAUAUCUGCUUCUACUAACUCGGGCUUGUUCUACACAAUCGCUCAUCAAUCUACUAACCACAAGAUGCUUCUGGAAGGUUUUUCAUUUAAUUUUUGGGUACCUUGUUAUAUUCUAAUGCCUCUCGUGAAUUGAUUGCAGAAUUACGAUCCAGUAACCGGGAACGUCAUCUGUGUUGCAACUGCUAAAGAAAUGAAGGAAGCAUACAAGAGUUUUCCAAGCGGACAUACCUCAUGUAAUCACUCCUCACUGACUGUGGUUGUUUUAGUGAAGUAACCUUGGUGGUGCUCGUAAUUGUGUGUUGAGGUGGAUACAUUUGACGCACUUCUGAACUUCCUACCUUGGUAUAGAAGUUUUAGAUAUGUCACUGCUUCAUACAUCUGACAAUUUAUAUCCUGUUGCAGGGACUUUUGCUGGUCUGAGUUACCUGGCAAUGUACAUGGCCGGUAAGCUCAGUAUCUUCGACCGGAAGGGUCACUCAUGGAAGGUUUUACCCAUAAUUGUGGUAAUGCUCUGCGCCACUUUUGUUGGCGUUACCCGAAUUGAUGACUACUGGCACCAUUGGACUGAUGUUUGCACUGGUGCCUCCAUUGGUAGGUGCCUUCAGCCAUUCAUGAACUCAUUACUGGCCCAUAUUAACCCUUAAUUUUAAUUUAUCGUAGGUCACAUAGUGGUUUUCUAAUCUCAAAUGGUCCGUCCCCCAAGUCGGUUUAUCCAAGAAGACGAGGUGACAUUGUUUUAGAUCCGUGUUUACGAUGAUUGCAACGAUCUUUCAUGCAUUCCUUACCUAUUCCAUGAAAUUAGCAGUUGAGCUCUGUGCACAUCCUCCUCCUACGAGAUUAGGGUUUUGUAAGUGGCAAUGGUUACUCAUAUUUUGAAGAGAGACAACAGUUUUUUAUUUUUUAUUUUUUAUUUUUUUACUUUGAGGUUUAGUAACUCAUCUAUGUGACGUGGACACGGUUUGGUACCCCACCCACGAAUAGUGGACAACCAGGAGUUGUAUGCUUUGAAAUGCUCUCUUUUCUCACCUCUUGCUUAUAUUUUCCUGCAGGAACUUUGACGGCUUACUUCUGCUAUCGCCAACACUUCCGAAGCUUAUUCGAUGAUUUACGUAAGCUUCUCUCAUGCUCUCUCUAGCUUGUUUGUUGCUGCUACAGGGAUAGCUCACAUUAGUGUGAGGGUCUAGACAACUUGGGUUUAUCGACAGACAUUUGAGGUGUUGCUUGAAUAUUGCAUGUAAAUCUCUAUCUUUAUUGGUUUUAGUGGUUGGUUUGGUCCAUGUCCAUAAAAGUUUUAACUUAAGAUAAUUUAGACUUUUCUACGUUUGCAUAAUUGGCCGUUCAAAUGCCAGAGGCUUUGGAGCAUUUUUCUGUGCCGCAAACUGUUUUCAAACAGUACUCACAUAGUUUUAUGGUUUUGUAGCUCACUCCACUUAUGACUACAUUCCUGUUGGCUCUGUUCCCCGUGCCACUCAAAUUAAAUCCAAGCGGUCAGUAUCAGCUCCUCCCGAGAAUUCUUCUUUCGACAAUUCUUCUUAUGACAAAACUUCUUACGACGUUGAGCAAGGUAGAGUGACAGAUUCAUUCGAUCAUAAGUAGGUGCUGCCAAUGAAACAAAGAGUUUCCUAGUGGCAAUGGCGGUGUGGUACAACGUAUUUUGCGGAGUCGAAUUGUUCCGUUUCAGUUGAGAUGUUCUUUUGAUUUCAUUUCUCCUUCAUGUAAGAGUGUGAACAUAUUUGAAGAAAAAACGGAGAUAUGUAAGUCACCAGUGGGGUUUGGACCCACACCCAACUGUACAGUACUGGUGACUAAACAUUGAGUUUAGCGUCUUAAAAUUUUCGGUAAUAUUCGUAAUGUUUUGCAUACCUGUCAGUAAUGUAGUGAAUUGAUGCAACAGAUGCUUCCUACAGAGGUUUUGUAGUGACGAUGUUGAAGUUACGUAUAAUGUUCUUCAGAUUGUUGUGACAAUGUUCCUUAGACUUUCUGUUUGAAACAUAUUCAUCUAGAUUUUUUGAGAAGAGUCUUGUAUCUGUUUGUUUGUUUGUUUUAUUUUUUGUUUUUUAAUAUAUAGGUUGAAAAUCAAAUAAUUGAAAAAAAAAGGGUAAAUCAUAGGAACAGAACUUGUGAUUUGAAUUUGGUGUAGUGUUAUGCACUUUUUUUUUAAGGAGUGUUGUGGACACUGGCAAUUCAAGUCAGCAUUUGAAAUAUUUUGUCAAUAAGAAGGUUUUAUUAACUCAUAAGUUAAUCAAACACGCUGUAAAUGUUUUUAUUUUAUUUUAUUUUUAUUUUUUGAUAAAUCUUAUCAACAGCAAUGUAAAGGUGUAUUUAUACUUUUCUAUGUUUUUAAGAACUAUUUGUAUAUAUGAAUUGUUAGCUUAGAAGAAAGCAAUGCAAGGUGUAGUUCAUUGGUAAUUGCCGAAAGGAGCAUUGACAGAAAUACAAUGCAGUAAACAGCUUUCAAGUAUUAUUUUCCAUGUAUUAUUCCCCUUCAUUUAACUAAAAUUCUAUACUUUUUGCAACAAUUUGUAAAUCACAACUAAUCCAAAUAAUCAAGCUGGAUAAUGUAUUUACCAUGGUUACUACCAAUGCCGACUAAAUUAGUACGUCUGGUAAGUUUUGGCUUUUAUUUUGUGCAAAAUAUUCUUUGUGUAAUCAACAAUUGACGGUAAACAUUAUACCUCUGUAAAUUUAAUUAUUCCAUAUUGUGUGCUUGAUAGAUCGCACACUUGUACUUCUUUCAAACUUAUUAAGCUUUGAGUAUGUCAGGAGAAUACAUUCUUGGACCGCUUGUGUAAGGUACCAAGUGAAUUCCUAAAUGCAAACAUGACUCCCCUAACUGAUAAUUACAGAUGCUGGUUUGUGUUCUGCCUGGUUAUGGUGAAAGAGUCUCUCGUUUGUCUCUAAAUUUCUGAUUGAUGUUUUUGUAGAUGUAUUUGUAGGAUGAAUGAAUCUUUGUCUUGGUUCAUUAUCGAUAAUACAAGUGAAUAAGGCUCACGUGAUACAAAUUUUCUCUCCAGUUGUACAGUUUAUUUUGGUGUUAUUUUUUCAAUGUUGUCUAUGUAUCCUGGGAUUCACGUAAUGAACAAGGUUAGUCAUUCAACAAACAUGCAUGUUUAGGUAGUUUCAUUAAAUGGGCACAGAUAACUUGGUCGAUCAUUUCCUCAGGAUUGAUUCUGGAAAUAAAAUGAUGAUUUAUGAAACUGGGACUUCAACGUUGGAACGAGAUAAUCCCAAAUACGUGCUAUUAUCGGAGAAAGCUUCGACCUAAUGAUUGAGACAACAAUAAAAUUAUCACACAACUUCCACUGAGACAAUUUCAUUUAUUAUCAGAAACGCUACUAACAAAUAUCGCCGAUUACAUCGGAAGGUUGGAAGCUUCACGUUCCAUUGACCCAUGUGUCUAGAUGAGCUGUCUGUACAUGAAGGAACACCCUCUGAGGAAUCUGAAAUAGUUGUGAAAACACAUGUACAGUAUUUUGUUAAACAGUCUGGUAUUAAUGCAAAUUGAUUAGGGACUUGAGACUUAGCCGGCUGGUUCCUAACUUAAAUUGGAAAUCCAAAUGCUGCAAAUAUCAAAAUUAGCUUCUCGACGACAAAAUGAAGUUCGUGUGUUCAUGUGUUCCUACAUUACCCGCUUGGCCUCCAAUGCAUAGUGCAACGCGCUCCAUGCUCUUUCUUUCUUUUCACUUGUAACCUUCUCAGUAGCCUCUACAGCUGCUUGCAUCGCAACUCUUUUGUCCAUUUCCUGCUCAGCCAUGACCUGAAGCCAGCCAUUUGACGAGAUUUGAGCUACCAUUAAUCUCUUUCCAGAAUUAUCUUGUAGCAACUUUUGUAAAAUACUGGGCUGCAACAUGAACUCAAAAAUAUGCCUGUUCAGAUGCUAGAUCUGUUUUCUCCUUAGCAGACAUAAGCUUAAUGUACACCCGCUUGAUGGCCUCCUAAGCUUCUUGUUGCACUUCCAGUGCUUCUGCAGGUACGAGCUUUGUCUAAAUCAGGCAAUUUAGCCAUGUAUCAGUAUGAGCAGAAAAAAACCCAGGAUUGUCCGAAUGAGGAGGAACAGUGACGAUAGGCUGUACAUGAGUAGGCAAUUGGGCAUUGGAACAAAUUCGAGCGUAGAGUUGAAAUGGAGCCUGACCUGUUCCUGCUCAGUGACGUAAACAUUUGAACCGUACGAUGGUUCUUGCAGAGCUUGCUGGGACAGCCCUUGAUUGGCUUGGCCACCCAACUCUGCGCUAUUCAGACCUGCGGAUUUGUAGACGUGGAAUCAGUGAAAGCACAAUAAUCUAUCUUCUUCAUCCAGACACUGCGGAAUGGCUACGGCGCUCAACAAAUUUGAUUAGUUUGAAGAACGUACUCAUAUUCAGCCGGCAAUUCCAGAGGACUAUGCAAGAGUCUUCUCAGGAUGAGAUGUCGGACACGCGGGUCAAUCGGUGAUUCUCGUACAGCUUCAACUAAGAAACGGAACAGAAGCGAACAGUAGCCCUUGAACAAACGAGUGACUAAAGUGAACAGAAUCAUGGCCUUCUACGGGACAUCAACACCAUUCCAUCCUAGUUCUUUGUUCUAACUCAUAGACCUCUGAGCCAACAAUUUCCGACACCCUAAUCGUAUUGCUGCAAGACAAAGUGAUCAGUUACGACCCAUUUCUCCCCGACAGGGACACUCUGCCUAUUGCCUCCAACGUUUGACGUUUGUGUUAAAAUGGGAAUCCGCAACCCUGGCAACAAAUGACACGAACACUGAGUACACCCUUCCUACAUCUCACGUGAAUAUGACAUAUAUGAAGCCCCAAAGGUGAAGAAGUACUCCCAAACAUGCAGCCUCGCAAUGUUCAUACGAUAAAACUACACACAUUAAGAACACAUAAUUCACGACCUAGCAUAACCCAACUCUAGGGCAUUCAACAAUCUAAAGCCUAGUCCACUCAUCCUUGAGCACAGGUACUAAGGUCUGUGUCGCGAUGAUCGCUCUCAAGCUAAAGAUCAAGAAACAAGUCGUUACACGAAAGUAACAAAAUCAGCAAGAGCCGGAAACCAGAUGCAGAAUUGUAAGGAAGACAUCACACCAAGUGCGAAUCCCACCUUCUGAAAUGAACUCUGAGGAGCAAUUCUACACAGGCAGCCCCCUAACGUUGACGAAACAGGAUUAUCGUUCAGGUGCAGGGCUAAACAGCUUCGGAAUCCUGGCAAUUCCUCGAGUACCUGAAGUAUGCGAAAAGCUCCCCGCAAAUUCUCUCCCCUGAGUGUCGAAGCCACUCCGAAGUCGAUCCUUAAGCUCUGCAGGAUCUCAACGGGCUGACAGGAUCGUCUUGCGCUUAGAUUUAAGGUCACAAAACUUAAAUUUCAAAACCUAAUCAGACCCGAAAAUGAGCAGAAACAUGAAAGUGGUGAACAGAUGGCUCUACGAGGAGGUUCCAUGCAAACAUCCACUUGGCAUGCGGAGUGGGGCAGUCCAAGUCCCGCUCCUCCGAUUGUGAAUAGUAAUUUUUUGGAGGGUUUUCUGCGUUUAUCCAAACCUUUGUCCACAGGGGCGAAGUACCUCACACCCUGACUACAUGAAAGUGUCUCCGCGUUUCUCAAUUAACAUCCAUAUUGAUAAAUCGUGUUAUUUAUUGGAAUGCAUAGAGACCACGUAAAGGCGAGGAACUAAGCGGAAGGAUUGUCCUCUGGGGGUUUCUCGCUUGUAGAGACGAUAGUGGAAGAGCUAAGAAUUGCAGAGGAGCAAGUACUACAGAGAUUCUAGGAUUUUACUUCUUCAGCUUUGCAUAAACUUGUGGAUUGGAAGGAACUCGGAAUUGGGUUCCUGCUGGGCUGCUUGAAGUGGUGUCAAGUUGGUUCAAUUAGACGCGUAAACACGUCCUAGCAAAUCCAUGUACCCGCCUUCUUUGCAUCGUGAGAGGGGUACAGUUGUUAAACGUGCACAAGGUGUCUUGAUCAUGCUGAUUAUUGUGAAGCACUCUGCAAGUGUUAACAAUAGAUACGACGUGUGAGAGGAAGCGUGGAUCGCGCGCCUCUGGAGUUCUUCAAGGUUGAGGACCCUGUGAGUUUCUCCCUCCUGUGUCGAGUUUGGAUCGUGAAUGUAUGCACUAUUCGUGAAAUUUCUUUUGUUACAAUCCACCUGCAAGGAUUUCCACAGCAACCUUCAUUUGCCUUCCAUUUGAGACAAAGAUAAAAGAACGAAAAUUUAGAGAAAGGUCUAGGUCUUCUGAGAGUCGCUUCUAAUUUAAGCAGGUUUACAAGGCUCAAAUUGUACGCGGAGCGAUAUGCAAGGAAGUCCUGCAGAUUCUUGUUGAAGAGAUUUUCACGAAGAUAGUAGAUUAACCCCGUUCGCUUUAGAAUCUGCAAUAGUACCAGCUAGAGUCUUGCAGUGAACAAAUUCUUUCAACUUUGAAACUGUCUAAUAUUUCACAUGGAUGUUAUUUGAGAUUGGACAUACUAAUGAAUCAGUGCACCUUGUGACAGGGAAUUUAAAUCCAAAUGUAUUCUUCAAACCCUAAUGCUGAACAAUACUCACAAUAUAGGCAACAGAAAUUGAUCAUCAAACCUCGACUGAAACGUUUGCAAACAAAUUAAAGGCGGGUCAUAAUAUCGAUCGGUCGGCAAGAUUUGUUGUUGCGAUACCUUCGAAGCUCCUGUCAUUGAACAUCCUUUUCCUGUAGGAUAAACAGCUCUGCUGCAAAUGGAUAAUCAAGAGCACUGUGUUGCUUUCAUGUCGUGACGUCUGUACAAAUCAAUAGAUCAUGUGCAGUUGCCAAUAUGAAGGAUCAACUAAUUAGAGUGAUUAAUUGUGGAGUCAACAAUAUAUCGAAGUUGAACAGAUGUAGCCAUUUGACUGUGUGAACGAUAUUGAGCGUCAUUGUGCUUGUGGCAGGUUGAAGGUUUGCAAAUUUGCGGAAAUUUUAUCAGUAGGUUAAUGUCUUUGAAUAGCCUCACAUAGGUUGGUGAGAUAGCAGACUUUUCUGCACAUGAUGGUUCUCUACGAUAUUCAGGUUUUGUACUAUCAACACCUGGAGAGUAGAGGAUUAGACGCCGAGAUCUGUUCUUGUUUGAUAUAUUUGUAUGAUACUCUGUCAACAUUGUAUAUCAGUACUUUAGCAUGUAAAAUUGGCUUCUGAGCCACAGAAAGUCUGGGUACUUUUAAUGAAGCGUGUUGCAUUUGCAUGGAUUCUUCCUCAAAGUUUCAGGGGCAGUGCUGCUAAGGCAAUAAGUGAGAAUGUUUAGAUAUACCAGAUUGAAGAAAGAUCAAACUAGAAGAAUGAUGUGCUGCCAUAAUGUUUUCUAUUUUGAUGUGGAAAAACCAAGUGUUUUACACUGCUCUUGAUAGAUAAUCAAAGUCUGACUGCUCUAGGGACAUUAUGUCAUUGGAGUAUCAGUCAAACGCCACCAAGGGUACUCAAUUCAUGCCCAUAAGCAGAAAAGUAUUGAACACUAGGGAUUUACACAACCAUAGAAUGUUGGGUAAAUCAGUUCACAAAUGUGACAAUGGAUUAGACAGCGAGUCAGAGUAAUAAACUAUGGAUCAAAGCCCGUUUUAGAAGCGACCCUUUCAAAUUUUGCUCUCGUGAAUUAAGAAUAUCUACGUGGUUGCUUCAUUUACCGCCUAACUUUGAAGGUCCAGUUGGACUCAGUGCUUUGUUGCCAAUCGAAAAGUAUAGCAAAUAUACCAUUACUCGCUCUACUCUUUACCUCUUGAACCUUUUUCGUCUUUGUAGUGGUUUGAAUGCAAAGAACCUUCAAAGACAAGGGGGUCCUCGAAAGCAUCGAACUGACCACGGAAUCAGUUAUCAAUUAAUCUCCAGUAUCGCGCACCCACAGCUCUUAACGAUUCAAUCGAAAAAUGUACACGGCAAAAUCUCAUAUUUUAGGGAAUGAGAUGAAUACCCGAUGCGGAAAGAAUGUAGACACUGGAGGUGAGGGGUCAUCGAGGUUCGCAUUGCACGCGUCCAAACACAGAUCUUUCGUGUCUUCUUACAGUGAGUAGAAACUAGCCUCCUGAAUUGGAUUCUAAAACAAGUUCCCUGAUGCGCUGAAAGAGCCCUCUGAAUCCGACAGAUUGCUCAAACAUCGUUGCACCUCACACAAAGUGUCAUUGGUAUAGGCAGAUGAAGCUUCGAUUGUCUUACUGCUUGUGGCGGCAGACCGGACUCUCAAAUUGUGAUCUAUUCCAGCAGGGGUCACUAGAUGAAGUGAGCUUGCUUCGCAUCAAGCAACCAGGUUCCAUGGCGCGCUUUCCUGGCGCAUGAUCAAGGUGUGCAACCUUCAACAUGAGGAGAAUCACGACCAAGGUUCAAUCAGUGACCCUUUCUAAUGAGGGCAUCAGCGUUUCUCUGAUCCUCGUUUCGCCGUUACUGGACGGGAUUUUUCGAGGCUGGUCUUGCUGACAGUAGUUCAAACUGUUCCGGGCCUUGUAAUUGGCAAUGAUGAACCGAAUCAGGUGGGCCUUGAGGCGGGGAUGUGGAAACAACUGCGCGAUGCCGCGUGUCGCAGCGCGGCGACGCUUUCGAAAUACUCCGAAACGCAGGCAGUCUAGCAUCAGUCACGCACAAGUGUCGGUAGUCCAUUCUGCGUCCACACUGACCCAACACGAGAUUUGGCCUACGUGAAUGGAUAAAUAUCUUCAUUCCAUCCAUGUGAAGGUGGAAUUUUGAGCCUAGUUCGUUCAUUUCUCACCUGUAUGCUCUGUUGAGUACAUGAAUUCAAGGUUUGAAGUGAUCGCAUUUCAAUGCUUCUUAUUUCCCUUUGGUAUUUGAAUUGAUUAAAAUGGGUAGUACUUUAUCCAUUAUUCAUUGCAGGCAGCUUGCAAGGGAUUGUGUGCACUUCAUAACAGAACAGAUUCUUUUUCACAUUUUUUCAAGUUUGAGGAAAUGACUGUUGAUUUCAGUUAUUUACUGUCAACGUUGUUUUACCGAUUUAAGUUUUUUGGGUUGCCGUUGUGAUUGUGUUGCAGAGUGAUGCAACAGGAACUUAUUUCCUUUUGAAAAGAAGAAAGCGGCGAUGAGUGAAAGAGAAAAUGAGUGUGGAUAGGGCUCUUCUGAAUACAAACUCCUUCAUCGAUGGACGUUUUCUCAACUUUGUCCACAACCACAUUAACAGAGAAUGUGGGUUCAACUGCAAGCAUCGACUAAAACAAGACCUACUUCAUCGUCGAUAUCAAGACGAAUCCUACAGUUGACAGUUGAAAGUGCGAUGCUCGAAAUCAAAUGAGUGACAAUCGUCCACUCAGCACAGCAAGAGUUCAAACCCAGAAUGGAGACCUCCAUAGUGGGCUGAUAGAGAUUUCAGUUUAUUUCUGUAAUUAUCUCAACCAGUCUAGGAUAUGCUCCAGUCCAUAAAGAAAUAUCUUCCUAGUGUCAUGAACACCCGACCUACAUGUUGAAUGGCUCUUGUAGCUUGUCCACCACAUGUCCAUCCACCUUGAAUGCGACCUUGUGCACUUUGUCGGGGAUGCCGCUGCCGAACAAGGUCGCUGGAAGUGACACAGUGCCAGGAUUAGAGCUGCUGAAGGAGAUGUAAGCCACCACAGGCUUACUGCCCAGGUUGAUCUGGUAGUGCACCAGUCCCUUGGGAAACACGAACACAUCGCCGACGCUAAGCACCUGGGUGAAGAGCUUGUUGGUGGUGUCCACCAGCCCCACAGUGAGCUUCCCUUCCAUCACGUACAGAACCUCGGUGCCUCUGGGGUGCGUGUGGUGGGGGUUGGUGCCGCCGGGCAGGUACUUGAUCAUAGCAACCGACACUCCCAGGCCAGUGAGCGAAGGAAGGCUGUCAGGCUCCGAAGUUAUCCUCUUCGUGAACACCGUAGCACCUUCUGGGAUGGUAAUACCUCCCCGAAAUACCUCGGAGGUGAAGUAAUCACUGGUGACAGUGGUCUUGUCGGUAGUGCUGUUGACGUAGUAAUCGGUGGUGAGCUCAGGGUCAGAUGCCUGUGUGAGGAUCAUUGCAGCCAAAGUGGUCACGGUGACGAGAGCUAUAGGAAUUGCCAUCUUGCAGGAGCUUCUGCCCAUGAGAAAGAGCUAGUUCUGUUAGUAUCAGAUGACAUGAGCCACACUUGAUUUAACAAUCUUGACGUCGUUCCGAGUCGGCAUUCAAAUUGAUUAUUGUUGAAACUAGCUCACAACUGUCGGAUUUGCGUGACCAAAUUUGUCGUCAAGUGCUGUGUUUGGACGGAUUCACUUGGUAUCCUAACAUUACAUCGCAGUAGCUUUGUGGCAAUUCUAGCAAACACAAA
This 99543-nucleotide long non-coding RNA is filed under the name Physcomitrium patens. Its description in RNAcentral is "long non-coding RNA (PPAT_LNC013419)". The record is from RNAcentral. Lineage: Eukaryota; Viridiplantae; Streptophyta; Bryopsida; Funariales; Funariaceae.